AGAGAGAGAGAGAGAGAGAGAGAGAGAGAGGAGGUAGNNNNNNNNNNNNNNNNNNNNNNNNNNNNNNNNNNNNNNNNNNNNNNNNNNNNNNNNNNNNNNNNNNNNNNNNNNNNNNNNNNNNNNNNNNNNNNNNNNNNNNNNNNNNNNNNNNNNNNNNNNNNNNNNNNNNNNNNNNNNNNNNNNNNNNNNNNNNNNNNNNNNNNNNNNNNNNNNNNNNNNNNNNNNNNNNNNNNNNNNNNNNNNNNNNNNNNNNNNNNNNNNNNNNNNNNNNNNNNNNNNNNNNNNNNNNNNNNNNNNNNNNNNNNNNNNNNNNNNNNNNNNNNNNNNNNNNNNNNNNNNNNNNNNNNNNNNNNNNNNNNNNNNNNNNNNNNNNNNNUAGAAGAAAUAAAACGGCGAAUAAUUAAUUACACGAGAGGUAUUUGACUCACAGAGUUUUUUAUGCCUUUCGCCUCUUCUUCAGUCAUGUAGAGUGGGCCUGGUAUAUGGAGUUUGACUAUCUCAAGCUUCCUCCCCUUGGCAUCAGUGGAGGCGGCAAGGACUGAAAAGGCUUCGAUGGAUCUCUCAUACUGAGGGUCGGCCUCGUCGUCAGUCCAAGCCAGCAGGACCACGCCAGGUCUAGCAAAGCAGCACAUGUUGUCCACAUGACCGUUGGUAUCCUCGUCCCCUGCAACACUUUUUGAGCUCUCAAUUCAGAAACAGCAAUUCAAAAAAGUACAAUAUAUAUGUAUAUAUAUAUAUAUAGAUACAUACAUGCACAUACAUACAGAUAGAUAGAUAGAUAGAUCGAGAGAGAGAGAGAUUAAAGAGAACUGUUUCAAGAGAUCAUAUUUAUCAACAAGAUGGGAAUUAACAAUCGAAUUGGUUGGAUAAGGGCAUGAGCGUUCAAAAAUAUCCUGUUCAAUUACCCUGUUGAUUUUCUUCAGAAAAUGCCUUCCAAAUUAGGCCACAUUGCUGAAUAGGACAAGACUCGAGUCAAAGUCAGAUGCUUGAUGAAUUAUUUUCUUAUUAAGAAAAAACAGAAAUUUUAUCCUUUCUGGACGUGGAUAAUUUAUUUUCAUAAACACUGGCAUUGAACACCAUCCUUCUAAUGAUCAUCUCAUAAUUUUCAUCGUGAUCGACCUUCUGGAGAGGAUAAAUAAUCUUUCGAUGGAAAAUAAGAGAGCCAAUAGACAAGAAAUAAAAGCCCAACAUCAGAAUUCGCUGAAAAAGCAUCCCUACCGUAGAGGCCUCUGGGCAACCAAAUGACCUUCUGAACACCGAGAUACAUCUUCAAUUCGUUCUCUAUCUCCACCUUGCUCAUAUCUGGGUUCCGAUUUAGAUUCAACAGGCAUUCCUCAGUCGUGAUACAGGUCCCUGCAGGGAGGUAAAUCAGAAAGGGGGAAAGGAAAUAUUUCAGCCAAGAAUAUACAAUAUUAAGACCGAAUUUCCAACUUUGCCCGUUCUUGAAAGUGAUAAAUGCUUAUAUUCACAAAAAUGAAGAUUAUCGCUAUCAAUUAACCGCUACCCCUGAAAUAUGUUCAUUUCAUGGGAGCUGCUACCCCUUUUAAUUGCCAGGAUAUUUCCACAAAUUAGUGUUCCUAAUGCCCAAACUUGCAGUAUUCUUGAAUAAAAAAGACCUAUAGAGGUAAGGACAUUAUAUAUUGGAUAAAAUGCAAAAUAAUAUUCCGGAAAGUUUAAUUUUUUCUAAUAGUAAAAAAAAUAGGAUAAGAGGACUAUUUUUAGAUAUUUUCUUGUCGCCAUGGUGCAAGAUAAGGCAGGAGUUCAGCAAUUGGCCGUAGAGUAAAAAGUUUUCACCUUCUCCGUCAACAUGGAUGCUUCCACCCUCAAGAAUCAUCUGAUGUCGAAAUCUAGGGAUCCUCUCCAAGGCAAGGAUCUGAUGAUGUGGGCAGUUGAAUUUGAGGAAAUCAGAAGAUAGUAAAAUAGAUGGAAAGAAAUGAAAUGGUUUAAGGACCUUCUUUGCCACGAGGGAAUCAAGACUCCAAUCACUGUAGCAUGCUUCCUCCCCUGCACAUAAUCAGAUACCCACAGCGUAAAGGCAUCAGACUUCAUAAUAGCCACCUGAGCUCCAAAUUUUAAGGGAAAUAGCAACCUGUUCUGGGUGUUUGAGAGAUGAGAUAACCUUUGAUGCCAGAAAACGAUUAGAAAAGGAAAGAAUGUAGUCUUUACUCAUCAAUGGCUGAAGAAAAUUUUACUGAUGAGUCGUAGCUUCGAAAUUAAUACAAACAGGAAAGGGAUUCAUUUACGUUGAGAGAGAAAAAAGAAACUCUUCGAACCAGGUUUUGCUUAUCGUAACAGCCAAAUGAUAAUAACUUGUUGCUUUUCACAUGCUCAUCUGAAGAAUAAUCCGGGGCCUUAAGCAGACACCUUGGAUCAUUGAAGGAUUCAGGAAGAAAAGAAGAAAGAAAGAGAAAGAUGACAGCCAGGCACCAGCAGAAGAGCUAUGUGCACAUGUUUCUCACAAGAGAGAGAGAGAGAGAGAGAGAGAGAGAGAGCCUGUCUCAUUCUUGUCCGCGAUUUAAGGUCGACUCUGUAGUAUUCUUAUGAAUACACUCAGGAUGGUGAAAACUCUACGAGUUUUGAUGGCUAACUCUGAUCUGAAAUCGGAAAUUUUUUUCAGCAAAGAUCAUGCAUACUGUUCACAGAUAUCCAAUUAUAAAAACAUUUCUGGAUAAAAAAAAGAGGUCAUUGGUUCUCACCGCCCCAGCAAUUGAAAUUCCAAUCAAUGCCUGCAGUUUGGCCUUCAGGACAUUUUUCACUUGAGCUCCUGAUAAGAAACUAAUCAACAAGGACAUCAGUUUAAACUAUGAGCAUCUAUCUUGCCAGCAAAAGCCUCAUGCAUUGAAAACUUGAAUUGUGGAAUGAUGAAAAAUUGUAGAAGGGGAGAGAAACUCACUGUAGGUCCAAUAUCACGAAACCAGGCAUCAUUCAUGCUCAUUUCUACCAGCCUUAUAUUAGCGCCAGCAGGCAGCAUAUCGCAGGCCUUCACAUACUAGAAGGGCCGGGCCAUGAAAAAUUUAAAACAUGUUAUCCAGUAAGUGACCAGUUAAGCAAGGCUUUUAACGCAAUCAAAACCCAAAAAAUUGAUGAUUGGGAAAAAAAACAUCAACUGUUGAAUAAAUGAGCAUUUGUAUCCCCAGCCUCAUGAUAACUUCCCUGAUCUCAGAUCUAAAAGCAAAGGACGUACUUAUCAUUAAUGUGCUUCCAGUACAACAAUUAACCAGGGAUUGAUGCUGUGAACUCAUUUGGCAACUUCUCAUAAAUAAACCUGUGUGUCGUCUUGGGUCUUGCACCAGGUAGCCACCACCCUAAAUCUAGACCCAUCCCAACGUUCAUCUGGGCCAGGCUCUGGGCAUUGUCGGGUCCAGCCUACUUUAAUGUUCAUCCAUGUGACUUCCCCCAACUGAUAUCAAGCUGACCUGAACGCCGCAUUUGAAGAUUGGAGGGGGAGGGGGUGCAGGCUUUUCACAUGGCAAUGCCCGACUCAAGGAAGAAAACGAAGAGAGAUCAAUGAAGCAUUGAGUCCACACAAAUGAACAGCAUUAGAGGACCACCAACCUGGGAAGAGAUGGCGCAGAGUGUUACAGGCUCAAACCUAGAAAUAGCUGACGCCACUUCAACAAAUGUGCGUUGACCGGGCAGUGCAUCAUCCCGCCAGUUAUCCGCUCGCUCCUGAGGCAAAAAUGAUAAACGAUCUCGUUAUAAAUGGCCCAGAAGAGUCAUGCACUGACAUCUGAAGCACCCAAGAUGGAUAAUUAUGAUUUAUUAACAGAAAUUUGUGACUCUUCUCUUAUUUUUCGUUUCUCCUCAAAUGAAAGGUGGUAGAUGGUCCCACAAGAGAGGCCAUCCUAAACGUGGUUUAAAGUCCUUUUGUCUGCUGAUCAUCACUUCCAGCCCGUUUAAUCUACCGUCAUAACUGUUCAUUAUAGGAAUAAUUCCCUCACUGAGCCUCCUUUUAAUCACUAAAUCAGGAGUAAUUUAUUCCACUUUCUGGAUGCCCUGAGAGAGAAUCAAGUACAUGUGAAGGAAACCCCUAUGAGUUUGUGUACAUUCAUGAUAGCCUCACUAUCAUCCUUUAUGUCAGAUGAACCCUUCACCAUAGUGGAGAAGAUGCAGGGUGUAGGGCUUUACCUAUACUCAGGACUUAACAGUGUUCUAUCAAAGACUCCUUUCAGGCCCCAAUCGAAUAAAGAAAAGAAUUUCGUGUGAGAUAUGAGAAUAAGCCAUUAUAGAUUGUAUACAUGUUUCCCCAAAGGGAUCACAACAGCCUACACCCUGACUUCAUAGUGCUUUGUCAAAGACACUUAUUGACAAACAAUUCAGAAAAGAAUUUCAUGCGAGAUUCGAGAGUAAACAUUUAUCUAUUAUUUUCAAUAUUUUUCAAAAGGGAUUACAAUAGCCCACAUCAGAACUUAACAGCGGUUGUUCAAAAUCCCUCUUUCAGAGACAAUUGACUAAAAGAACUUCAUGUGAGAUUAAAAGCUUUCCACUGUGUAUAUGGAAACCCAUUUUUACUGAUAAUAAGUCGAAAUAAAGACAAAUUACUGCCCCUUCUUACCCAUUCACAGAAUAAUAUGAAGCAAAUGAAGGCAAAAACACUCUUUAACGUCCCAUGAAGGAAAAGCUCUAUCAUUCUAUAUUAAACCCGGAACCUUGGUUCAUUUCGGAAUUUGGACUACUGCAUGAUGGCGUAUAAGUUUAAACCGUUCAUUAUACGAAUCCAGUGUCAUCAGUUUAGGGCAUAUAUGGAAGUAAAGGUUGAACAGAAAGAUGAACUUGAGGGAAAACUAAAAAUAAUGAUCCUAAUCUACAAUCAAAUGAAAAGAAUAGUGUGGAUUUAAAAAUCAGAAAACUGUAGGAAGGAAACUGGCUAGUUCCCCACCUCCCCCUUCCAGCUAAAUAACAUUUCAUAAUCUGAUAAAUCCAAAGAAAAUGCUGUAUCGCUAUUUUGAAGAGUGGAUUCAAUAGAGAACAUUAACCCAUAAAGAUACAAGACCCAUGGAAAAAAACCCACGAUAAGGAUCCUUCAGUAAAAUCCAUUUCAGGAGGCAGCGCUCUGCCGGUGACUGAAGAUUGAAGAGACGAUGAAAAACAUCAGAUUUCAUCGUCGCUUCUCUAGAGGAGGCUAUACUCGACUUCUUAAUCCUGAAACUCUCGAUCUAUUCGAAGGUUCACAGGUUUCAAAUAAGUUCAAAGAGGAUCCGGAGAGGCUCGACCCGCAUCAUCGGGGAAGUGGGAGGAAUGGGGUGCUGGAAAGGAAGGAGAGAGAGAGAGAGAGAGAGAGAGAGAAAGAGAGAGAAGCAGACCGGCCAGCCGAUCCAGGACUGUUCAUGGGGCUCCCACUCCGCCGGCAUGCGGAACCCCAGGAGGGCCGGCUUGCCCUUCAGAUCCUCCAUCUCUUCUUCGCACCCCGCCGAGCCGCCGCCGGCUUGUAUCUACUCCCACCUUUCUUAUACCCGGCGCUCAAUCAGGCUGUGGUGGCCGCAAGCAGAAUGAUCAAACCGAUCAAGCCCUUCUGCAUCCGCCACGCAGGUGGGCUGACUCCGAGGAGACACAGGUCAACAGAGGACCCUGGAAUAGUAGAAAGAACAGGAUUUUAUUGGUAGAAAAUAUCUCCGACAUUCCGCACUAGCGGGUCCGACCGAUCCACCCAGGUUAUUGAAGUCAGGUGGUACACUGUUGAAGCCCCAGACUCUUUCUUUCAUCCACGUGGCGGGCGGCCCACGCGGGCAUUCAAUCGUCGCAGCAGAUCGCCGAUGGGCCGUAGCAGUGUAGCCCCACCUCAGGGAACUAACGGCCAGGCGAUUGCAAACCAGAAUGCCUGCCGACUCACAGACGAAAGAGCUGCGGGGAGCUCGGCAAGGACAACCGGAAUGGAGGCCUCGGCUGAAGCACAGGAGGCGCAGCAGCAGGAGGCGGCGGGAAGCAAGGACGGGAUCCGGAGAAGGUGGAGCGACGGCGCCAUUGGUCUUGUGCUCCCCCUCCCCGGUUUGCUGGUGAUGAUGGCUUGGGAUGGCGAGCAGAAGGUGAUGGAAGACAGAAGGAUGGCCUUUUCUCCAGGCUUCUGAGUUAUUCGGGUGUUAUGGCCAGACAGGACACGUGGGACAUGCAUUUCCACUGACCGUUGCGUCAUGCGAUUCAGAAGCGCCCACUCCUUUCUUCUCUAGCCAAGCAGAGGGCGGAUAAUGUGCAUAAUUUGUCUCUCCCCCUCCCCUUCUCUAUGGCUCACGUGUUGGAACAAAUUGUUUGUUCCUCUAAUGACUGGGAACGCGCUGGUGGAACCGUUUCUCUCUUUGUAGUUUCCUCAUCCCCUGUUUCUCUCACCUCUCCUACUUUCUGUAUUAUCUUUAGAUUAAGCCAAUUCAUCCUUUUAUUAAUUAUCUCAGAACUUGAUGUUGACAACGGAGGGACAUGAGCUAAACAACUUGGUUGUGAAAGAUCGAGGAUAGAACAUCUAUUUUUCUCUCUCCUUUGUCCAUAUCUUUUUUGUACUUUGGUUUAUAUUUACUUGGGGAACUCAAAAGAAGUUAUCAUCAAAUUUGUUGUCUUCCUUGUGAACUUGACUUAAAACUCGCCAUAAUUAAUUGAUUUAGUUUAAUACGAAUUAAAUUUUACAGAUGUUAAAUUUGGCAUCCCUCAUUCCAACGACUAAUAGAGAAUCAAAUUUCAAAAAGGGACUAGACAAACUUGGAUCUCUAGUUAACAAUUGACUGUGGCCUAUUGCAAUGCCAACAUAUCCAAUUUCAACCAAACACAAACAUGUUUGAAUACACAAAUACUACUCACAUGUCAAUGGCAUCAUACUAUGUGACCUGACACAUGUCAUCAUAAUUUAGUGUCUAAUUAAGUGAACGAAGAAAGUGCAAAGAUAUAAGCCUGAGUUAGCAAAAUAAUCAAUCAUGGAUUUAGUGGUGAGCUCUUGAGUGUUCAACAUAAUGAUGGUUGUUGAUUAUUUUUCCGUAAACAAGAGUAGAGUGUCUCUCAUGUCUAGUAAUGAUGUCCUUCAACCUCUUGCUUGAUCCCUAGCCUCCCUUGUAAUUAACAACCUUUAUUAGUCUCUUCUCCAACCUCAUCCCUAUCCCUAGUAGUUUUAUUUCCCUCCAAUACCACUUAAGUAGACUUCAUGAUAUAUCUUUGGUCUUUCUUAUGAUCCUUGAGUCAAUAUGCCGAAGCUUCAUAUGCAUACUAAAAUAGUUCAGUUGCUAUCCAAAGAAUAUCGAUUAAAGUUCUGAGGAAAAGAGUAAAUCCAAUUGCCAUUUUGAGAUUAGGCCCUCGAUCAUCAUGUGACAUGAUAUAAAAGAAACCCUUUGCCAAACACAAUUUAUUAUUCAAAAUCCAGAUAGGAAACUAAACUUAUUGAUGGUUGCAGCACUAAAGUGAAAUCUAGUAUGCUGAAUGUGAAAAAGAAUUUUUGAGAUAUCUGAGUUUAGAUUCCUAGAUAAUCAUAUGAAAACUAGGAUCAUAGUUUUGGAUAAUGUGGUUGGCUAAAGCUGGAGAAGACUAUUGUGGGCUGAUGAGUCUGCCUUCACAAAUGUCACAAUGUGGCUGUCGACGCUAAGCAGCCGCUUGGGCAUCACACCCAAUGGGUCAAAGCAUCUUAUAUGGUUCAGGGACACAGCUGAAUCACAUAGCCCCUUGCAUAUUCAUUGAUGGCAAAGCGGGUGUAGUGAGUGGCAAAGGUUGACGAAAUGCUACCCCUCAUCACAGACCCAUCGCUAGGGCUCAGCUGCUAGAUGUUAGAGCUGAUUGAGCAUGCCCUCAGAUUGGUAAACCUGAUGUUGACUAUCAUUCCUAAGAUCACCCUCUCUUCAUCAAGGUCUUCCAAGAAGAAGGGGAGAUGAAGGCCGCACAAGUUGGCAGUGAGGACCUUAUAAAACUUUUAUUAGUAUGUCACCAUUUAGAUUAAUUUUUGGAAAAUCAUGUCAUUUAUUGUUGAAUUAGAAUAUAGAGCUUAUUGGGCAAUAAAACAAUUAAAUAUUAACUUACAUGAGGUUGUACAUCAUAAAUCUCUGUUAACAUGAUAUCUCUAUUGAUUAUUCUUUACAUUUCAUGUAAUUUUUUUCAUUAAAUCCUGAAAAUAUCAUGUUAUUAACAAAAUUAAUGUAAAUAUUCCUAUAUUUACAUUAAUUUUACUAGUUGCACACUAUACUUGAAUUUUGCAUGAUUUUGACUAACUCUACUUGACUUCUAUGAAGUCAAGAAGUUUUAUUACUAAUAAUUUUUUUUAAGUUUUUGUGUGCAUAGAAUGUAACAAGAAACAACAAUAAAUUAGGAGCACUUUAGUGAAUCCAAUUUAGCUUAAUGGUCUAGGAGUACUUUGGAGGAAUUUUGGUUAUGGAGCUUAAAGGAGAAAUGAAAGGAGGUUUUGGGCCAUGUCUAGGCCCAUUUAGACCUUCAUAAAUCCAUUCUAGAGGAAGAGAUUUUCAAAUUCAUGGAGAGAGAUUAGGGAAUUAUAAAGGGGCAUUUUAGUCAUGCCUACCCAUGUAUAAAAACUCAUCUCUCCUAUCUCUCCUCAUUGUAGACAUGCUCUAGCAAAUGACUGGCCAGCAAGACAAGGAUCUCUAGGGUCCAAGGUUUUCCCUAGCUUGGUGUAAGUUUCCUUGAAGUAAUCAUUCAAUCUUCUCUCUCGUUUGAUUUGGAAAACGUUUGAUCCUAGCAGAAUAUAAGGAUCUGAACUUGAGAUAAUGCAUUGAGGGCUCAAGAAACGAGCACUAGAUUUUUUUUAGGAACUUUGGUUUACAUCAAAUCAUCAUUUCACUUCACCUACAUUGCUUCUCACCAUUGACUUCCAAACUGGGGGGCCCUCCAGUCUGACUUCAGAGCCUUCAUUUUUUUCUCUCUACCCCAUCAUUUUGUCCACUUUCUCUCUUUAGGAUUUAUGUUUUUUUUCUCUCGAGGUCAUCCUUUCUCUCUCUAGUUAGUCACUCUAAAAAAAAUCACAACGAAACAAAGUUAUCUAGUUCCUCGUCCAUCGCCAUGUGAUCUGGCACUUUGCCUUUUCUCCACCACUCCUCAUCUCUCUCGUCUGCCAACCACUGCUGCCAUCUAUCACCAACAGCUGCGCAUCCACCAAUCACUACCGUGUGCUCAUCGCUAGCCGCCGCACAUCCACUGAUCACUGCUGCCACCUAUGGCCCGCCGUCGUGCACUUGCUGCUAGUCGCUAUGUGUCCACCACCCUCUCUCUCUCUACCCUUCUUGACGUAACCAAAAGUCCUAAAUUUCAAUUAAGUUUAGAAAUGGUCAUGAGAGAUCAGUACCCAUGUAGUCCCCCCUGACCCAACCAUCAACCACAAAGGUAAGUCAUUUUAUUAUUAUUUAUUUUUAUUCUUUUGCAUUUAAAAAAAUCAAUCAAAAUUAGAAAAAAAUACUACAAAAUAAAAUUCUAAGUAGUCAUUAGUUGUAUUUUCUGCACAUGUAAAUUCCAAAAAACUCUAUUAAGCUCUAUAAAAAUCCUAAAAAAACUUAGAGUGAAAUUUUAACUUCCAAACUUAUUUCUACCAUUUCUAGGCCUCAAAAAAUUCUCAAAAUUUAAUUUCUACCUCCUUGUGGAUCGACUCCUUAUUGCCCUAUGCUUGAUAUAGAGUAACUAAAUGGAAAAUUUUCUCAACUAUUGUUGGUUAAGUCUGAAUUAAAAUAGCGAUGAAAAACCCUGAAAUUUGGACUUGAAAUUUUCAAUUAUUUGAAUUAAAAGAGCUUAAGAAUGAGGAUUAUGAAACUUUUCAUAUUUAAAAAUUUCUCGUAAAAGAUUAUUAUGAUAAACAUAUUACAAGAAAAUCAUUUCAGGUUGGUCAAAAGGUAUGGCUUUUUAAUUCAAGAUUACAUUUAUUUAUUGAAAAAUUAAAAUCAAGAUGGGAUGGUCCUUACAUUAUUGUUGAUGUUACAAAUAGUGGAGUUGUAAAAAUUAGUGACCCAAGAGAUGAACAAAACUUUGUUGUCAAUGGUCAAAGGUUCAAACAAUAUAUAGAACAUGAUCCACCUAAGCCUAUAUUAAUAGUUAAAUUUAAAAAUCCUUAAGCAUCAUUAUAUUAGGUUAAAGACAUAAAAAUAAGCACCUAGUUAGGAGGCAACCCAAUAAUUUUUAUUUUUUUCAUUUUAGAUUUUUUUACAUUUAUUUAUUUUAUUUAAAGAGAUAAUUUUUAUUUUCUACAAUUUUUAUCUACUAUUAAAAAUAAGGUAUCAACUCUCCACUCUUCCAUAUUUUAUCCAUUAUGUUAAAAUUUUAUUUGAAAAUUUUAAUAUCUUUAUAUUUUAGUUAAUGGUUCAUCUUUUUAGAUAAUUUAAGGGACUGAUCAAAUAUCACCAACAAAAAAUUCAAGGAGUUGAAUAAUCAUCUAUGACUAUUCAAUGAGUUUUUCUAAACUUUAAUUCUUAAUAUUUCACACUUGAGAUAAAUUCUAUAGUGUUUAUUUCUUUUAUAAUCUCAAUAGAAUAUUUUAUUGGGGAUAAUAGAACAACUAAGUUAGGUAAGGAGAAAUUUAUAAAAAUCAAAUAUACAAUUUAUUGUAUGAAAAUGAGUUUAUAGUAAAUUUUUUGUAUGAUUUCGUACAUAUUAAUUACGAAAUAUUGAAAUAAAUAAUACAUCAUGAAUUACUAUAUGAAUUGAUUUAUAGAUGAGCAAGAUGAAGAACUUACUCUAUGAUGUAAGUUUUAUGUCAAGUUAAAAGUUCAAAUAUUUCCCUAGGGGGAGUUAAAAACAUGGAAUUGAAUCAAAGCAUACAUCUCAAACUCAUUUUUAUAUUUAUUAUUUUUUGAUUCUUAAACUUCUGAUCUUACUCAUUCACAUCUCAUGAUCUAAUGUGAUUAAGCCUUGUAUGAAAAUCAUUUUUAACAUGAGAUAGAGCUUUUGUCAAUUUCUUUGACAAUUAGUAUUUAUAACUAAGUGAAGCCCCAUGAACCACAGAGGGAUAUAAAAGCUCUUCAGGGAAAUAAGAUGCAUGCUUAAUUAGGGCAACACAUGGAAAAAAUAUUACAAUUCUUUACAAUAAAAUUAUGUUUAACUUGAAGAAAGCAUAGGGAGUAUGUUGUGAGACAUCAUAGGGUUGUGAGACACCUAGGCAUUCCUCUAGUAGUAAGUAUUGAUGAUAAAAUCUUAUUAAUUAUUACAUGAUUUUUGAAAAUUAUUUUCCAUGUGUUUUAGCCAUUUUAUAUAUAGCCACUUAUAUAUACGAUUUGACAGAAUCUUUGUCCUGUCCAUAUCUUUUAUAGUGUAUGGUAUCUAUCAAUGUUAUUUCUUGAUGAGGUGAAUUCUUUUUUUUAUUUAUAUAGUACAAUUAUUAUUAUACAUAGAGUAUUAAGAAACGUGCUUAAGAUCAUGAAAAUGUUUGAAGUACAUAUUUUGAGAAAUAUUUUGACACAAAAGGUAGGUUUAGUAUCUAUGCUUGACAUAGAUCAUGUAAUCAUUUGAUAAAGUUAUUUCAUAUUAGCUCUGAUCGAUGAUUGCUUUAUAAUGCUCUUAAUAUUUAAAUAUAUGUUUUAUUUUCAUUGUUAAGGGAUUAAUAAUGAUUCAAGUUGGGGAUGUGAUAACUAGUGAAAAUUAACAUAUUUGAGAAGUAUUUCACAAGUUAUCAUGUUAAUUAUUUUAUUUGUCAUUCAAAUGAACUUCUCUAAAUAUUGAUUUAAAUUCAUAUUUAAUAAAUAAAAAUAAAGUGUAUGAGAAUUUAUUUCAUAUUUGGAGGCUUAAUUUUUAUUUAUUUUAUUUUUAAGUAAAUUAUUAUUUUGAUAAAUUUGUAUGAUUAAUUGAAAUACAUUUUUACAGUUUUUUCAAAGUUUAUAAUCAUUAAAAUAAAUAUAAAAAUAGAGAAAAAGGGCUCACCAUUUAAUAAGCCUAGCAUGGGCCCAAAGGGCACAUUGCCUCGUGACCCAUGUUGAAUCGGGUAAUGUAUCAUAAGGGUUUUGGAGCACAUAGGCUCAUCUCUACAGCCUACUAGGAGCUCGAUGUGAAACCUAGAUCUACCUUGGGAGUUGGGGCUAGAACUCAAAUCUUCCCUUUUGGAGAUGCCUCUACUAAUGUGGAGGGGUGUCUCAAUAUACAAUAUAAAUCUUACUUAAAACUUCUAAUGCGGAAUUAAAUUCUCUCUUUUUCUUUUUUAUCAGAUUCAAUAGUAAAGUUGGAGCAAUGGCUAGAUCCGAUGCACCAUAUGAUGCAACGUCACAGCCAUCAUCAUUCAAAAAAGUAACUCUAGAUCCAACAAUGGCUGCUACCACAUCCAAUGAUCUAGGAGACACCAUGUCACUACCCACCAUCACAGGAGAAGCAACCACCAAUCAAUGGUGGCUAUAGUUGCAUUUGAUGCACAAGAAUGUCCCAUGUUGCGGCCAUCAUCGUAUGAAAAGUAGCAUCAAAUCCAAUGACAACCACUAUCAAAUCCAACACACCAAAAGGGACACAUCGCCAACCACCAACAUGUGUUGCGGCAAGCACAUAGAUUUUGAUAAAACACAUGAAAAAGGAGGGAGAAGUGAUGGAGAUCUAACAACAACUAUUGGGCCACAUCACCCCUCUUCAAAAUGAGAUGACAACAUGAGGAUCUAAAAAUAUUCAUCGAGCCAUGCAUUAUAGGAUAUUUACAAAUAUUAAUUAUCAUUUGCCAAAAUAGAUGAUAUCGAUUAUUCUUUGAUACAUGCAAGAAGUUAUAUUUACAAAUAUCAGUUAUCAUUUGGUAAAACAUAUAAUAUUGAUUAUUGUCACGUGAAAAAAUGAGAAAAUGUCAGAAAAAUUAGAGAAAAACUAGAAAAAUACAGCAAAAAAUAGGAAGUUAAAGCAUAAAAUAUGAUUGCAGAGCUAAAAAAAAUAAAUAAGAGAAGAGAGAAAUAAAGCCUUUUUUUGAGUUGUUCUUUGGUUGUUCUUGAGAGAAAAUAUUAUUCUUCUUUUUCUAGUGAAAAUAGAAAUCUGAAGAGUGCAUCAUUGAUUUUGAUCUUUUUCCUCUACCCUUCUCACCUUAAAUCUAUUUCAUUGAACUAGAUGCAAAAUUGAGAAGUGCUAUCAUAAGUCAACAUCAAGUCAUGCAUUCUAAGGGUUGUAAGUUUGAUUUUUAAUAGAGUUUUCAUUAUUUUCUUGUCAGAUCUUCAAAAUAAAUUUAUUUUCUUACAUUUACUUAUUUUUCGAGUUUCAUCAUUCUAAAGUAUAUUUAUUUACUUUUUAAAUUUUAUUUCAGUUUUAAAUUCAUAUUUAUAUUUAUUUAACAUUUUAUUUCCUUUAUUACUUUGACUAUCAAUUCAAAUAUUUAAAUGAAUUUUAUAAUUCGUCAAAUUACAGAAUAAAAGAUUUUUAAAAGCCUUCUCUAAGGAGAUGACCUAGCUCACCAAAAUAUCUAUUUAUAAUUAUUUUUGGUGACUCUAUUUCUAUAAAUUAUUAAAAUUAAUUGAUGAUUCUAAUAACAAUUUAGGGUUACAUGAGAGGCCUUAUCUAGUUGUUAUUUUCAACCCUAAAUAAGGUAUUAAACUAGUCCAAAUUCUCUCACAAAUAGUAGGAUUUACCUUAAUCUUAAAACCCUUAAAUUUAGUGCAACUUGAUAUUACAACCUACUUUUAUUUUCCUUAUUCUAGAGUCACUCAUUUCUAGCACUCCUCUUUGUCCCACAUCACCUUUGUGAAUGAUUAUUCAUUGAUUUUAUGGGUCUAUCUUCUCAAAGCUCGUACUGAUGUCCUUCCUAUUAUUCAUCAGUUUCUAUAGGAAACUAUUACUCAAUAUUCUUUAACUUCAAAAAUCCUUUAAUCUAACAAUGCCCUUGAGUUUGUGUAAGACUCACUAUAAGAACAUUUUACCUCCCUUGACUUUAUUCAUCAAAUAUAUUGUCCUCUCACCUCCCAACAAAAUAGAAUUGUUGAGACACAAACAUCAUCACCUUCUUGAUAACACUUGUACACUAAUAAUACAAAUAAGAGUUAUCUAGUAUCUAUGGUGUGAUGUCAUUUUCAACACAACUUAUUUUUUAAUCAACUUCUCUCUUCACCUUUAAGAGGAGAAGUCCCACUUAGCCAUCUAUCACCUUUAUUCAAGAUCAUUCACUAAAUCUCUCCAAACUUUCUCCUAGGGCCUAUUGAGAAUAUUUUUUUCAGCUAUUCUCAAACCCAAAAGGGUUAUCACAUAUAUAUUUUAGAUUAUUAGUGGUACAUAAUUUUGACUAAUGUCACCUUCUUUAAAAUUACUUGAUUCCUCUAUAUUACCUCUACUCCCUCCACAAUUCAUCUGCCUCUAUUUCUCUUGGAAGAAUUAUUAUGUUUGACACCUACUACAACAUCAGACUUAGACUUCUCACCUCUACUGGUUACCACUUCAACCCUCUCCUCUAGUUUGUCACCACCAUCUAAUUGUGAUCUUCAUCUCAUGAUCAUAAUAUGCAAAGGCACUUGGAGUUGCACCCUUCAUCUAAUUUUUCAUUGUGUUCUUAUGACUAAGUUCAUUUCACUUUUCAUAACUUUGCCCUCUUGAUUACCACUAAGUAGAUUCCUAAAAUGUAUUUGGAGGCAUUGCUCAUGUGCUAUGAACUUAGAGUACAAAGCACUACUCAUGCACAAUAGUUGAAAGUUAUUUCUUUAUCCCAAGGAUGUUAACAUCGUUACUUGCAAGUGUGUAUUUAUGUUCAAAUACAAUUUAGAUAGUACUGUCAAUUAACAUAUAGUGUCUAGUGACUCAGGGCUUCUCUCAAGCAUAUGAAGUUCACUAUAAAGAAACAUUCUCUCUAAUUGUUUGCCUCAAUUAUAUUCGUGUAUUGUUCUCUUUUACUAUCAACAAAGGAUGGACACUCAACUUGACAUCUAUAAUAUCUUUCUCUAUGAAGACUUAAUCGAAUGUCUUUAUGGAGUAGCCUCAAAAGUACAUUAUUUAGGAGGAGUCAUCUAAGGUAUGCCUUCUCAAAUGUACUGUCUAUAAUGUUAAACAAAGUCUCUAAGUAUGGUUUUUCAAGUUUAGCAAGAUCAUAACUCUAUAUGACUUCAUGACGUGCAUGGUGAACCUUAUUGUGAGUGUCAUUCUAAUUAUCUAUGUCAGUGGUAUUGUACUCAUAAGUAAUGAUAUGAUGCUCAUUUAUAUGCACGCUUCAUUAGUCAUGACAUAGGUAAACAUUGCAACUUCUUGGGCAUUGGACUCAUCUAUCAACACAUAAGGAUGGUUCUUUCUCAGUAUAAAUGUGUUAGAUCUACUAAAAGAAGUUGGCAUUUUGGGUUGUAAAUUUAAGCUAUCACUAAUUGACUCACAACUCAAUUUUUAGGACACUAUAUAUCCUCUCCUUGAUGAUGUUAAUCGAUAUAGGCGACUAAUCAGGAAGUUAAUCUACCUAAUAAUCACUCCUUUGACAUUGUCUAUACCAUGAGACUUUUUAACUAGUUUGUGUAUGAGCCACAACAAGUAUACUAAUUAGGAGCACUACGUGUAUUGGCAUAAAUAAAAUGAGUUUUAAGAUGAUGCUUAGUAUACAAGUGACAUGAACAUCUUUAGGUUGAAGUUUACUCAAAAUUUAACUAUGCAAGCAAUAUGGGUGAUCGAAAAUCUACAUCUAGGUAUUGUACAUAUGAUAAAUCAGAUUUUUGGGUGAAAUUUAUCUUUUAAGGUUCUGAUUAGUAUAACAAUUUAGAGAUUUUCCUUACUUGUAUAGGGUGUGUAAGGGUCAAACCACAAAUAGCAAGAGUCAAAUCAAUAAAUUUUUCUUCUUGAUGAAAAUAAUUUAGAUUGGUGACAUUAUUUGUAUAUACACAUGUAUCUACAUUUAAAUUUUAUAUAGCUUCUUGUGAAUUAAUUGCGCUAAAAUUUGAGAGAAAACUAAUCAAACCUACUUUAAUUAUUCUAAGAAGUGCUUACCUAUUUAUAUGAAAUCUUAGCUUCUCUCUAUUCCAGUUUUUUUAUUUUUAACAAGAAGAAAACCUAAAAUCAAAGUAAUUUUACCUUGGCAAGCACUUAGCCAUGUGAGCUCACAAGCAACAAGCACGCGAGUGCACAAGUGACAAAUGAAGUACACGUGGUGAUGCACUAGCAAGUGGUGCACUGGAUAUCACACACCAACAAGUGUCAGUUUGUCAAUGCAGUAUCUGCGAGCGGCCGACAAUGAUGCAUGGAUGAUGAAGCCUUGAUGAGCAUCAUACAAGCGAUGAUGUGUUGACAAGUGGAUAGAUGAUGAUGCACCAGCGAAUGGCACAUGGGUGAUGACGCACCGGCAAGCAAUGCAUGGGUGGUGACAUGUUGGCAAGUAGGCGAACGAGUGUGCGGGCAGUAGGUGUAUGGACUAUGACACACUGGCGAGUAGAGGAAUAUUUUGUUUGUAACUUUUGCUACAUAACAAAGUUUUGGCCAUGAUUUGCGGCGUAGGAAAGCCCUAAACUUUGGCUAUCCUCUAGAGAGACAACUUGGGCAGAGAAGAGAAGGGAAAAAGGUAAGGUUAAGGAAGAAGAUAUGAACCUCUUGUCAUGCCAGUCAAGGCCUAGGUCUUUCUUCCUUCUCCUCCUCUGUACUCUCAAUCACGGAUUGCUUCUCCCUCAUUUAGACACUCUAAAAAAAGAGUGAAACCAAGAAAAUAUUGUUCAUCAAUUGCCAACCACAAGUUAGGGCAGCAAUUCUAAGUUAAUAUCAUAGAGGAAAAGAGUUAUAGGGUUCUAGUUUCUUCGUGUGAAAGACUUAGAAUGAAUGGUCUGAAUCAAUUCAUUUUGUGCCUUAGAUCUCAUCCUCCCCCCUCCUAAAAUCAGCCAACAACUCUUCAAUUUUGAGAUUCUAAGUCCUAUUUGAAAGUUGGCCUCCUCUUUAGGUGGACAUGGACCACCUUUCAGUUCUAUUUUGGGCCCAUAUCAUUGGGCUUAAAUGUCAACUGAUUUACUCCUUUUGCAUCUCAUUUCCAUCAUUGAAAUUACCUAAGUCAUGCAUCUCAAAAAAAACUAUAAAGAAGUAAUGAGAAAAGUCUAUUUAACUCAAGAGAGUCAAAUGAGUUUAGUCUCUAAAUCAAUAAAUUCAAUAAAUAUGACUAAAUAGGUAAUUCGUGCUUUUUAGUUUUAAGCAUAAACAUUAGAUUAUAUGUGUGUAAAAGUAAAGAUAAGUUAAGAAAAAAAACAUUAUUACACACAAUUAUCACUAACUAUUUGAUAUCAUCAAUAGGAGAAAUCUCAUCACCUAGGAUAGUAAGAAAUAACAUGUGGUAUCUCACUUUAGUAUUGAAGCAAAGUAUAGGGAUAUGACAAAGAUGACAUGUGAAAGAAUGUGGAUAUGUUUACUUCUUCAAGAACUGAUGUUUAUAGAUACACACCUAUGCACAUGUACUUUGACAACUAGGUAGCCAUCUUAAGGUUGCUUGUCACUAUGUACAAGAUAAGGUUCUCAAGGGGCUUAUAUUACUACACCAUACAUUAUGUCACCAGAUUAAUUGAUAGACAUUUUCACGAAGAGCUAGGGAAUACUCAAUAUCUACCAUCUAACUAGAGGGGGAGUGAGAAAGGGCCUUACCAGCACAUGGGCCUAAGGAGCCUCUCCCUAUAUACAUGGGAGAGGCCUCCUUUCUCUCUUGCGCUCUCUCUCUCUCUCUCUCUCUAGUAUUUCUUGAUAAAGGCAUUUCAUUUCAUUUUUUAAUGUUGACAAUAGUUUGAUUGUAUACAAGAUGUAUGAGCAUAUUUAAAUAAUUAUGGCCAAUAUAAACAAUAUUAAAAAUUUUUUGCUAUUAUUUUUCUACCUAUAAAAUGAUGUCCACAUCCAUAUGAAUGAUAAUGUUCUAAAAUUUGGUUUUGUUCUACUUCAGGGAUACAUCUAUGUAAAAUUUUGUCUACACCUAAGUAAAAUUUUGAUCAUUCCAAAAAUAAUGUACAGCACAAACAAAGAAUCACCCACACUCAUUUUUCUGCCAAUAUGAUAGAAUUUGUCCACCUGCUAAAUCAAAUUGAGAAAUGAAUUCAUUAAUGUGAUCAAUGCAAUUAAGCUCUUCAAUUGGUUGAAGGUCGAAUCAUAGGUUAAGCAUUAAGAGAGGUACCUUCAAGCUGCAAAACAUAUAAAUUAUCCAUUUGAAUACCCUUGUGAAUCAUUUUCUUGUGGAGAAAAGCAUAAAUCAAAUGGUAGUGGCAAAAAAACUUGAGUUGAACUUCAAAACUGGUUGUAAUAAAGCUCACAAAGAGUAAGUUGAACUGAAAUUUAGGAAAAAAAAUAUAUUCAUGAGAAACAAAACCAAAUUCAAUUGAACAUUGGCAAUCAUAUGGACUAACAUAUGUGCAUUAUUUGGCAAAAUAACCUCAGAAUUUUGUAAAGACCAUAACGUAGUGAAAUAUUUUGCAUCUACACAAAUAUGUUGAAGUGCACUAGAAUCAAUGAUCCAAAAUGACUUAGAUGACAACAUAAGGUUCAAUAAUGUUGGUAGACAUAUACCUAUCAUAUAAGUUGAUGGAGAUGAAUCAUGUAGACAAGUACUAUUCCUUGAGAAAGUAAGUCAUGUUGACAAUAGAAAAAUUAAUUGAUCAUAUUGAGUGGUGUUUAAGUUUCUAAGGAAAUGAUCAAUGUCAUCAUUGGACUGCUUAGGAGGUAAGUAAGAAGUGGAUAAAGUUUGAACCUGAUUGACAAUUGUUGUAAGUUAGGCUUUGAUUUCUAACUUGGUGGACAACCAUGUACUUUGUAACACUUUUUGAUAUUGUGACCUCAUCGAUUUUAAAGUAUGGAAUGUAAUGAUGUCGAAGGUUAUUUGAUGAUUUAGCACCAAAGGUCAUAGUAAUUGGAGGGUUGAUCCUAAUAAUGGGCUGCACUUUGAUUUGUCUUCAGAAUUCUUAUUCAGUAAUCAAGGAAAAAAUCUUAAUGACAGAUGGCAUUGGGUCAAGUAUUAAAAUUUGAGCCCGAAUGGGUGAAUAAGAUUCAUUGAGACCCAUCAAGAAAGAUAUGGCAUGAUCAUACUCUUAAGUUCUCCUAGAUAUACAUUUUUUACAUAAGUAUCUAGGUAGUAAUUGAUGGGUUCCAGUCGAUGUGGUUUAGAACUAUUAAAUCUUACUUUUAUAAAUUGAAUCCUAAAUUAAUUAUUCUCUUAAUCAUAUUUUGUGGGUUUAUAUUGAUGGGAGAUUUACUUUGACCUAUCUUCUAAUCUGAAAAUCAAAGAAAUGAUGAAGGGACCUACUAAUUAGAAAAGCUUGAUUUGGUCUCAAAAAAUGAUUGAUAGUUCAUUAGAUUAAAUCAGAUAUAUGUUUAGCACAUGUCAAAAGAUAAUUUUUUCUCAAGGUUGUGUUGACGGACAGAUGAUAAAGAAAGAAUUUAUCAACACUCAAUGAUCUUCCUAUGAUAUGAAAGUAUAUGUGUGAUAUCCAAACACAAUAAAGAGAGAAGAACACAAUCUGAUCCAUUAAUGGAUAGAAGUGAAUGACAAAGAAUGAAAUGAACUUCAGAAAAUAACAUAAAAUAAAGAUUUCUCUCUCUUAGUUUGACGAAUUUGGGGAAGAGAAUGCUGACCACGCGCAUAUGGCAAUGUUCAUUAAUGGUCCUUGCUCUAUUAUACUAGGGAAAGAUGAUGCACAAAUUGGUGGUCCAAGGUGUCCCUAUCCAUUGACCUUAGACAAACCACAAUGGCCUUUGAUGUUGUCGCCACCAAAGAGGAAGGAGAAGGGAUGACCUAACUAUCCUAGGUGAUAAAGGAUAGUGUUGGAGGAGAAAGGAUGAGCAGGCCAUCCCCCAGUAGGAAAAAUAUGCACCAAGAGGUGAGAGAAGGUGAGAACGUGAAUGAGUUAGAGUAGCUGCUGCUCCCAUUAUUUAAUUAGUUGCCUUACCAUUUGUCUUCCUCUUUUGCCCCUCAUGGCUUGCAAGACUUACAAGUAUAUCUCAUAAAAAUUAUAGUUUUACAAAGUUCAAUUCAUCACAUGUUUAAUAAGCCAAGAUAAAGUUUAAUAUUAUAUGAUCAUUUUCUACAUUACCAUUAUCAAUUAAUCUUCCCCUCCAAAGGCUACUGAUUUGUAUUUGAUAAUAAAAUAUCUAUUUUAUCUUAUAUUUUUCAUAAUUGUAAUUAAACAUAAAGAAAUAAUGAGAUAAAUGUAUCAUCCAUAAAUAUGCAUAUAUAGAAUUUUUAAUACACAUUCAUGAUAUUUCUACAUUCAUUAAGCUUUAAUCUUACAUCUUCUUACCUUUUUAUUAAGAUAAUUCAUUUAAUUAUGAGUAAUAUGAUUAAUUCUUUGCAAAGAGUUUUUAACUUGGUGAAAUGAUUAUAGAAUCUUGAUCUUGAUGUAGAUUUAUUAGCUCAUAUAAUAAUUGAAAAUUUCAAGGUUUAUUUCUUUGUUAAAAUUUAUGCUUGAGUUAUCUCCAUAUCCCUAUGAAUUAGAAAGGAUAAUACUUGUAGAUAUCACACAAGAAAUAGAGUUGAAAAUCCAAGAAAUCACAAUGUUGUUAUUUCAGUUCCAAGCAGAUUACAUGAUAGAAUCACCAUCACUAGGCUUGAGUCUAGAGCCAUCAAUGAAUCCAACUUUAUUCUUGACUAAGAGUGCAAUGAGUAUAGCAUGGCUCCAUGAUGGGUAGUUUUCUCAUGUAAGCUAUUGAGUGACUAAUAUUUAAGUUGGAUUAUCUAAAUGAUGGACUUGCUCGUUCGUCUAAGACCUAUUUAGUGGGAGUGCUCUAUGAGGGGGGAACUAUUAUGAGGCAAUUCUCAAUCAACAGAGUAAAUUGUAUGUAUAUAUAGAUGCAAUCGUGGUCAAAUAACUAGAAGAUUAUGUAGGGUUUGUUGGAGCCAUGAAGGUAUUAUGUUUUUAGGAUGAAAAAAGUAUCAAAAAUCAAUUAAGAAUAAUCAAGUGAAUGAAAUAUGCUUUAAUAAUAUAAAUGUGUGGGUGAAUAUAAGUAAAUAUAUUAUACAUAUUACAUGAAAUACACAUUAUAAUAUAAUAUGUGAAAUCAUAUAUAUGAAGUAUAUAAAUCACGAUUACUAGCAUACAAAUGAGAAUAUAAUCAAUAUAUGAAGUACUCAUUAUAUGAAUUUGAAUAGUCAAAUCAUCUCAUCAUGAGAAUCUAUCAUCUUAUAUGUUGCCAUACAAAAUAUCAUUAUUUACAGAAAUCAUGCAACCAAAGAAGUAAUAAUUUGACAAAGCAAAUUAGUGAGUUUUAGUGAAGUAAAAUAUUGGAUAUAAAAUCAUACUUAGUCAACAAUAUUCUCACGAUUUUACUUGGUAGCUAUCACAUGAUUUUAAUAUCAAAUUAGUUGAAUGAUCUGUCAAGUGUUAAAUUCACCAAACAAGAUUUUUCGAAUAUCAUUGAAAUAUAUGUUGAAAAUCAUACGGACCAAUCUCACUAAAGAAGUUAUGGUUUGAAAUUGUGAGAUUAUGAUUUACAAACUAUACUUUUAUCUCAUUUUUUUACUAAAUUUAGAUGAGAUUUGAAAGAGAAACCAUUACUUUUACAAGACAUGUCAUAUCGAGUUCAUUGUAGAGCUUAUCAAAUUUUUAUCAAGUUUAAGUAAUAUUUGAAAUAGUAAGAAGACAUGUCGUACUAAAUUUAUUAAAGCUUUAAAUUUAAUAAUAUUUCAAGUAAAUCUAGUCAUUAUAAAUCUUGAAAAUCUUUGAUAUACUUAUACAUAAUUUACUUAUAUAUAUAUGACUGAUAUUUAACAGAAAGAAUUAAUCCUCAAUGACACAUUCAUUUGUUCUAAUAUUCUUCUUUUGUCUAAGUAUUUUUCAUGUAAUGUAUUAACGAGGAAAGAGAAGAUUUUCUAUUAUAUGUCUAUUGAAUAAGAAGACAAUAACUCAAAAAACGUAUUCAAGUCAUCAUUUUUCCUCAAGUUGAACUUUAUGACAAGCCUUUCAACUACAAUGCCAACAAACAAAAUAGUAAGAUAAAGAGCAAAGCAUCUACAUACUCAUCUUCUAUUAUUAUAGAAAUCUGAAGUAAUCAAUGUCUAUCUUUCAUGUCAACCCACAGUGACAUUAUUUUAUAUAUUUGUGGGUUGAACUAUGAUUAUUUGAUUAAUUAUUGAUAAAUCUAUGAAUUAUCAUGUAAAAGGGGCAAGAAGAUUAGUGAUUAAAAGCUAAGAAACAUAGAAAUAUGAUAAAUAUACAUUAAAUACUCUACUUAACAUUGUCAUAUGAUGGUUCAUGAAUUGUAUCAUUUUCCUAUUUUCUACAAGAAUGGGAGCACUGAGAUAAAUGAAAGGAGAAACAUAUGAUUAAUCUCUUGUGAUGGGAAGAGUAUUCAUGGAUAAUCAUGAUGCAUGAGCAUGAGCAUGAGCAUAUAUUUUCUUUUAACCUUAUCAUGGGUUGUUAAAGAAAUAAUGAACAUAAAAGGUAAAAUUGAAAUAAUGAUAUACUUGUUAUUAUUAUAGGUAUAGAGGGGCAUAAGGGGGAUGCCAAUAGUAGGGCAUGUGCUCCCAAUAAGGGGACCCACCACCAGCCUUUCUGUGGCAUUCACAAUCAGCCUCUCCCCCCCCCCUAUUGGUGAGACCCUUUCCCACCAUGAAGCUAGCUUACUCUUCCUUCCUCCCUCGAUGCUGCUUGCACCCCAAAGGCAGGUCACCUCAUCCUCCCCCCUCCUCCAAGGGUGAUAGUGCUAGACAAAUGAUUGUGGAUCACCCAAGGCCGUUGCACAAGAACAAUCUAGGCAACUAAGCCAUGCAACUGAAUUUCUCCUUUCCCCUAGCAUUGCCUAGCACUAUAGGUGAGUCAUCUCUUACUAUUUCCUUCUCCCUCUAAUGGUGACAGAAUCGGCAAUUUAUUUUGGAUUCCCUUACUUGGCACAAUAGAGCAAAUAACAUCAACCUCACCACUACAUGUGGCUAACAUCAUCUUCCUCACGACUGCCAAACUACAAGGAAGAAUGUUUUAGUCUCAUUGUUGUUUCAUUUUGUUUCAUUUAUUCUCUGUCUUGUUUGUGACAUCUCAAACAUAGUAGACUAGCAUUCUAUUGCUUUAUUUUCCCUUGUCAAGGUAUCAAGGAUGAAUACAAUAUAUACCUGACAUUGAGGUAUUACUAAGAAAUUUUGAAUGCAAUAUAUUCUAUCUUGAACUUUGUAAUUAAACUAGGGGAAUUAAUACCUAGAAAUUUAGUUUAGUUUUGAAUUAGAAAGUAAAUCAGAAUUGACAUUGUAAUCAAUACACUGAUAUUAAUUCAUAAUCCUCUUCUUGUUCGACCCGCAUCUCAAAAGCUAGGAAGACCGAGAGGCCAUCCACAUCUCUCCUCUACUGCAGGGAUGGGCAACCUCUCAAAAGAAGAGGAAGAUUGAGAGAUAUAGAUAUGGGGGGAUGAUAGUAAGAAGAGUGCAUCCAUAUCUCGAUUUCACGGAAGAUGCCUAACUUUAGUGGGAAUGGCGAGCUAGGCCUCCCCGAGCGCUCACCCGUCGAAGACACCGGAGUAAGGUCUGUCGACGCCGCCACCGCCGGAGGCCAAGGCAGGGCUCUUCGACCCGGUCAGGUACAGAAGCGGGAUCCUCCCGUUCUCCACCAGAACCCUAACAUCCGCCGGGACGCACCAAGAACCAUGGAGUAGACGAGGGCGAGGAGGACGAGGAAGAAAGCGCUGCGGAUGAUGGGCGAUCUUCACCGAGAACAGAGAGAAUCCGCCAUGCCCAACUCCUAGGAGAAGAGUAUUUAUCCAGAGCUGGGGCUUUCCUUGCUUCUUCGGCGCCGACGGCGCUUGGUCAAAACUAUUAACUGCAUCAUCUCUUCCCCCGUGUGCCACCUGAUCUGAAGCAUUUGGGUGUAGAAAAUGCUGCUCAUGCUCCUUUCGAAUCAUGCAGACCAGAGCCUGCGCUGGAGGCCCACUUCAGAGGUGCCCUUCCUGCGUGGCAGUUGCAGGACUUAACGGGUUUGAUCGCUCUGCUCGCGGGCACCUCUGCAUGAUUGAGCACCUGGUUGUCGAGGCGACAGCAUAAAAAAGCCCCCACCGGCGCGGCCGGGGUGAAGGGAAGAGAUGGGGUAAUCUGGUGGGCAAGCCGGCCCUUCUGAGGUUCCGCUUGGCGGCGCCAGGGGAGUCCAAUCAGCAGUCCUGAAACGGCCCGCCUCUCUCUCUCUCUCNNNNNNNNNNNNNNNNNNNNNNNNNNNNNNNNNNNNNNNNNNNNNNNNNNNNNNNNNNNNNNNNNNNNNNNNNNNNNNNNNNNNNNNNNNNNNNNNNNNNNNNNNNNNNNNNNNNNNNNNNNNNNNNNNNNNNNNNNNNNNNNNNNNNNNNNNNNNNNNNNNNNNNNNNNNNNNNNNNNNNNNNNNNNNNNNNNNNNNNNNNNNNNNNNNNNNNNNNNNNNNNNNNNNNNNNNNNNNNNNNNNNNNNNNNNNNNNNNNNNNNNNNNNNNNNNNNNNNNNNNNNNNNNNNNNNNNNNNNNNNNNNNNNNNNNNNNNNNNNNNNNNNNNNNNNNNNNNNNNNNNNNNNNNNNNNNNNNNNNNNNNNNNNNNNNNNNNNNNNNNNNNNNNNNNNNNNNNNNNNNNNNNNNNNNNNNNNNNNNNNNNNNNNNNNNNNNNNNNNNNNNNNNNNNNNNNNNNNNNNNNNNNNNNNNNNNNNNNNNNNNNNNNNNNNNNNNNNNNNNNNNNNNNNNNNNNNNNNNNNNNNNNNNNNNNNNNNNNNNNNNNNNNNNNNNNNNNNNNNNNNNNNNNNNNNNNNNNNNNNNNNNNNNNNNNNNNNNNNNNNNNNNNNNNNNNNNNNNNNNNNNNNNNNNNNNNNNNNNNNNNNNNNNNNNNNNCCUCCCUCCCUCCCUCCUCUCUCUAAUCGAACAAAGGGAGAAGCCCCGAUCACCGUGAAAAAGUUUGUUCACUUUCCUACAUAAAGAGGAUUACUUAAUAGUACCAUAAGACUUUAUUAAUAUUCCUCAUAAAUAACAAGAAUACGGUCAAGUGACUUAAAAAUAAAGAGAUUGUAUAUUUUGCGUUCAAGAAAAAGAGAGGAUCUGUUCAACAAUUCAGAAAGUGAUAGGGAGUUAGAAUAAAAUGACAAUUUCACGUUGAUGUUAGUAAAAAUAUCAGUGGUACUAAUUAGGGCGGAAAAUAGCAAGGUGGAGAGGCAAAUAUGAUGAUGAUGGGGGGUCAUCAUUUAAAUCCAAAAUUAUCAUGGCCUUCCUCAAAAUGUCCAAAAAAAAACGAGUAACAGUACAGAGGUUGCACUCAAGAGGGCACUGGACAGAAGAAUGAUUAUCUCUGAAGACCCAUGAAAACUGUCAGUCUGAUUCAAUAGGACUGAAUUUACUAUAUUUGUUUUUAUCACACAGGAGAUCUAUAAAGGCAAACCUUUUUUUACAACGACUAUUUUUUUUCCCAGACCCGGUGGAAUAACUCAUCCAGGAAUAACAUCCAACAAUGUGUUCAUCUUCAUGCAAUAUAUAAACGCCCACCCAUAAAUAUUUAAAAAUCAAUAAAUAAAUAUGGGCUUGGGAGAGCCAACCGAGGUCAAUCCAAGCAAUGGGUUGAAAAGACAUCGCCUGUCCACGUUAAUCUGCUUCUCGCAUUAGUCUUCAUGCCCAUCCUCUCCUUCAGAAUCUGCAAUGAGCAGUGAUUUAAUUCAAAGAAUGCCAAUAAGCUUUUACUUCUUGAUGUGAGAGAAGCGGAGAUGGCCAGAGCUGGUACCGGAGCGGACGUCAUCCCCAAUGCUGCCCGAUUGUAGCUGCCUCAUAAUCAUGCGGAAGAUCAAGGCUGACCAGUAGACGUGAAGGAAGAACAGGCAGAGGAGAAGCGUGUUGAAGAUGUAGUAGUAUACCGGCCCCUCUAGUCUAUGCUUCUCCUUGUCCAAUGUCAAGGCAACCUCAUAGCUGCGAGGAAAUAGAGAAUGAAGGAAGAAUUGAGUCUCCGAGAGAGGAUGGCCGUCAGAUAGGAUGAGCAUGAUAAAACUCCGUUGGGAAAAAUGAAAGAGUUUCAUCCAGAUUGAUUGGCAAUUUUUGGUAAAAAUAUAGCCUGACCGCUGAUUUCAAGGGGAUGCCAUGUUUAAACGUCUAAAAAAUAGAAUUGUUUUAAUGAAUUUAGGAUGAGGUGUAGCAGUACAAUGUCUAAAUUUAAUUGAUAAAAUUGAUAAAUUUUGGCCAAGAAAGAGGACAUGAUUUCGGAAUUUUUGCCAUUUUUAUUGAAAAAGCAGGCCGAGAGAUUCAACAUCGAACAAAAAUAACAAUCAAUGAAUUUACGGAGGAACAGGAGCAGAGAGAUUCAGAUAUAUCAGAUUAAUUAAUCGUUGAGAUAUCUAAGAUUAUGCACGAUAAACAUGACAGAGUUUCAUCAGUAAAAUAGAUUCUGGUCAAGAAAUUUAAAAUUAUUUUGGGCGCUUAACCAUUUUUAAUAAAAAUGCAGGCUGUUUCGAAGGAUAUUAGGUUCAAUGCCUACCAAAAGAGAAAUUUUUCAUUGAACCGAAGGAUACAACGCAGAAGAAAAACCUAGAUGCAACGCUUCAAUCAGUCUCCCCUUGAGAAGGCUCAUUCAGUGAUCUAUUCUUUCAAACAAAGAUGUUCCAUCAUAUUACAUGUUUUACCACCCAACAAAAUAAAGCAAGGAAAUAACUAAUAAAUAAAAAAUCCCUUCAGUUUUGUGUCAGGUUUCAACCUCUUCCAUUAGUUUUUUUUUUACUAAUGACAAAAGCAUCAUUUUUCCCAUAAUUUUUAGGAUAAGCCAUAGCUGAAAGAUAUAAAUGCAAUGCUUCAAUCAAGCUUUCCACGAGAUGGCUGAUUAUAUAAUCAAUGCUAACAAAACAAACUUUACAACAUAAACAUCACAUGCAAAGAACUAACCAAUCCAAGUUUCAGCGGUUGACUAAAUGUUACGGGUCAACCUUCAACUAUUUCCUCGACAUAUUUUCUGUCAAUCAUGAAAGUAUAAUUCGUGUAAUCACCUGGUGCUUCGGAUAAUCCAGAAGGGGAAGUACGUUAGGCGAAGAAGAAUCCAUACUAUAACAAAAAUGAUGAAAAAAUUUUGAGCGAGCCCAUCAUAGCCGCUAUAUUUGGACAUCUUUGCCAUUUCCAUGAAAAUAUCAGUCGCAUCAUGAAGUGCCAACACCAUUGAGCCAACCCGGGAGAAUCUGGAAUGAGAGUAGGAAGGGAAAGAGAUGAGCACAGAGACUGGAUCCACCUUAAAAGCAUAAUUAUCAAUUAUCCGCCAGUCAAAAAAAAUUGUCAAAACAUAUGAACAGUAAUUGCACACUUAAUGAAGAAUUUAGAGUAAAAUUUUUUGAUGGAAACGAUAUGCUAAUUUCACUCAAGAACAAAGUUGUCAAUAUAGGGUCCUCUUUUUUUGCCAUGAGACAUGCCAUGGCUUACAGAAAAAUAUGAGGCCGAAAAUACAGCAUUGAGUUCCUCAUAAUAAGAUGUGCUGGCCAUCAGCAUAAAAAUGGGCCAGAUGAAGUAACAGAUUCUUUAUACCUACACUUCCAUAUCUCACAUAUUUUGACUACUAGUACCGCUUCGGUUACUCUCCUGUCAUUACACAGAUCAGCUUUUCUUCACCCAAAUUAUUCAUAUUUAUUUCUUUUCCUGGCGUCAAAAACUUAUUUUUCUCUUAUUCAUUUUGUUACUCGAAAGGGCUCUAUAAGACCAGCAGUAUAUAUAUAUAUAUAUAUAUUGACAAAAAAAAAAUAAUGCGUCUGUUAGAUUCAUAUGCAUACCUGAGCACGUAAGAUAAGAUGAUAAGGACCACAGUCGCCACAUGGUGGGACAUUGAUACUCCAAAGUCUGACCGCCUUGUCUCCCAAAAGAGCAAUGCAAAUAUUGAGUACGUAUAAAAUCCAGCAGCAUACAUGUACGCUGCUUUGAGUUUCAACCUGAGAGCAGGAAGAAUCAUAUUAAUCGAUAUUAUUUACAUAUUAUCAUCAGCAAUAUCAUGAUUGACGAUUCAAAUCAAUUAUUCCAUUUCAACAAUACGAUCAAACACGUUCCAGAUUUAACAAAGUGAAUCAUAUAUGCAUAUACACCGAUAAAUAAAAAUCCAGCAGUGAGGUUAAAUACUGAAAGUCUGUGCCGAAAUAUCACAAGAUUUGUUGUAUGAGAGUUUAAAAACCAGACAACAGAGACCUUUUGCAACUAAGUUAAAUAUUAACUACGAGAAGACAAACAUUUAUGUGGCAUGAAUUGCAUUUAAAACCAUAAACAUCACAAAAUUAUGUAUAUAAUAAGAAAAUAGUACACAUUUUGUAUUUGUUGUUUACAAGGACAGGUCUUUCAUAGAAUUAUAAUUUUGUGACAUACUUUCAAGGGGAAUUGAAGGGUAAGGAAAUACUAAGUAAAAAGAACAGGAAGAAAUGCAAAAAAUCUUACUUCAUCUGCUGAUUGGGCCAGACCUGGUCUCCCGGCCCCACCCAAAAGUUCUUCGUAUCCGUAAACCAUGGCUCAUUGUAUGUGACUGCUAGGAUAAAUAUCUCUGAUGACAGAAAGUAAACAAACUUCCAUGCUGAUUCCUUGAAUUUGUUGAGCAGUUUUCUUCUCCAAUAUGCCUCAACAUCAACCUUUGCAUGCCCCUUCCCAAGAACAAACAAUCUCGCUAUUCUCUGUACAUUGGUAAAGUUAACAGAAAUUUAGGUGCGUUUAUGGAGAAUAUAUACAAAUAUAAGUUACAGGCUUUCGAUGGGAGAAGAUGUAGCAGAUAUAAGCAUUUCUUUGUGCCCCAAGUGGAAAAAAAAAUUACACUACAAAAUAAUAAGUUUACACUCAAUAGUUAGAAUAAAGCAUUAUUUCUUUGACCAAGGAACUAAAUACCAUACCAGCAUUAAAUUUCUUUCCCCCUAAUUCCUUUACUAUUUUGUUCCGUAUGAAGGCAAAGAUGCCAAAACUUCUUUAUUGUAUUCAUAAGCCAUCUUGCACUGUAGGUGAUGUCCCCGAUAAUGAAAAUCAAAAGCCAUCUUACAUUAUAGGUAUAUAUAAUGACAGAUAUAUGCCUUUAAGAUAUCCAUCAUUCUCUAACUGUCAUCCAUCUCCACAGGUCCACUUCAUAUCCGGAGUCUGCCCAUUAUCUACCUUCUGACACAACUCCUCCUGUUAUUACAUGGUCCUCUUCGACUUUGCCAACAAAGUCCAGCCCUCUACCGCAAUGUUUCAUCAAAACAUCCACAAGAGUUCAUAAAUGGCAUAUUCAGUCUGUAUGAUCAAUAACCAUACAUUCUAAAUGGGGUAAAUUCAUUUCUGGUCGUCCUAUCUACAACUCCAAAACUAACCGUUAUUGGAACAGAUAAUAUUGACUUUUAAUGAAGACAAAAGAAAAAUGUGAUUAUAACACAACCCUUUCGUAAACUCAUUCAACUAGGAAUAAAGACACUUUUUAACGCAUAAUUUUUACUUGCAUUUAUUGGGUCAGUCACUUCCUUAAACAGAGAUGAUCCCGAAUAAAUGAUACUUGCACGAACCAAGACACACUAUUGCCCAUGGAUGAAGUUUCCUAAGACUAUAUGCUUCCCGACCAAGCGUAAUUUUCAUGCUCCACCCCAUCAAUCAGUAGAAACCGACGAUACCACGGGGAAGAGCCGCUUCCUCUUAGUCAAAGCACCCAGCGACAAAUGAACUUAAACGUUCUAAAUUCAAUUUUUAAUCCUCAAUUCACCAACUCAUUAAUUCUAUUUAUGGCCAACAAAAGGCAGCUUACCUCGAAGACGAAUCUAUCAAGCAGAAACCUCACGGUGGGAAAGAAGGCGACGAGGAAGGGAAGGAAAACGAAGUCCUGAUAGGAGGCAAAGGUCUCCUCCUGCAGAUUCAGAGAUGCCAUCGUCUCCAUGAGACCCAUAUCCCGACCCGGAUCAAUGCUCCGAGGCCAAGAGACCUUAAGUUGCAGGGUAGAUAACGGCCGACAGAAAAAGGGAGAGAAAGAGAGAGAGAGAGAGAGAGAGAGAGAGAGCGUUACAGGUGAUUUGGGAGAGCAAAGCUGGAGAGAGGAGGGAGAACGAGAGGCGCACGGGAGCCCCGCCCUCCCUCCGUUGCGUCUUGUACCAGGUCGCGGUCGCCCCCACCGCCGUCGAGAUCGCACCGUUCCAAAAGGAAGCGACCACGAAUUGUGGCGUCGUCGCGGAUGCGUUCUUCCUCCACCAUUUCUGACUUUUCGAGAAAGUCCCCGUCGGCGGCUAAAAUAUGCGCUUCGGUGACGACACCGAUCUUUGUUUGUAUUUCAUACCCAUUAUAUCUUUGUAUUUAGUUUUAUACCCUUUUGGUGUAUCAACCAUUCGUUUUUAAUGCCCUAACGGCUAUUUAAUUCAAACCUGAUUGCAUCCAUUUCUUAAGGAGAAAUAAAUGCUACUGAAAAUGGAAAUAAAUUAUUAAAUAAAAUAUUUUCCUGUAAUUUAAUAUAUCAUAAAAUGUUAUUCCUAGGUCAAUCAAUGAAAGCAAAUUUUUAUAGAGUCUACACAAGGAACAACUCAAAAAUUUAUUCUCAUGUUAAUAGAAAUAAAUUCAAUAUUAGUAAAAAAAAUAGCACCAAUAGUGUAAUGUGGGACAUCACAAAAUUGUAUUAUUUAAAAAAUAAAUAACUUUAAUUCUCAAAUUGAAAAGUGAUCAACCACAAUAUGAGACUUUUCUUUACUUUAUUUGGUUAUUGGGGUUCAUGUCCAAGCUCGUCAACUUAGAACAGAUCAGAUAGAAAGUGUGAUGGAUCGAAUCAAUUCUAUUUUUUUCCACCAAAAAUAUGGAAAGAGAACUCGAUAUUUACUCUGUUUUUUUUGUAAUAUAGGGGUUUGAACACAAUUUCAACACUUCUGAGGUUUAAAGGUGUAACAUAUUGAGACGAGAAUAUUUUUCUUUCUAGAAACCCGCCGCCUUCUUUGACUUGUGGCCAAAGAUGCGUUGACUUUCCUAUAAUCCUGGGUACAUGAGGUUGACGUAGAUAUGUAUAAACCAUGUUUAUUUAAUUUAUACAUGAUAUGCUAAAAAAUGAGGUCCAAGGAAGGGUGUUGACUGGCCGGGGUCUCUAUCGAUCCGCUUCAAAGAACACUUACAUAAUGGGCCUUAGGGCAAGCCCUCUUAUAUGCACUUAUUCUAGAGAGAGAGAGAGAGAGAGAGAGGAGNNNNNNNNNNNNNNNNNNNNNNNNNNNNNNNNNNNNNNNNNNNNNNNNNNNNNNNNNNNNNNNNNNNNNNNNNNNNNNNNNNNNNNNNNNNNNNNNNNNNNNNNNNNNNNNNNNNNNNNNNNNNNNNNNNNNNNNNNNNNNNNNNNNNNNNNNNNNNNNNNNNNNNNNNNNNNNNNNNNNNNNNNNNNNNNNNNNNNNNNNNNNNNNNNNNNNNNNNNNNNNNNNNNNNNNNNNNNNNNNNNNNNNNNNNNNNNNNNNNNNNNNNNNNNNNNNNNNNNNNNNNNNNNNNNNNNNNNNNNNNNNNNNNNNNNNNNNNNNNNNNNNNNNNNNNNNNNNNNNNNNNNNNNNNNNNNNNNNNNNNNNNNNNNNNNNNNNNNNNNNNNNNNNNNNNNNNNNNNNNNNNNNNNNNNNNNNNNNNNNNNNNNNNNNNNNNNNNNNNNNNNNNNNNNNNNNNNNNNNNNNNNNNNNNNNNNNNNNNNNNNNNNNNNNNNNNNNNNNNNNNNNNNNNNNNNNNNNNNNNNNNNNNNNNNNNNNNNNNNNNNNNNNNNNNNNNNNNNNNNNNNNNNNNNNNNNNNNNNNNNNNNNNNNNNNNNNNNNNNNNNNNNNNNNNNNNNNNNNNNNNNNNNNNNNNNNNNNNNNNNNNNNNNNNNNNNNNNNNNNNNNNNNNNNNNNNNNNNNNNNNNNNNNNNNNNNNNNNNNNNNNNNNNNNNNNNNNNNNNNNNNNNNNNNNNNNNNNNNNNNNNNNNNNNNNNNNNNNNNNNNNNNAGAGAGUAGAGAGAGAGAGAGUAGAGUAGAGAGAGAGAGAGAGAGAGAGAGAGAGAGAGAGAGAGUGAGAGUGAGAGGGAGGGUGCAAUUGACAGGCACAGCUGAAACCCAGGUGUCCUAUUCAGUUGAAAGAGACCCGUCACCGUUGCCAGGCUGACGAGUCCCGGAGAGAGAGAUCGGGGUAGACCGUCUUCUCUAUUUAAGAUGAUGCUGAUGAUCCUUCGAAGGAUUCAAAGAAUUCGGAGCUUCCAGGGGGCGCUCGAUCGGCUCCCUCCAAUAGGAGAUGCGGGUUCUCUGUAUUUCCUCCGAAAGAUCCGUUCUUGGCGCUCUCCGGAAUGUGGGUUCUGAGUUUUCCCGGAUUUUCUCUCUCUAGACCGUAACCGGAGUGCUCUGGGUUUCUCACUCCCACCAUUUGCCUCUUUUAUGGGCAGUAAUGGAGUUCUUCCCGGAGGCGUGCAGCAGCGGCGGCGGAGGCGGCGAGUCUGAUUGGACCAUCUACCUCGCCUCCGACACCAACGAUGAGGAAGAGGAAGAUGAAGAUGUCGGCGGUGGCGGCGGCGGAGAAACCAGCAUGGAAGACGAGAACGAGGAAGACGAAGAAGACGACAGCGACUCUCUCACCUCCGACGCCGCCUCUGCACCCACCCAGCUUUACCCCUCUCGCUGUAGCGCCGCCGCCAGCAGCGGCGCCACCAACGGAGACGCCGCCGAGGAGGAGGACGAUGACUACUGAGCUUCUCUCCUUCUUCUGCACCAUUUUUUUGGCGAAUUACCGAGGAAUCUUCGGAGCCGGUUUCCGUAAAAUCCCUUCGUUUAAUCUCUCGUAAGGUAGUGCUCAUAAGAACGUGGGCAUGUCGGAUCAGACCGGGGGCCCCCCUUUUGGGCAUAACCAUGUAGGCAUACCAGUCACAUCUUUUAAUUACUUUAAAAUCCCCGCGAAUCGUAUUCGGGUUUAAGAUACCUUCAUCAAGUUCAACUUUGAUGACCGCCGGGGUAGGUAAAAAAUAGGAAAAGGCGAAAAGGACCUGAUCACAAAUUGUUUUAUCGUCACCUCUUCGUUUUGUCACUAAAGAAGCCACGCCUUUGCAAAAAUAGGGGGUGACGGUAUCGGUCUCCACGUGGCGGCGUUACGAUUCCCGCUUGCGUUACUGGGGGAUACUCUAAUUUCACUCCUUCUGGAUUAUACUCACCCAAUCUUGGUCGGACAUCCACCAAGUGAUGUGACGCAUGUGAUUUGAGAAAGGGGUGACAAUUUUCCUCUUGGAGUGAAAAUAGUGAAUUCGGCCUGAAUCGCAAUUACUAGGGUUUUUCCUCUUGCUUCACCGCCUUCCCGCGUUGCCUAUAAAUACCCCGCCGGCACCUGAAACAGCGUGUUGUUAGUCAUCUUGACCGAAGAGACGCGGGAAAGGGAGGAAAAAGCGGUACACGGGGGAUUCCGGAUCUCCCAUCGGCUAAGGUAAGCAUCCGUCCGCUCAGUUCCUCCUUGUUUGUGCCUUUCUCAUCCUUUUUGAUGUCUUCUCAUGAUAAUUUUUGUUUUCUUUUGAUCGGGAUGAUUGGAUUCUAGAUACUCUUUGUUUUCCAUUCGUUUAUCGUUCUCGUACUCGUUUUCUAUGUCCGGCGACGGCUGGAUUUGAUAUAUCCUUCCUAGAGAUGACUGCAGUUUGGAUUCAACUGCGGAAGGUCGAUCGUUUUCAUUUGCUCUGAUUGACUUUUUUUUUCUCGGCACGCUGUUAUGGAUCGCAUGGUGUCUUUAUCUUAUAGAAUUUUGGAGUAUGAGAGCUGUUUUCCCUUGUGCUGUUCAUUUCAUGAUUAAUUUGGUGAAUUGGCCGGCAUCUUUCUCUUUUUGUUGGAGAUCCGGCUAUAGUUGAUUAAUUUGGUGUCAUUUUUGACUCUCACUGUCUCCGUCUUCAUAGUGCUUUCCGCGAACAGAGUACGCGCUGCUGUUUGUUAACUCCGUUCCUCUGUUUGGGGAAUAAAUGACACUCACGGAAAAAUAAGCGUCUGAAAUUGGUAUGCGACAGGAUGGAAGUAUGCCGGAUGAGUUUAUGCCGAAUCCAUUCGGAAUUUCAUGAGACAGAACAUUUCACCGAUUCUUUAGUGCUUUCUUUUGCUUUAAUUAUGUGGACGUAUGCCGUGCUGAUGUUUGGAAGGCCAGUAAACUUGCAACUGUUUUUAGAACUAUGUUUUAGUUGUUCUCAUUUCGUGACAGUUUAGGGUUUAUGUUUUCCUUUCCCGUUCACUAUCAUAGAUGCGAAUUAGAGGAUGGUAGCAUGGUCAUUAGGUCCUGCCCUGCCUAAAAAUAUUAUCGAAUCCUCAUAUUAUCAUAUGGUUAGGAUGUUAAAUAAUAGUUUGUGGCACAUAAAAUUUUGUUUACACGUGCUUUAUCCUUUCUUGUCCAGCAGUGUUCCAACUUCCACCAUCACCCAACAACACAAAUACCCCUUCGUCCUGGGAUCUGCGGCUGUCGAAUUCAAUUUCCUUUUUUUCCUGUGAACGACCGUAGCUAAUCCAUGUCCUUCACAAUCGUGUUCUUUCUGCAGGCACGAGCCGUCUGACUCGCGAACCUGCAGUCUGGACAAAGCGGAAAGCCGAAAAAUUUUGAUGUCCGCCCUAGUCUCUCUGCACCUGGGAUCGUCUGGCCUGCUGGUGGAAUACUACUACCCCACAUCCAGGAAAAAGCUCAGGCAUCUCUUCGGCGACAUCUUCUGCAUGCAUCUGCAGCCAUUUUCAGCAGCCAAAGCUUGCCCACUGCAGCCUCCAUCCCUACCCAGAGCCCCAGCGGACCCGCUGCCCUGCUUCUGAGACACACAGCCAGCGAGGAUGGCUCUUCAGAACAUCGGCGCCGGAAACAGGGACGAUGCCUUCUACAGGUACAAGAUGCCCCGGAUGGUCACCAAGAUAGAAGGGCGCGGGAACGGCAUCAAGACCAACGUGGUCAAUAUGGUGGACAUAGGCAAGGCCCUGGCGCGGCCCGCCGCCUACAUCACAAAGUACUUCGGCUGCGAGCUCGGGGCCCAGUCCAAGUUCGACGAGAAGACCGGGGUCUCUCUGGUCAAUGGCGCCCACGACACCCAGAAGCUCUCCGCCCUGCUCGAGGCCUUCAUCAAGAGGUACGUCCAGUGCUACGGCUGCGGGAAUCCGGAGACGAGCGUCGCCAUCUCCAAGACCCAGACGAUCGCCCUCCACUGCGCCGCCUGCGGCUUCCUCUCCGAGGUGGACAUGCGGGACAAGCUCACCACCUUCAUCCUCAAGAACCCCCCCGAGGCCCGAAGGUCGUCGGCCAACAAGGAAAAGAAGGCGAUGAGGCGCGCGGAGAAGGAGCGGCUCAGGGAGGGCGAGGCCGCCGACGAGGAGCAGAAGCUCCGCAAGGAGACCCACAGGAGGGCCCCCCCCGCGGCGACUAAGAAGAAGCCCGGCAGCUUCGAGGACGAGAAGGGCGACGACGAAGAGGUCCAGUGGCAAGCGGACACCUCCUUGGAGGCGGCCCGCCAGCGGAUACAGGAGCAGCUCAGCGCCGCCACCGCCGAGAUGGUCAUGCUCUCCACCGCCGGCGAGCCGCCAAAGCAGAUUCGGAAGCUGCUGCCUCUGGAGACAGCCAAGAAGAGCAAAGAGUCCAACGGCCACGGACCUGCUGAAGCGGCGGCCAGCGAAGCCCACAAGGCUCUGACGGCGGAGAUGAAGGCCGAGCUCGACAAGAAGGGCGCCAACCCCCGCCGGCUCGCCGCCUCCUUCGCCGCGCUGGCCGCGGCGAAGGCGGCCCCGCAGCCGGCGAUGGACGCGCUCUUCGAGGCGGCCUGCGGUGGCGCCGGCAGGGGCAUGGCGCGGGAGCUCGCGAAGAGGGCGGCCUUCCUCGGAGCCGUGGCCAACGACGCGGCGUCGCAGCUGCGGCUGCUCCGGGCCAUGGAAACCUUCUGCGGCCGCGCCGGCGCCGGCGCGUCGAAGGAGGUCGCACUAGCGGCGAAGGCGCUGUACGACGCCGACGUGGUGGAGGAGAGCUGCAUCGUCCGCUGGUACGAGGCGGGCCUCGCCGGCGCCGCCCCGGCCUCCCCCAUCUGGAAGAACCUAAAGCCCUUCAUCGACUGGCUUCAGAGCGCCGAGUCCGAGUCCGAUGAGUGAUCCAUCACCCCUCUACCACACAAGCACUGCUCCCCCUGGUGUCGUCGUCGUCGUCGUCGCCAUGUCCUACCGAGUCCGACUCGCCGUGUCUGCCUCCAAGUUAUGGAAAACGGCGAAUAAUUUGCUAGACCAGCUACUCUCUCUCUCUCUCUCACUCUCUAAGGCACCAUGGAUCAUCGCCGGGGUUUAUUCUGAAAUUACACGAGCUGAGGCACGUAAUUCCGGCGGCUGGCUCAUACAUAUCAGAAGCAGAGGCGAGGCGCGAAGAGCUCUCUGCCGGAGGGGGAUCGGGGAUCAGGGGAUCAGGCGGCGUCCCUGGCGUUGUUGAUGAAGGCGGCGGCGCAGAGGACGGAGGCGACCACGGCGAAGAUCCCCACCCCCACCGCCGCCGAGACCCCCCGCCACCACCACGUCCAUCGCCCACUGCAGCAUGCCGGAGCCCAUCAUCUCUCCGAUAAAAGAAACCCUAGAAGAGAGGGGAACUGAGAACGCGACAGAGAGAGAGAGCCCGACGAGAAGACAAGAGGGGGAGGGCGGCGGAGGUUGUAUUGUUAAAAAACCUUUGUUGAUACGUAUUUUCCUGUGUAUCCUCAUUCGAGGGCAACAUUUAUUUAAAUAUCCGAAAAAAGUAUAUGAUUAUUAAAAAACAUAUAAAAGAAAAUACGCGCUGUAUCCGGCAUGCUGAACAAGGGUUUUGAGAGGGAGGAUGUGCGGAGGGGUAAAUGGUACAUAGUUUCUGUGAGGGGGUCGUGGGCGGGUUUCAGUAAUCCUCAGGGCAUUUAGAUCAUUUAAAUAUUUUAUAAGGUUUUAAAGGAAAAAAAUCCACUGCGUGCGCAUCUCCGUAAGUGGUGGUGGGUAUUAUUAAUGGGCCAAAUUGGGCUGUAAUACCGCCCAUCAGGUAUUGGCUUAAAUGGACCCCGCACGGAAGGAGGCCCAUUAAUUUCCUCGGGCUGGGCUUGGCCCUAACUCCGAACAAGUGGCCGAGUUCUAUCAAGUAAAUGGGUUAUUUUAGUUUGAGGUCCUCUAAAAAACUAUACAAUUGAAAAAAGCCCCCCCAUUUUAGAGUGGUAGGCAGGAGGCCGGCCUCGGGCCAAGUGAAGAAGAGCCGGCGCCCCAUGGCAGACGAGAUGCUUGAAGUCGCCUCUUCUUCUUCCUCUUCCCCUUUCCCCGCCGGCCCCUCUUCCCCAUCCUAACCAGGCUCGCUCCGGCUGGGGCGAUGACGACGUCAUCUGCUUCUCCCGACCCUUCCCACACCCUGCGCGAGGUAUCUUUCUUCUCUCUCUCUCUCGCUCGCUCGCUCGCUCGCUAUAUUUUGGCUAGUUGGGGACUCGAAGGCCCAUUGUGCCGGCGAAUCCUCGAAGCCGUAGGGCUUCUCUGAGAAUCCUCCCAACCAGUUAGUUCAUCGCUCCCGAAGAUCUUCCCAGUCAUCUGGUUCCAAGGAAAAAACCGCUGCGCUGAGGACUCGUCUUCCCCGCCGAUUGAGAAACGCCGGCGCUCUGUGGCCGACGAGUCGGAGGAAAAAACCCUCUUGGAAUUAGGGCCGGAGACCUUUCUCUCUCUCACCGUCCCCCUCGCACUAAUUUUUUUUUUUGUUUCUUUUCUGGCGAUCAUCAGGUUGACAUGGCCGAUGCAUCCCCAGAAAGCAAGCCCGAGAUGCUGCAGCUGCCGUCCUGGUGAGGUCUCCAUCCCCUCCGUAUCUUGAUCCUCGUCACAUUUACAUCUUAAUGGAUCAGUUUCUCAUGUACGAAGAUCGAAAUUACCACGUUUUUUUAUCUGAUCUUGGUGGAGGAGGAACCCGUGGGUAAAUUGUGUUAGCAUGAUCUGAUCAGAAUGAUGAUUUCGCGGCGCAGAUUAAAGCCCAUGAACAGUUGAACCGCAUAGAAAUCAGCCGCCGACCGAAUCAUUUAAAGUGUUCGUUUGGGGAUCAGGAGGAUCUCACCAGCCAUGGAACAGGGAUUUUUUUUUCUAGAGAGGGAUUUUUGGAGAAAGAGUGAGAGAAAUAGAAGUGCUCGGGAGAUCUUCUCUCGCUGCAUGGCUUUUUUACAUUUUUUGCAAGAGAGAGAACGGAACGGAUUCAUACCCUCUAGGCUAUUCCCCCUAGCAGACUGCUAGAGAGAGAGAGAAUGGAUGGAGGGUCCAAUGAAUGAAUGGAUGAAAGAAUGGCCGGAGGGUCCCGGAAGAAGACCCAUGAAAAAAAUCCUUUUUUUUUCUUCCUUCACGCAGAAAUAAAAAAAAUUAAAAAUAAAAACUGUGAUUUUUCCCAUCUCAAAUCAUUUGGGGACGCAAAAGGCACGAUUUCAUGGGUCCGAUCUUCCUCAGGGACGCAGCCGGCACGACAGAAUACAGGGACAAGUACAGCAGGUACCAGGCAGCCUACGGCAGGAGGCUCAAAGCCAAGUACUUCUCCAAGAAGGCCUUCGACGGAGGUCAGCCUCCGCCGNNNNNNNNNNNNNNNNNNNNNNNNNNNNNNNNNNNNNNNNNNNNNNNNNNNNNNNNNNNNNNNNNNNNNNNNNNNNNNNNNNNNNNNNNNNNNNNNNNNNNNNNNNNNNNNNNNNNNNNNNNNNNNNNNNNNNNNNNNNNNNNNNNNNNNNNNNNNNNNNNNNNNNNNNNNNNNNNNNNNNNNNNNNNNNNNNNNNNNNNNNNNNNNNNNNNNNNNNNNNNNNNNNNNNNNNNNNNNNNNNNNNNNNNNNNNNNNNNNNNNNNNNNNNNNNNNNNNNNNNNNNNNNNNNNNNNNNNNNNNNNNNNNNNNNNNNNNNNNNNNNNNNNNNNNNNNNNNNNNNNNNNNNNNNNNNNNNNNNNNNNNNNNNNNNNNNNNNNNNNNNNNNNNNNNNNNNNNNNNNNNNNNNNNNNNNNNNNNNNNNNNNNNNNNNNNNNNNNNNNNNNNNNNNNNNNNNNNNNNNNNNNNNNNNNNNNNNNNNNNNNNNNNNNAACCUCAAUUUUUCUUCUCCAGACCCCAUUUUUUAUUGGCUUUCUAGUUUCUGCUUCGUAAGCCCCUCCGCAUCCAUGGGGAUGAUCCGAGAUGAUGUUCGUGCGAGUUCUUGCUCACCAAUCUGCGGUUGGUUGAUUUCAGGGAACAUAUUCGACCAAGAAACGAAUGUAGACGGUGAGAUCAUAAAGUCCGGCAGGUAAUGGCAUCCUGAUGGGAAUUGAUUCAAUGCGGAAUCAUGAAUAGUCGUAGAUUUCAGCUGGUGCCUUUUUUUUAGUCGAUGACCCUCUUUUUUAUUUAUGAAUAAAAUGAAAAAAAGGUAUUUAUUCUUGAGGAAGUCUCUUCAAGAAAAGACAGAAGUCCAACGAUUCAGUUCUCUUGGGUCUUUGUUUUUUACUUUUCAUCACCUAAAUUUCCCAUUUUUUCCAUUAAAAAAAUAGAAGUAUUGACCAAAAAAGCUGUACCUAUUCCACUGACCAUGAUUCCGGUGACCUGAAUGAUCCCAUCCCAAGUGUGUUUUCUAUAGAAGAUUUAUUUCUUGCCGAUUGGCGACUGUUGAUCGAUGGGGCUGGUUCGUGAGCUGUUGAUUAUUCGAAGAUUCAGUGAUCUUCCUUCCUUCCUUCCGUCGCCAGGUGGCCUUGCACCAGAUCGUUCGCAGAACCAGCGCGGUGCUCGCAGGAUGCCGGAGCCUUGCCGCCGGCAUCGGCCUCCGAGACCUCCUCCACCGGGGCCGGCAGGAAGCACCACCACCACCAGAAGAAGAGCGGCUGACCCAACCCCCAACGCGAAGGAAGAGAGAGAGAGAAUCUCGGGGGACUGCCGGCGGUGGAAGCUGACUUUCUUUUUCUGUUUUUGGCCGAACGAGUUGACCCACUGCCGGGUCAACCCUUGUUCGGAGAAGCGUUUGAGUGCAAAGCGUACUCAAAUCCCUGUAAAAAAAUGGCUCACUGCUGAUGGAUCCAACAAUGUUCAUGCGAGAAUCUCAAGAGCCGUAUUCUAUUUUUUGCCAAGAGUUGACCCUUCCCAGUCGGAUGAGAAUCUGAAGAACACAUUUUUCUGGCGUACGUGAAUUAAUUAAAUCCCGUAAAAAAUCGGCUCACCCCAGCUAAGGACUUGAAAAGAUCGCACCUUUUUAGUAAAAAAUAAAAUGGCUCACCGCAUCAAAAUCAGGGCCUGCUUGAAUACGAUUUUCCUUAAAAUGGAUCAGAUCAUGCUUGAAUGAUAUAUAUAUUUAAAAGGUAUAACUCCCCAACAGAAAAAAAGGAAAUCGGCUCACUGUAUCCGAUCUUAUGAUAACAAAAGCUUAAGAAGAAAGGUGUUUAUUUUCCCGUGAGAGGUAUUAGCUACCAGUUGACUCUGAUGAGGUCGGUCAGCCAUGCACAAAGAGGCUGUCACAAAGGAGCUCAUUUAUCUAGAAUUUUUUAAAAAAAAAUCAGAAACUUUGACAGCGUGCAACUGGGAAUCUCUUGCCGUUUUUUCCAUGGGCAAGCAUCAGAGAUCAAAAUGAAGUAAAAUCCUGGAAAAUGUGCGCACAAAGAGCCUGGCCCAACCAGUAAGCACAUGAAGAAGGCAGCCUGUUCAUCGUAGUUUGUCUGAUGUACCUAAAAAUAACGGGGAUCUUGAUUUUUGUUUUUGAUAUUUUCCGUCGAAAUCCCAAAAAUUCCUUCCCCAUUUGGCCAACCCUUUGCUAAGAUAAUCAUACGCUAAAUUAUGCAAGAAAUUUCGUACAAAUAGAAGAAAGGAAGGUAAGACGAAAACAAACCGACUAGAUUGAUGCUCCAAAAGAUAUUCUCCAGCCAACAAUAUGCAAUAUGCCUUGUUCUUCUUCUUCUUCUUCUUCUUUCUUUUUUUUUUCUUUUUUUUUUCUUUCCUUCUUUGGACCCCUCCUUGGCUCAAGAAUACAUCAUGCCUUUAUCCGAAUGACAAAGGAACCUGCCAUGGAUAGAACACCCAGUCACCAUCGACGUUAGCCAUCAGACGGUCAGAACUCAAUCCUGGGAUUCUGGAUCUCUUCAAAUCCCAUAAAAAAUGCAAAGGAUAAAUCAGCAGAACUGGAUUAAUAUUUAGUCCAACUUACAAGAAGGAAGGUUGGAUAUAUCAGCAGAGACAGCGCAUGGAAUGCCCAAGUUGGUGAGGGCCCCCCUGAUGAUUCCACAUGGGAAAUAUAGAUGCAUGCUUGUGGAUUGGGCGGCCUUGCUGUCGGCAGCCAGAGAGGGAGGGCCCACCUGGGCAGAAUCAGGGCUUUCUAGAGACUGAUCGAUGGAUAUGCGAGUGAGCCAACGGAAUUGGUUAUCUUGCAAGACGAAGGUACCCUGCAAGAUGAAGCAGAGAUUCAUUUAGAAGUCACAACAGUUGACGGACGAACAACCGAACGCACCUUGUGAUUCGUUUUGAGGUUGUCAAUCUGUUUCUUGAAGAGCUCUGACCAAAACUCUUUGCAUAUGAACUUGAUGGCCUCUAGAUUAUCAGUGAACCUUGGCCGCUCCAUUGUGUACCUGGAAAUAAUCAAUAAAUAGCCGACAUUAUGAAGAAUUUCUUCACCAUGCAUAAAUAAUUCUAUGACAAGAUAAUUCAUGUCACAAGGUAAAGUCAAGAUGCAUGAAAUUUCAGAUAUAAAAAAGCCCGCAAUGAUUGUUGGGGAUUGCUCCGAAUUCCACUGUUGUCUAUUGCCAGAAGAAAGCUCGAGUUGCUCCACAACGGGGCAGAGAGAAGGACAGUCCAAGAGUACCAAUGAAGCCCACCAGCAACGGAAAGCUGGAAAACGGAGUGAAAACCCCAAAACAAAGAAAACAAAGAUCUGAUGCAUAACCUUGACGUAAACAUGGACCUUACCUGAACAUUGGAGAGCUUAGACAUGCCUACUAAAUGCAAUCUGAUCGAAAAUAGAAAAAGUUUCAAUAUGUGAUGCUCUACAUCACAAUCUUCGAUGAAGGGAGAAGUUCAUCUAGACGAUGCCAGUAGAUGAAGAGGUGAGACAGCUCACCUGUCACAUUGCCAUGGGAGGGAGGGACGUCAUGCCCAAGAGGGGCUUCGGACAUUGUUUGGUCAUCAUUCAUAUCAUCUGUGUAAUUUAGGCGCCCCCCAAAAAAAAGUAUCAGGAAAGAUCCUAAUUCAAGUUGGAAUGCAUACCGUGUCUAUGAAUCCAUUUAGUUCUUCAUUAGGUUCCUCUAGACUUAUUAUUAACCCAGAUUAAAAAAAUAUAAAAAUCCCACCAACCACUUAUCAAAUCUCUCCAUUUAGAUCCCGAAGGUUACCGACCAGAGGUCUGAUGCAAUCCGGUCAUAUUUAAUCAUAAUACACACCAAAAGCUGCAGGGCACUAAUAAUCACAAAUAAGACAAGAGAAGAGAUUGUCCGGGGCCCAUAAUCUGCCAUAAAAUAAUAAUUUUCAACGAAAUAUAUCAUAGCUCUUCUAAAAGUCGUUUUGUAAGGCAUUUCCCUCUAGAUAUAGACAUAAAUAAAUUCCUGUCUUUGAUCAUUUGCAUAUACAUUGUUCAUGAAUUGGUGCGUGAUUGCUAACACAAGCUUGAGUUAAACUUCACAGUCAUUUAUGAUUCAUACCACUCUUAUAACCAAGAAGUUCACUCCCAUCUUUCUAUUGCAGGUAAUAUAAUCAAUCAUGUCCCAUGUGACAAAAAAGAUCAGUGGAAGUCAUAAAUCUGAAUCCUCACAACGCAUCAAAAUCAGUUUUUUCACGACUUGAAAAUUGAUUCCAUCCUUUCAAUGAUUUCGACAGGAAAAGAAAAAGACACUCGUCUUUUUGUAGCGAUGCAAUGCUAGUGAAGUUAGAAGCGGAAAUUAAAUAUAUCAAUUCUUCAUCUGUCUUCAUUAGUGUGCGCACAGAAUCACCAUCAUAAUCAGAGUGUCCUUACCUUGUUACAGCCCAUGGCAACGCCGAUGAUGCAUUGCGACUCCCAUCUGGAUGUCAAUUCCCAAGACCAGCUCUCCCUCUACAGGGGAAGGUAAUGUAGAUAAAAGGCAUCUAUUUCCCAGUUCCAGGUUCCAAAAUACACGACAUUAGGUGUUCCAUUGGGAAUUUUCAUCUUCAAAGCCCUCUAUGUAGUUCUCAAGAUAUUUGAGACAACAUUCCCUGUAAUGUACGCAUUCUUCCGAAUUCCAGGUUCAAUCCAUGGCUGCACACCUCUAGAUGAUCUCCACCUUGCAACCACAACUGAUCACUAUGAAAUGCUGCUAGUCUAAUUCCACAGUUCAUCAGGUCCAAUACCAAGCAUACUAAUUCAACAGUUUUAUUUGCCAGUAUCUGACGUACUGAUCCUAAGUUGCAUUAUCCCUCCUCAAGCAAAGCCGCGUCAACCUGAAACCCACCAUGGAUUCUUCCCAGUAUCCUCUUAACUCAUUUCUUCAUCCCUUUUUCAACCCCCGAUCCGUCAGGUUCAUAGGAUAGCCAAUAUUUUGGGUUUUUUUUUCAAGCACAUGGAAUGACCACACACCAAUAUGGGUGAGGGAUACAAUCACAUGCAGCAUGAAGUCCAUGAGCCUAACACAAACCAACUCUACUGAGCCUGGCCUCUAUUAAGAGAGAUCACAGCAAUCCAGAGGAAAUGCUAGUUAGGAAUCGAAGGUUCACAUGAUUUCUGAUACCAAUUGUCAUCCUCUACUCAGUCUCCAUUUUAUCAUAUUUAUCAUCAGAAGCCUUAUCAUAAUGAUAAGAGUCCAGUUGGAACUGGUGAAGAAGUCAUGUACAUUGCAACGUUUCAGGACCUAAUAUCUCCGUGGCAUCCCCUUUAUGCAAGGUGAUGCCAAGUAGCGAUCAAGGUUGCAUCAACAUUACAGUGUCUGGACUUGACUCCAUGCAAGGUGAUGACAAGUAACUACUUAAGGCAUUACCACCAGUCCUAGCUAACGACACUGAAUUCUAUUUAAUCUGUUUCCCAUAUCAGGUUCAAGAAAUGACAGAAAUUCAAGACGACUUUGGAUAAAGCCCAAAUUGAAGAUGGAAAAGACGAGUUUGCUAUAGGAUGCAUGACCUUCUCAGCUAAUUGCAAAAUAAAGAACAGAAAAUAAUCCAAAUAUCAGCCUUGAUGUGAGUAACAUCUCUCAUGUUACUCGGGCUGACGUUUCUUGGAGUUUGAACUUUUCAGCCUCUGCCUGAGUAAGGUCUCUGAUGAACCAGGCUUCCCACAUGCCUAAUUGGGACUCUAGCGGCCAACGAACGAAAGAUGUCAGGUUAAUCAACUAAAUAAAUAUCCAAAACAAUCUGCAAAAAAAAAGACAAAACAUAUCCGUUAGCCCAGCCACUUAGCAUGAGGCUAAUAAGCGGGAUGGAGUGAACUUGAGAGCAUUUUAUUGAUACUUGAACUUAUGCAGAGAAUAGCACAGUCCAUGUAAACAGUUUUAAGGUGAAUAUAAACAAAAUCCGAACAUAGGAUGAGUAUCCUAAACUGAGUCCAGCUAGCUCAAUGUCCUGCGCUCUGAAAUGAUGGAGAAUUAUCUGACUCUAAUCCAAAUCACGUGUCUUGGAUAGGAUCAGCAGCAUCAUAAUCCAAUCUUUACAGCCUUUGGCUGGGUCUGAUAGGAAUUGAUCCCGAAAUUAAUUUAUAUUAGCCAAUCAUGUCAUAUGGGUCGGUAAUGCUGUGUCACCGAAAGUAGUACAUUUUGGCUGCUCUACAUUAGCAAUGGAUUUGAAUCAGAGAAACGGUAUCAUCAAUCUAACUCUCAGAAUAAGGUUAAUGAUUUAAUUUUGGAAAAUAGAGAUUAGAUGGAUGUCUGACAAGAGUAAUAGAGUAUUUUACUAUGGGAGAUGAUUGAUCUUCGGGAACUCUCAUUAGAGCUUUAAAAUAAAUUUCAAACCUAUAAGAGCUGUUAAAAUCAUACGCAAAGGAUCCCAGUCGUUUCAUUUAUGAAAAUUACUUCCACCCUCUUGCACCUAGACAAAUUUAUAGAUCAUAAGUUUAAUUUAUCACAAUUAGGCAACAAUAAAACUUGUCCACGAGCACCAUUUCUCCAGAGAAACCAAAAAAGUAACAUAUACACGUAAGAUCCAUGAUACUAGGUCUAAAAAUCAUAAAAACAACGGAACCCUUUCAAAAUACAUCAAUAAAUCCCUACUCCAACAGCUACCAAAUGCAAAGGAGCCGCGCAAGAAAUCUUACCUCUCUCCGAGAAACACUUAAAAUUCCCUGAAGAAUAACACAACGGCAAAGAAAAAUCCGGCAAUAAAGACACGGAAGAAUGGAAGCGCACCUCUCAGAGAGCUGCAGGCCGACCUGGUAACCGAUAGCCUCGAUCCGGCGGGCGGCGAGCUCCGGCUUGGUAGCGUAGAAUCUGUCGCUGUACGCGGACACCAUCUCCAUGACUAUCCCGUCCACGCAGCUCUCCGCCACCUCCCUCCCCAUCGCCGGCGACCGCCCUCCGCCCCUCCCUCUCCUCCGAGAUCCCCUACCCGCUCUGGCCCUCCACCCUCUCACUAGCCGCCACACCAACCAUUCCGGAUCCUGUCGGGUUCCCCCUUUCUCUACCGAUCGGAUCCUUGUAAAUGGAUCAUAAUAGGAUAUAACUAGACCCGAAUUUUAAGUCCGAACACCGGAACCCAUAUUCAGACCGAGCUCGAUUUUUUCGGACAUUUACCUGGGCCCAAGUAAGGCAUGGGCUAUUUAAUGGGCCUGAGCCGUACUAGAGCCGCUGAAGGCCCAAUAAAAAUUGAAAGAUCGAAUUGGGCCCCACGAAGGGGAAGAAUCGAGAGAGGAAUGUGGUCUUCGGACCUGCAAGCGGUGGUCCCACAGAGAAAGGUUCACUUAACGGUUAGACGGUCACCGUCCGUGUCAGAGCCCCCAUGAGCCGUCUGAUCAUCAUCACGAUCCGUCCAAGAUGGAAGGUGAAGCGGCACAUCAGAGAGAGAGAGAGAGAGAGAGAGAGAGCGUGGUGGCUUUGUCCAGGUGUCGAUAAAAUGUCGUCAAUUAUCAGAGUGAUAAUAAAUGAUUUUCCUCUGUUUGAGAAAUUACUGGGUAAAAAAACGCAUAUUUCUGUACGAUUUUUUUAAAAAAAAUCGGAUUCACUUUUCUUUAAUGCAGAAAGUUAAACGCUCUUCAAGAGUUGACUGUCUUUUUAAUAAUUCCAGCUUUUAAUAUUCCAGUUAACUUCUACGCUGACCUUCACUCAUUAAAUCCCUUUAAUUAAUGGGCCCAAUUUUUACACUGAGCGGCAGAUCACUGCCAAACGUUCGUUUGACUUUUUAACUCAGGGCGGAUGAUGGGGUUGACUUUUUAAAUCGAAGCAAAAAUGGAUAUUUCCUUUUAUAGUAAGAAAUUAAUUGCAGCUCGUUAUGUUGGGAUCUUACAUGGGAAAGCCCGAAGAUGAAGGAUAGAAAAACCAGGAGGGAGAGAGAGAGAGAGAGAGAGAGAGAGUAGGNNNNNNNNNNNNNNNNNNNNCCCUCCUCUCUCUCUCUCUCUCUCUCUCGCUCGCCUCCGUCCUCUUCCUCGGACGGGACUUGUCGCCAUGAAAGCGGCGGCGCGGCCACACGGACCUCAGAUCUUUCCAAUCUUGGCGGCGUCCGACGUUUGAUAAUCCCCCACGUCGUUGAAGAACAAAUCGGCAUCUUCCUCUUCCCUGAGAAGAGAUGCUACUUCUGGAUACAUUCUCAAGCCUAAAAAAAUAUGAUCUCAGCGGACGCACAGAGAGAGAAAAUGGGCGCCCAUCAGACUCUUGAGACCGGCAAGAACACGAAGGAUCAGAGAGAGAGAGAGAGAGAGAAUCCAAUGUGGGAUAAUUUAAACACCAUUUGGGUCAAUCUACAGGCAGAUAGAGUAAAUACACGCUUCUUAUUCAUCUCCUUCCGCGUCUGAUUUUCCACACUCAAAGCGAGAUUAUCCAAGAACAGAGCAGAGAGAGCGCCAGAUGUUCCGCUCCUCCCUCCUCCCUCCCUCUCGCGGAGCUCUCCGAGCCCCUGGAAACGUUGACCGAGCCGCUCGAUCCGCCACCGAAACCCUGCAACCCUCGGCCCGUUGGCCUCGACCACAGCCGGCCGACGAUCAUCGCCAACGGCUCCCCAGGAUUUCUUCCAGCUCGUCGUCAAAUAGUCGAUCAAACUGUCAAGUCAGCGGCCUCCUCGGCGGAGCGGCCAUCAGCGCUCGGUCUUCAGAUGGCCGCCUGAAGAAAAUAAAAAUGACCCAUUUAGAUCAUUCCCAGGGCCAUAAACCGGAGAUUAUAAAGAUUUCGUCUUGGAUUGACAUCGAGGAGAUUCGGAGUCUCACCAUGGAAAUCAUGGGCGCCGAUCUGGAUGUUAUGAAGCUCGUCGGCCCAGGCGCUGGGGAUCUGUGGGCAAGCACAAGGGAGGAAGAAAAAAAAGGCUCAAAUCUCGAUUAAUACCAACAUGGGGUAAAUUAGCUCAUUUUCUGGGAAUUCUAGGGAAUGUUGGCACCAAAAUUGUUCCCUUUUUUUCCCUUUUUAGAGAGAGAAAGUAGAUGAAAACAACGGCUCAAGGUAGAGGAUCAAAUGGGCACCACCGGAAUGGCUCAUCAUCAUCCCAUUGCAGACUCUCCCUAUGCUUAAUGGGGAGAUUUUUCAUUCCGUAAUGGUGCGGAGGGGGAGGGGGGGAUAUGGCCGCACCUGAUUUGGCGGCUCCCCGUAGGAGCUCACGGCGGCGAGCUGGGCGUUGAUGGCCCUCCUGAGGGCCUCCGAGGGGUUUCCUGUUCUAGGGAUCCCUGGCUGAACCAAGGAGCUCUGCCCUGGAUGCAGCUGGGGAGGGCCGAUCUCCGGCGGGAAUCCGAUCGAGGGCAUGGGAACGGACUGCGACUGCAGAAUCUGGAGCAUGGUUGACCGAUAAAUCAUCAGAUAUCAUCCCAUAAAUCAGGCGCAACCAUACGAAAAAUGGAAAGCUGGGUUUUGACUUCGAUCACCUCCUUCAAGAAGAGCCCCUCGAUGUUAAAGUCAACGUGAGGAUUCACGGUCGCCAGCUUCAUCGAGAGGAACUGCACCCACAAGCCCGUCGAGAUGAGAAAUGGAGAAAAAGCCGGAAAAUAUGAACAAAUUGCAGGGAACGCCAAGAACAGGAAGGAGGGCCAUCUCCGCGGGCGGCAUACCUCGACCUGCCUCUGCAGCGACUGGACGUAGUUGAUGAUCUCAUCGAGCAUCACGGCUUUCCCCGUGACCUGUUUAGGAUGAAAUUAUGGGCGAUUAUUGAUAUCCAUAUAUGUGACGAUUAUAGAACUGGGUUGUUCUUGGUUGAUAUGAAUCUAGUUCUGUCUGACAACCUUGCUGCAGCCUGGGACGAGAUCUUGAAGAAACUUCAUCCGCUCACUGAUUUUCUCACGUCUGACCUGCGAUUGAAGUCAAACCCAUCGAAGAGAAGAUCAAAUCGGUUUCUGGGUCGGCGAAAUCGGACCCACGGAGUUCAGCCCACUAGAAAAGAUGACAGUUUCCUCCUGGAAUGCUUACUCUCUCCGCAAGGCUGUGGCUGUUGGUGGCCUGCCCUCGCCGGGCUCUGACAUGGACGUAGUCCUCCUUGGGCGGCUCUGCAGAGUCCUUGCCAUGCUCCGAGCUCGAGUUCUUCCGCUCAUCCGCCAUUUUAUUCUCGUGGCUCUCCUUCGGGGCCUCCGCAGAGCGCUGAGCGUCCCCCAUGGCCUGCUCCGGCUCCAACCCCGCCUCCUGCGAUCAAGAAGGGAAGAACACAAUGAGGAGGCCGGAGAUCGACUGCUCCGCAAGAUCCUGCAGAAGGCUGAGCACCACAAUGGAGAUAAUGCUGUCGAUUGGGAGGUAGAAAUUUGCAGUGAUUUGGCGCGGCUGCUUCGCAUUCUGCUCCUGGAGAACCGUUGCUCACCUGGUUUCCCCUCUUCCUCUUCCUGGGCAACGACCCGGCGGAGGAAGGGUCGCCGGCAGUGGUCUCGGAGCUAGGGUUCUCCUCCUGGUGUCCUCCUGCUCUGAGCUCCAGGUCAUGGCGGUCGUCAUUCUUGGGUGGCGCUCUCCCCGGGGUCGGAUUGCUCCUCUGAGAAUGAGCUCCGGAGAUCACCAUGCCAGGGCCGGAGCUAGGGCUCCCCAUCCCACCGGCGGCGAAGCCAUUGAAGGAGGAGGGCCUCGAGGCGCGCUCGACGAAGGGAGGGUCCGCUGGGAACUGGGGCAGGCCGUGGAGGAAUAUUCCGUUGCCGUUCCGCGAGAAGAGGGCUCCGGCGCUGUCGGGCAUGGCCGCCGGAGGGUUCCACGCCAUGUCGAGCGCCGGCGGAGGGAGGGCGGGGCUCUGGGAAUUGGCGGCGGUCUCCCAGAGGCGACGGCCGAAGGGGGCAGCCAUGGCGGAGGAAGAGGAAGAAUAGCAAAUCUGAUCCCCCUCAGGGACCGCCGGAGGCCCGAAGAAACUCAUCUGCGGGCCGCUGAAUCUCCAGUCGCCAUGGAUGUCGGAUCCAUGGUAGCUCAGACGGUCAUCUCCCCUAUCCUUCUGGCCGGAAUCCAUAUCCCCCCUCACCGUCCCCACUCACAGGCCCUCAGAACCAGUAGGACCUGAGCAACCGAGGUCCGAUUUCGGCGAACCCUAAUCGGAGGAAGAGGAUGAGACAAGAACCCAAAUACCUCAAUCGGCUAGCCGUCCCAGCCGAACAGGCGAAGAACACCGCAAAAAUGUGGAUCAGCUCCGCGAUUCAAACUUGCAGAAAUCGGCAUCAGAGACGGCGAAACCCAGUUGGAGGGGAAAUGGUCGGCGCCCGAGCUCCCCGACGGUCGGAAUCAAACGAGAAUCUCACCGAUCGAACUGCCGAAGACAGAGCCAGGAGCCGCAGUGGAGCGGAACCAGGCCCGAGAAUUCGACAAAAAUGGCGGAUCAAGGAGCUCCAAAAAGUCUGUGGAAGGGUUUGGAUUGAAACAGGGGGAAGCGGAGGAUCAAUCCCUACCCAAUGCGGAACGCGCGCAGACACGCAUUGGUUUCAGAGACGAGCCGUGGGAAAAACAGCAACAGCCCAGAUUCCCCUCCCUCCUUCCGCAGAUCUCUCCACGGUCGGCGGCCGAGCUCUCACCCGCAGGCUGGUCGCUGGAGGAGCUCCUCCCCACCUCCUCGUCACCCCCAACACCUAAAAGCCAGAGUAGCAGAAGACCCACUUAAGAUUCUCUCCACCGUCUUUCACCCCGCUCUCUCUCUCCCUCUCUCUCUAUCUCUCUAUCUCUCUGCGUCUCUGCGAUAUAUAUAUGUAUAUCCUGCGAGAGCACCAUCCGGAUGAGAGAGAAAUACCGAGGAGAGGGAGAGCAACGGGGGGUUGUCUUUACUUUGGCCUCGCUCGACUGUUCUCUUCUGCUCAGAAACCAACUCCCGCGGACCGAUCAAAGAUGAACAGUAGAGAGAGAGAGAGAGAGAGAGAGAGAGAUGAUUAAUGGCGGAGGAGCUCCCUCGCACUCUGACCCGCUCCGGGUCAGGAGUGGCGCCAUUAACCAGCCCCCACUCUGCUGUAAAACCCUUUUACGAGGACGACUGUAAGACAUCCGAAGAAGUUCUAUCCCACCUGCCCCUCUCUCUCUCUCUCUCUCUCUUCUGGCUUCACCGGAAAUCAACUCCGAGGACAAUAAAAAACCCCCCGUCUCUGUCAAUCCCUUUCAUCAAACCUUGACCUUUCCCCGACUUUUCUCCCUCUCCCGGUCGAUCGCCAGAUCGAUCUGGCGCAGCGCCUCUGACAGCCGCCGACCCCGCCUCCAUUAAACAAAUCCCACGCCUCCUCCGAGCUCUCUCCCUCCUCCCCGUUGGCACACGAUAUGCUACGAUGCCACGCAGGCGCAUCGUCCUCAACGAUGGGGCCUCUCUAUCCGGUCGGUCGACCACUGAGACGCCGACUUCUCCAGUUUCCAUAAUUAUGUAAAUACAUUUCCCGUACAUUCCACUUGUUUAAUAAAUUUAAAUCUAAAAUAUUGAAAAUAAUCGUCCCUCUCUCUCUCUCUAUCUAGAUUAUUUAUUAANNNNNNNNNNNNNNNNNNNNNNNNNNNNNNNNNNNNNNNNNNNNNNNNNNNNNNNNNNNNNNNNNNNNNNNNNNNNNNNNNNNNNNNNNNNNNNNNNNNNNNNNNNNNNNNNNNNNNNNNNNNNNNNNNNNNNNNNNNNNNNNNNNNNNNNNNNNNNNNNNNNNNNNNNNNNNNNNNNNNNNNNNNNNNNNNNNNNNNNNNNNNNNNNNNNNNNNNNNNNNNNNNNNNNNNNNNNNNNNNNNNNNNNNNNNNNNNNNNNNNNNNNNNNNNNNNNNNNNNNNNNNNNNNNNNNNNNNNNNNNNNNNNNNNNNNNNNNNNNNNNNNNNNNNNNNNNNNNNNNNNNNNNNNNNNNNNNNNNNNNNNNNNNNNNNNNNNNNNNNNNNNNNNNNNNNNNNNNNNNNNNNNNNNNNNNNNNNNNNNNNNNNNNNNNNNNNNNNNNNNNNNNNNNNNNNNNNNNNNNNNNNNNNNNNNNNNNNNNNNNNNNNNNNNNNNNNNNNNNNNNNNNNNNNNNNNNNNNNNNNNNNNNNNNNNNNNNNNNNNNNNNNNNNNNNNNNNNNNNNNNNNNNNNNNNNNNNNNNNNNNNNNNNNNNNNNNNNNNNNNNNNNNNNNNNNNNNNNNNNNNNNNNNNNNNNACCUCUCUCUCUCUCCUCUCUCCUCUCUCUCUCUCUCUCUCUCUCUCUCUCGCUCGCUCUCUUUCUUGAUCUCUCUCUGAAUUGGACCGGGCCCAUAUAGGUUCUGGGCCCAAUUUAGCCUCCUGACCAACCUAAGAAUGAAGCAUUCAUUUUCCCCAUGAAAUGAACUCAAACUGGGAAAUUUCCUACCAAGAUAGAGGAUAACUGGAAAAGAUGCUGACUUUUGAUGACCCUUUUGGCUACUCACACUAGAUACAAGGUAAAUGAAGAACUAGGUAAUCGGGUUUCAUCAUUUUUUUUUCUGUUUAUCAAUCUGCUCGUUGUUUACCAAAAGAAUAGCCGACUUGCCUAGAAAAAGGUCAACGUUGACGAUCUGCCCUCUUGCCCGCUCGCCAUCCUGUCACCUGAAAUAGAUUAAAACGAUCGGAAACCAGUUGGAUUCUUCGUCUCCUAUCUCCCCUCUUUAUGAAAAACGGAGUUAAAUUUUCCUGAAAAAUAUCAACACUUAAAGACCCUCCCGCGCGCUCCCAAUCAUAUCACAGAAAAAACAGAUUAAGCUGAAGGUAAAUCUCAUCAGAAACCACGCAGGUUCAUCGCGUUUUAGGCUUGUCUCCUCAUUGUUCACAAAGCCAGAGUUGACUUUCUGUCACCGGGCAUUCUCGGCUAGGGUGUCUUGGAGAGCAAGUCGUCAACGAAACACCGGGGUUUCCGGCUGAAAGAUGUAGACACCGCAGAUAGAGAUCACCGAGAAGAGGAUCGCGAGCAACGCGUUCUUCGAUCUCCGGUUCCCGCUCUCCGUUGACCUGUCCCUCCCAGGCUUCGGCGGUGGCCCGGUUUGACCGCUCUUCGAUGCGGUUUCGCUCGGAUGGGUCCUGCAGGCGUCAUCAUCCGAGAUUUCCACCUGAUGAUAAAGGAAACUCAAUCAGCUGAACUGAUCCUUAGGAGUUGACCCCGACGAUAUUUUGGAAAGAAGAACAAAAUAUCCACGGAAAAUGGCCACUGGGCCAACAUACCGACAUGAGCUUUUGAGAUUCUAAGAUCAAAUGUGAACAAAUCAGAUGGACCCAGAUUUUUCCCAGUACUCUGGAUGGGAAUGCAUUCAACUCAUCCUUUUUUCUUUGUAUCUGAUCUAUUUUACCCAGAAAAGGUAAUAUUUAUAGCUAAAUUACUUUGGGGAUGAAAUUUUUUUUAGCUGGGACCUGUGAUAAAGGGCACGCUCUCUCAAGGCGAGGUUCAUUACCAGGUAAGUGAACACGCUGGUCUCAAUGGCGGCGUUCUUUGCACAUACUGUUUUCGUCUCAAAAUCAGCCUUAUGCAGCGAUUCCUCUAGGCUCUCUACUUUCCUUUUCAGGAAACCGAGUUCUUCAUUUAAAUCCGAAUUACUCUCGAUCAGUAGAGAACACCUCAACUCUGCAUGAGCAGCUCUGACUUCUGCAUCAUGAACUCUCCACUUCAGAUCCUCGAUCAGCUUCUCCAUAUCACAACGAGCGGCAAAGAUUAAGGUUUUCUUCUCCAUUUGGGCAUCUGAAGCCUUCUCUUCCAGAUCACCCUCAUCAUAGCAGAUCCUUGGGCCAAGCCCCAGGUUAGCCUCAGGAAAUAAUUUACAGCCGGCUUCUUCGGAUUCAGCCCCGGUUUGAUCCAUGUAGCAGGCUUCUUCAAGAACACCCAUCAGAUCUACAGUCUCAGCACGUUCAAGGUGUCGAAUAUCCUGUUGAUAUUCGGCUUCAUCCAUGGAAACCAUGGCUAAUUGAAGAUGAAGACCACAUUCUUUCGACUUCGCAUUCUCCUUCAACAUCAAGGAACCUGAAUCAGCACCAGCAUGUGCCUCCUCACUGAAUACACCUGGUGACUUCAAUUUGCUACCUUUCUGCGCAGAUCUCGUCUCGUUCUCCCACAGAACCGACCCAUCUAAAUUCACCCCAAGAGCCCGGAUCUUUGGGAAGGAUUCUCGUGAUAAAAAUCCCAUUUUCAUAUCGGAGGCAUCCCCAGCCCCUACCAACUCAACCCGAAUGGCCUGCAUCUGUUCUUCCUGCUCCACCAGGUGCAGCUUUAUUUGGACGCCACUAUUAUUCCUAGCGUCUGAGAGUUCUCUCUCCAGAUCUAGCUCCCUGGCCAGCGACUUCUCCAGCAUACGCAAUAUAUGCCUUUGCUGCUCCACUGUCUGCAUUUGCCAGUCAUCUUCAUUCCCUGCCAAGAAAAUUUCAUCAAAUUAAUCGAAACUUAUCUUAGUUUUCAUCGUUGAAAAGAUUUUGGUGAGAGGAAGACGCCCAAAGACUUACAAAUUUCUUUCCUCCCCAGAGCCAAGGCCCCGUCAAAUUUCUCCGUCUGCAUUCUGAUCUCGGUUACCUGUUCUUGAGAGCGCCUCAGGGAUUCUUCGGCAUGGCGCAGCUUCUUCUCUAUUUCCUGCGCUUUGACUCGUUCAUUCCGCCGAACCUUCUUAAGAUUAUCCUCGAUUUCCUUCUGGAGAGAGGCCAUGAAACCGUCCAGUUCUUGGAUCUCGCAGUCUAAGAUCCCCGAUAGGGCAUCGAAUUCGAAGGCUUUCUCGAUGACAUCGGAGGAAGUGGAUCUGUUUUCCAUAUAUAGAGCCUCGCAGUCUCUUAAUCUGUUCGUGACGUGCAUCAGGAGUAUGUCGAGAUUGAGCACUUUCUCUGCACAGUAGGCUAAAUCGAGGUCUAUUCUCGUGAUGACUUCGCCCAUUCUAUCUCCGCUGGCCAAGAUAGCUUCGUUCGAGCAAAUAAUGUGUUGAUGAGUGUCUUAUUCCCUUCCAAGUAGGCCGAGGAAAGAUGUCAGUUUUUGAUUCCAUGCUGGAUGAAGAAGAAAAGGAGCCGCAGAUGGCCCAAUGAAAAGUUUCCCCUCCAAACUAUAAUUUUAAUGAAUGUUUAUGGAUAAAUCGCGCCGGAAAUUCAUGCUUCAAACUUGGGCAAGAUCCAUGAACGAUGAAGAUGGGGCUUGGAUGGGAAUCCGGUAGUAGGAUAAUAUGAGGAAAUGAAACGGCAGAUGAGCCGCUGACCCAGUUGCACCGACGGAGGAGGACUGGGGAACUCCGACCGCGGGAGCAUUUCCGGCGGCGGAGCUCAAAGAUGUAGUGCGGGGAAUGUGAGGCGCCUCUGGGUAGACCAGAGUGCGCCUCCCCGGCGAAACGUGAGUUCGUGCGACAAGAGGACGAAGGGACGGCCGGAACAGCCAGAAAAUGAUGAGGGCAAGGCGAGACAAAACGAAGUCCGACGUGGGUAAACCAUCCAGCCGAAGAUCACUAACCAGAAAAAGAGCAGUCACCUGCGUCUCUCUGUCCGCUGCUGGAAGAGGAAGAAGAAGAAGGUAGAGUUGUCGCCGUCUUCCUCCGGCGUUAGAAGGAUACCCCCCGGAGCCCGUCUAUCGACGGAGGAAAUGGAUCCCGGCUGAAGCAGGAUGAGAUGGAUAAGAGGGGCCGAUGGAGAGAACCAAAGACGCUCGUCCAGGACGCUCCUAGCCGCCGGCCGGAAUACCAGGAAGAAUGGCCGGACGAAGAGGAGGAACGAUCACCCACCCGCUUCUUCUUCUCCUGGCCAUGUCCAUGCAGGGAGGGGUGACCAAACCACCCCUCCCUAAAUAGUAAUAGCAGGGCCAACGUUCGAAGGGCAUUCGAGUAUUUACGCUAUAUCCUGAAAUCUAGAUAAAUGGGGCCUGUUCGCAUAGAGGUAGGAUCAGAUCAUGGUCGGAAGUGAACUUGCUUGAAUGGAGAAGGACAAGUAGGAAAUUUAUUUCAAUAUAAAUUUUUUGGUACAUAAAAUAAACUCUAUUUGAAGAACAUAUAUAUUAUGAAAAAAAUAUCAAAACCCAACAUUUCUAGCAUUCAAGGAGACAAAGGCCCAGGGCCUUGGAUCAAGCCGUUCCAAGAAGAGAUUUCCUUAGCUUACUCCACGAAUUUCCAUAGCCAACGGGCAUCAACAAAAACCAAAUAAGCUUACUUCAUGGUUCAUCUGACCAAGAAAGGCUUACGUGAGCAUUUCGGAUGAGUGGAUGAAUCAGAUCUCAUCUAAACCUUGCAUCUAAUCGAAAAUUCCAAUCAAAUUAGCUCCGAUAAUAUCUUGCGCACACAUUUUUGUGUCUAGUGACCAAUUCAACAUAAGCAUGUCCCAUGUGACGUUAUGUUUGGUUCAAAUAAAUCUUUAUGUAAAUUCCAGCAUCAUAAAAUCUAGGUUUGUAGGCCUGUAUGGUUUAUCACAUGGACUCAUAAACAUGAAUUAACCCAUAAAUUUACAAAAAGGGUUUCAUCCCAUAGACAAAAUGGGUUGCAUCCUUCUUUUAAAUUGUGAAUGAAUUUCACCUCAUACCUGAUUGGUAGACGAUUUGAUCUUAACUAUCUGCACAUGUUUUUGUUUGUAAUGGCAAAUGAACCUUGAGGUGCUUCACAUUCCUUGACUUUAAUGAAAAAAUUCUUUAAAAAUGAAUGGAUUCAUCAAUAUUAUCAAUGAAGCACAAAAAAAUGGUAGAUGCAGAUGGUUUUUAAAUCAUAAAUGUAGGAUUAGGAUAUGCUGCGUGUUUACCUUAGCCUUUCCUGCACUAAGGAUUCAUUCCAGCCGCCCAUCCUACAGCGCAACUGCCUUAAUACCAAACAUUUGCGCUUAAAUCACCCUGAUACCAUUGAUGUUCAACAGAUUUUAUAGUGUAACGAAUUGAGCUAUUAAUACCUCGUACAUUGAGUAGAAAGGAGCAAAUGAUGGUAUAUCAAUGGCAGGAUAAAUAACUAGAAUUUGGGUUCGAUUCCAACUCCCCAUGGCACCAUCAUUUGGUUUUUCCAGCCUCUAAGUAAGGGGAGUCCUCUCGAAUAAGGAAGGAAAAUGAAUUCAAACUGUAAUGAAAAAUCUGGUUCAAUGGUUGUUCUCCACUAAAUUAAUGUUGUGAUUAUGUAUAAACGAGGACUGAAGAAAUUAUUGGCAACAUUAGUGAUGAUAGUGAAUUGAAAAAUAUUUGAACCUUUUUCAUAGCAUGUCGAGUUAUGAUUUAUGAAUCUAAGAUAUUGGGACUAAAAAUAAUGAGCCCAAAAACCACUGUUUUCUUGACAUUGAUAUCGUAUUAGGGGGUUUCUGUUUUGUAUUUGUUCUUCUCUUCCUAAAAAAAACUAGAGAAAUACAACAGCUUAAUAUGGAUUUUCUUGCUUAAUUUUAGGCCAGUGAUGUACCAUAUAAUUUUUCCAUAAAUAAUAACCUUGUAAAUGAAAUUUAUUAAUAUUGACAUUUAUACCCCAUUUGUCAUUGAAAUGGCAAACAUUUUUGUGGUGGGUUGCCUUGAGUUCACAAUCUUUGAUUGACUAUGUGGGUUGUUUAAUUCCUUCUAUUUAUACCAAAAUCACAAACAGAGUACAUGAAAUAAUUGAAAUCUAAAUUUAUGUGCUAAUUAAAUUAAGGAGAAAUGGGUUCAAAUAUGUACAUAAAUCGGAUUUACAAUUGCAAUCAUAGCAAUAGCAUAUGCUCUAGUUGUCAGGAAUUUAGCUUCUACAAUUUUUGACUAAUAUUAGUUUUUCCCCUCUUCUCAAAAAAAAAGUAAACAUGAUAGCUUAAGAUAAAUUUUAGGCAAGGGAAGUGGGAUAGAAUUUGUGCAAAAAUAGCCAAAAAAGGUGGCAAUGGUUACGAUUGCUAUUUAUAUCAAAUGUAUGUCAUUAAAACAAAACAUACUUUCGUGGUGAGCUACCUCACACUUACAUUAUUUGAUUGAAAAUGGACAUUGAAUUGCUCUUCUUCUCCUCUUGAGAUUACAAAAAAGAUGAAAGUAAGAAAAUGCCAAUUGUAGUAGACAAAAGUGACACAAAAGUUCACAUAAAUAGUCCUUUAAAUCACAUACCAAUUGACCAUGCCCUCAAUAUUAACCAUUUAGCAUCUAAAAUAUUUUAUCAACAACUAGGAUUGUAUUGCUUGUUUAACUUUCUAGAAAAUAAAUAUUGAUGAAAUAAAAAAUCUUAAAAUUAAUUUCUUACUUCAUUGAAAUUUCUUCCUCUCUCCCAAAAUCACAAAAAGAGUGAAUGUAAUAAUUUAAGAUAAAAUUUUUCUUCAGCUAUAGUAGUCAAAAGUGGCACAAAAGUUUAAAUAAAUAACAUAUAAGUCACAAUCAUACCAAUAACACAUUCCCUCCAAGUUAACCACUUAGUCUCUAAGUUGCAAUUGUAUUCGAGUGUUAAAACAAAAAAUGGUAAAUAAAAUAGUUUAAGAUGAAAAUUAUUUCUUCAUUAAAGCUAUGGAAAUUUUCAAAAAAAAAUUACAUUAAUAACUUUGAAAGUGACUUUGAUUAAUAUUGUCAUUUAUACCCCCCAAUCGAUCAUUAAAAUAUCACAUCCUUUUGUGAUAGGGUGCCAUGGGCCUAAAAUCAUUGGUCAAUAAUAUGGUCCAUUUUGUUCCUUAUAUAUCCCAUAGAAUCAAAAAAAUACGAAAUUAAAUAAUUAAAAUUAAAAUAAUCCCAAGGAGAGGAUCAAAAAUCAUACAUAAAUACUCCUCAAAUUAGAGUUGUACCAGUAGUGAAUGCUUUCUUUGUUGCGCAUUUAGUCUCCACAAUUAUUGACUGAUCAUUGGGAUUGUGUCAAUCAUUUUUAUCUUACUAAAAAUAAACAUUAAGGGAAUAUGAAAAAUUAAGAUAAAAUUUCUUCCUUAAUUACAAGAAAUGAAGGUUCCAUAAAAUUUAUGUGGAAAUAUUCAUAUAAAUAUCAAUUAUUUAUCUUAUUAUUUAUAUCAAGUUUGGUUCGCACCAAAGUCAUGAAAGGGGGUUGAAUUAAGUACAUCUCUUUUCUUUCAUUUGAGAAAUAGUUCUCUGAGAUAAUCCUCUAUAUUCUUUAAUGGGCAGAAACCUUAUGGACUAUGGAUGUUAACUCAUUGAUUUUAUAGUGGUUUUACUUCUAAUAUACGUCAACUCUCUAAAAUUAUUCAUUGUUCUUGGGUUUCAUUGUUAUAAUUAUAUGAUCAUAAUGGCUUACUACAAUGACUCAACUCUCAUAGAAUCUCACAUAUAAGUUUUUUUUCUAAAUUCAUAAAUUUGUGAGGCUCAAUAGUUGGUUUAGGUGACAAGUCCCACAGAUGAUCAAUACAAAAUAUUAUCACAAGUCAAUAAAUUAGAAAUAAUUUUUUUAUGAGUUCUUUCCAAAAUAUGGACUUUUUAUCCUUUGAAUUUCUUAUGUAGAGGAUGAUGAUAUUGAUUCUUUGGGUUUAUUCAUUAGUUCUCAGAUUUCUGACGAUAGACUUGAAGGCUUGCUGUUGUGAUCAACUCAAGGAGAGGCUUCAAUGCUUGUAUGUGCACCUCAACUUGAUGUCUUCAUGAAGAACACACAAUUGUCAGCUUUUUCUCUUUUUCUUCUUGAAUAUAUUUCAUGAAAGACUUAGCACAAAAGUAAAGGUGGUAGAGACAAUGCAAAUAGUCAUUGAGUGUUGAUUUUUAUAUUAAAAAUUAAUGAUAUUAUAGAUAAACUAUGUACACACUUUCUCAAUUUUUGCAACCUUCUAACAUAUCAAUUUACUAAAUAUAAUUAAUCAAAUUGUGAUGAAACAAUACGUUGCUUUUGAAAAUUUUAGUUAUCUUUGAAGGAAAACUAAUACAUGAAUCAUUUAUUUCAUAAUUUUUGUAUCCAAAUCAAAUCAGUUUACUUGAAUACAUGACAACAAAUAUGAUAGUGACUAGAGUAAAAUUGAUAAGAUUUAUCUUAAUAAGGUAAUAAUUUCACAUUCAAAUCUGAUCGGAGUUCUAUCAAAUAAAGCAUUAAAUUUAAUUAGACAUCUCAAAUCAUGAUAUUAAUGUCUCAUAUCAUAACUUCAUUGAUCAAGAUAUAUAUUAUGAUUUUCUGCAUAUAUUCAAAAAUAUUUAAAUAACAUUUUCGGUAGAAAUUAAAGUAUGUAGAAUAUUCAUUUGAUUCAAUGUAAAAUCUAUUUGAAAAUAAUGGAUUAAAAUAAUUAGUUUCUAGAUAAUUGAGAUAUCUUCUAUACUCAUAUUUUACUUCACAAAAUCUUAUUGAUUUAAGUGCUCUAUUCAUUUCUUUUUUGAUUGUGAUAGUUUCAAUAAAUAAAAAUAUCUUCCACAACAAUAUAUAAAAUGAUAAUUCUAUAGGAUGAAAUAAUUAAAGUAUGUUAUUUCACAUCACAAGUUUUUAAUAUAUUUAUUGAGCUAUCAUCUAUAUACUUAAAGAUUAUAUCUUAGGCAUUGUACUUGGAUAGUUAAAUUCUUCUAUGUAUGGAGUAGACUCAACAUUUAAGUAUAAUUUGAUUUUUAUUAAUUGAUUUUCAUCAUCAAAAUGUAUUACCUUCAUGGCUCUAAUAAUUUAUAAUUUAUUUAUGUCACUAAAACAUCAUUUUUUUGUAAUGGAUUAUCUUAUGUUUGCAUUCUUUGAUCAAUAAUGAUGGCUAUAUUGUUCUCCCAUCUACCUAAAAUCACAAAAAUAGUAAAUAUAAUAAGCUAAAAUAAAAUUUUAACUUAUUAAAGUAGAGAAAAGUGGCAUAUAAGUUUAAAUAAAUAGUCCUCUAAAUCACAAUCAUUCUAAUAGCACAUGCCCUCCAAGUUAACCAUCUAGUUCUUACAACAUUUGAGUAACAAUUAAGAUUAUAUUAGUCAUUCUUCUCUCUUGAAAAUAAAAAUUGAGUAAAUACAACUUAAGUUGAAAUUUCUUGAUUCAUUUAAAGCUAAAAAAUUGCAUAAAUAUACUUGGAAAUCACUAUGAUUAACACUGUUAUUUAUACAGCCAUGAAUCAUCGAAACAUCACAACCUUUCAUGAUGGGGUGAACUUAUGAUUGUUGAUUGAUAAUAUAAGUCCUUGUAUUUCCUCUAUUUCUCCUGACAUCACAAAUAGUGGAAACUAAAAGUUUAAAUCUGAAUUUCUUAGCCAGUUGUAAAAAGGAUAAGUGUCUUAAAACAUAUAUAUAAGUCAGCUUCAAAAUUGGAGUCAUAUCAAUGGUACAUGUUUUGUUUGUGAGGCACCUAGCUCCUACAAUCAUAGACAAUAAUUGGGAUGGUGCCAAUCAUUUUCCUCUUCUUGAAAAUAAAAUUUAGGUAAAUACAACAACUAAGAUAAAAUUUCUUUCUUAAUUGAAGGCUGGGGAAAUGCCACAUAAUUUCGAUAAGAUUGAAACCAAGGGAAAUGUAGACAGAAGAAAAACAAGAAUCUAAGGAAGAAAAUGUUAAAAUAGAAAUGGGAAAAGAAAGAAUAGGUUUGGUCCUACAAAAACACAUUUGAGAGCACCCUACUUUCUCAAAAACUUCUUAUAAAACUCCUCAUAGUGAGGGUCCCUCUGCCCAUGACUUACCUUUCCCUCUAUUAAUGAAAACAACUCAAGUAAUGAGAUUGGUAAUAGACUCAACAAUUUCAAGCCUAACAAUAUUCCCCUUAUCUCACUCCCCUCCUCCCUCCCUCCCCCUUCGCCAUAAUAAUUUCAUCUUAUUUCCAUGGUAAAAGUAUGGAAAUCAAAGGUUGUUGAUGAGUCCUACAUAACUUCUAAUGUCGGUAAGCCUUGCCAUUUGAUGAGAGUUUCUACUAUGCUUAUUUCUCAAGUGUCUAGAGUGAUGUGAAUUGUUAUGUAUCAUUUCUAAUUCUUAUUCAUCUUCAUAACUAAAAUGAGUAGUAGUUUUCUGUCACACAUAUCUCUAGUUAAAAUUUCUUAUCACAAGAAAAAUGAUUUGUUUGUCCCCUUUCCUACCACUAUAAUUCUAUGAGAGACAAUCUCUUCCUUUUAUCAGAAGUGAUUUUUCACUUUAGAUUUUUUGGUUCCCCAUACUUUAGAUUGUGUUAUUUUCUCCUUCAUGAUAUGAGAUGUAUCCAUGAUUUCAUUGUGUCCUUUUUUGUUAGAUUUUAGGCUAGUGAGGAUCAAUGAGGGGACAAUUUAUUGAUCUUCUUUUUUUCUCUUUGAAAUACUUCUCUUUUUAUGAUCACAACCCAAUAAUGAAUUUUUGGUGAUUUUUGCAGCUUAAUCGCUCUUUAGAAAUCGUGAUUUCUUCGCCAGUUGUUCGCCUGCGAGAUAGAGAAAGGGGGAAAGAUGAAUUAAGUACUAUAAUGCCCUCAAUGUAUGACGUCAUAAGGAUAAUUUAAUAAUAGUCAAUUAGGGGCAUUGUUAGUAUUUAGAAAAUAUGCGGGAAAAAGUAAGGUGCGGAUUAGUCCCACAUCGGUUUUCUGGGCGAGUUUAACGCGCAUAUAAUAUGGGUGCUUCUUUAGCCAUCAAUAGGUACAAAUCACUUGCGUGUGUACGAACACUCCUUGCCCCAUGCCCCGUUGGCCACUAGUGACGUGGAAGGGGAGUGAUGCACACGUCAGCCGCUUGAGCGCCUAGCUCGCGAUCUAUGUCGCCAGCCGCUUGAGCCUCGAGCUCGCGAUCUAGUCCUAAGCCGCUCAAGCCUUGAGCUCGCGGUCCUUAGCCGCUCAGCAGCUCCGCCUGAUUGGGCCUCCGACAUGCUAGCAGGCCCGGUUGGCCGGUGGAUUUUUUGCUUUUUCCUUAAAUAUAUUUUUUUUCAUUUCUCUCAACAAAAUAAAAUUAUAAAAUCAUGUAAUUAAGUAAAAUUCAUAUUAAUCAACUAGAAAUCACUUUUUACGAUUUAACACAAAAAUAAGUCUAUUUAUNNNNNNNNNNNNNNNNNNNNNNNNNNNNNNNNNNNNNNNNNNNNNNNNNNNNNNNNNNNNNNNNNNNNNNNNNNNNNNNNNNNNNNNNNNNNNNNNNNNNNNNNNNNNNNNNNNNNNNNNNNNNNNNNNNNNNNNNNNNNNNNNNNNNNNNNNNNNNNNNNNNNNNNNNNNNNNNNNNNNNNNNNNNNNNNNNNNNNNNNNNNNNNNNNNNNNNNNNNNNNNNNNNNNNNNNNNNNNNNNNNNNNNNNNNNNNNNNNNNNNNNNNNNNNNNNNNNNNNNNNNNNNNNNNNNNNNNNNNNNNNNNNNNNNNNNNNNNNNNNNNNNNNNGACUUAUCACACACACACAAAUAUGUAUGUAUGUAUAUAUAGAACUUUACUCAUGAAGGUUAUAAUUAUAUAAAACUCUUGUCUAAUGUGGUGAGAGGGUCUCAUGUGUAUAUAGAGGGCUUCUCAUAUAUGUUGAAUUAUCUUGAAUGCUUAGGUGAGAAAUAAUGAAUAUUAUGAAUCUAUUAUUUUUAAAAAAUUAACCUAAAUUCUAAUAAAAUGCCAUGUCAUUUGAUGCUGUCAAUAUCAUCUAUUGGAUAGAGACCUAAAGACCUAAAGAUCAACUUUCCAUUUUUAGAACUUUUCAUCUUUAUAACCUUUUAUUUUUAGAUCCUUUCAACAUCUCGUUCAAUUUCUAUUUUUAGAUCUCUCAUAUUUAGAACACUUUCUAUAUUUGACACUUCUUAUAUUUAGGUCUUAUCCUUUCUUUAUUCCCUUUCUAUUUUAGACACUACUUUCUAUCUUUACCACCUUUUAUAAUCUUAUUUCAUUCUAUUUUAAGCCUCUUCCUAUUUGUGACACUUUCCUAUAUUUAUUUCCCUCAUAGUUUUUAAAUUUCAUUUAAAAUUUAAAAUUAGAGCCUUUUCAUAGGCUCUGGCUUAUUUAAGAACACCCCCAUAUAGCCCAAGGGCAUUCAACUUAUUUUAUCGAUAUAAUUUUGUGAGUUUCUUCUCAUUGAGAGAUUCUCUCUUUUGAUGGUGGACUCGAGCAUCCCUAAGGACCCAAGAAAUCAAUUUUUUGAAUUUGUGGAUUCAAGAUCAAACAUUGUGAACUUAAGGGACAUAUCUUCUUCAUUUUGUGGAUUCAAGAUGAGAAGUCUCUAUCACAUAUCAUGAUUUUUGAGGAUUCAAGUUGUGAUUUCAACUUCUCCUCCACUAAUUUUGUCAUCAAUUCUUCUAGAGAGUUGAACACUACAGUUUUGUUCUGUCAUCAUUAAUGGCUGCAUAAAUCCUAAUGAAAUAUUGUUAGGUAUAUACGAGGUUCACAGGAAGAAUAAUAGCUAAUGAUGUUUUACUAAGAAAAAAAUCAAAUUUACAAUUAAAUACUUCUCAUAUGUUGUCUUCUAUUCAUAUUAUAUCUUUGAUGGUAUUUUGAUGUUGUCAUAGAAAUGGGUCAAAGUUGUUAGAUAUCCUUGUAAGAUUUGAACACCCACUAUCUUACCAUUUUACCAAUCUUAAUUCAUGACAAUUCAAAAUCUUUGAAUUUCAUUGCACCUUUUGUCAUAUUCUAUUUUUUUUGAAAUAUAAUGUAAACCUGACAGAUUUAGGUCCAAGAAUUGUCUGAAUGAUUGGGAAACAGCCUCACUUACACUUUGAACUGUGAUACCAUUUCUCGAUUUUAUUCCAAGACCUUGAUUUACCAUGAUUGUGAUGAUUAGGCUUGUCAUAAAAACUUCUCAAUAAUAAGUUGUCAUAGAUUGGAUCUGUUCAUCCGAUGAACCAAACAAUUCUCAAGCGCGCGUCACAGAUAGAUGCAGCAGGGCAGGCGAUGGGGGGGCAGAGAGAGAGAGAGAGAGAGAUGACUCCCGAACUAUUGCGGCCUCUGCUUGAGUCGGCGCAAUUCGUCCACCAGCUCGUCGAUUUGGCGGUAGGAAUCGCCGCCUUCCCUCGUGGCCUCCGCGGCCUCUCGUCGGAGCUCCAGGGCCCUGGCCCUCUCCGGAGACGCCGACCCGUCCACUGACUCGGCGAUGACCCGCGCCAAAUCGUCCGGGUCGGGGACCGAGUCCGCCCUCUCGCAGGCCCUGAUCCCGACUCCGAGCUCACCCAGCAGACGGGCGUUGUAGAACUGGUCCGCCGUCAUCGGCCACAGCAGGAGGACGACUCCGGCGACGAUCCCCUCCAACACCGAGUUCCACCCGCAAUGAGUCAGGAACGAUCCCACGGCGGGGUGAUUCAGGAUCGCCGCCUGCGGGGUCCACCCCCUCAGCACCAACCCCUUCCCGGCGGUCCUCUCCUCGAACCCCGCCGGCGGCUCCGCCCCCAGUAGGCCCCACACGAACCCGGCGCCGCUCCUCUCCAGCGUCGCUGCCACCGCCGCCGCCUGAGCUGCCGUCAGCCUGGCCUGGCUGCCGAAGCAGACGAAUACCACCGACCUCUCCGCCCGCCCGUCGAGCCAGGCCAGCACGCCGUCGCCACCGCCGCGGUCGGCGGCGCCGCCAGGGGGGAGCAAGGGCCCCACGGCCCAGACCCGGGGGUGGCCGAGAUCUGCCCGCAGGUGGCGCAGAUGCGGCGCUUCCAUGGCGGUGAAGGAGUUGAAGACGUAGCCCCAGCUGGAGAUGUUCUCCAGGAAGCCCCUACGGACGAACUCCCAGGACUCAUCCUCCUCGCGGAAGGCGCGGAAGGUCGGGGAGAGCUGGUACCAGGGGUAGACGGGAGCGCCGGGGAGGGAGGAGAAGGAAUAGGGGGCCUCGUCGGAGCCUGGCGGCGGGGGCGGGGGCAUCUCGCGCCAGAGGCAGUGGACGACGGAGAGGGUGGCAGCGCCGGAGGGGCAGAAGACGAGGCGGGGGAUGCGGAGCUCGGCGGCGGCGGCGCGGGUCCAGCCGAGGAAGAAGUCGGAGAUGAUGGCAUCGGGGGGGCGGGGAGCGGAGCGGGCCCAGCGGAGGAGGGGGCCACGGAGGUCGGCGAGGGCGAUCAUCAUGGCUGGGAAGUACGGCUGGGGGAGGCCCUGCGUGUUCUCAACGCCGGCGGGGAGGGAGGGGUGGGAGGGGAAGGGGAGCACGAGGGGUGCGACGGCGGGGCAGCGGGAUAGGAGGGGCUGCAGCAGAGGGGCGUUCUUGGGGGUCACCAGGACCGUGACGGAGAGCCCUCGCAGCGAGAGUAUGUGGGCGAGGUCCAGCAGCGGGAUCAUGUGCCCCUGCGCCGGGAAGGGGAACACCAAGAUGUGCGGCGGCGGCGCCGCCGCCCCCUCGCCACUGUUGCCCCCGCCUUCCCCGUCCGCCGCCGAAGAAGCCAUGCCGAAACAGACGAGCCAGAGACUGAUGGGUGUGGUUAUAUUAAAAAGAGCGAUUCCGGUUGCCCGGUGCUGGCAUGAUCUCAUUAUACGUGCACAGGGAUGGGCCAUUGAAAUGGAAGAGGGUAGAAGAAACCAAAGGUGGAGAAGAGGCAUGGCUGUGAAAGACGAGCACGGGAAUAAAAUAAUGACUGGCCAGGAACCCCUCUCGAGGUUUAGUAAGACCUAACUGUUUCGAGGAGAACCGGAGGGGAGUUCCGCUUCUCUUCCCCAGACUGUUAACAAACAAAAAUUGUCUUUUUUCCUUUUUUUUCAUCGUAUCUCUAUGAUGGGAUCGUACUUUAGAUUUUCGCCAAGGUUUCAGACGGAAAGGAGGGAGGCGCCCAAGAGCUCACUCUGCUUGCCACGUGGCUGUCCCAUAAUAUGACAGCUCAGCUCGCUCUGUGUCUCGGUGUGAGAGUAGAAGACGUCUGUCUAAACCCAUCCAGAAGCCCAAGCCGAGAAGGACUUGAUUGAUCGACCAAACAAUACCAUAAAUAGAAAAGCCAAGGAACUGUGAGCUGAUAUACUUCCAAGGCCAAUCAUUUGAAUGGCUAUCAUCUGAAAAAAAACCUGAUGCUGACGAUGUUCGACUUGAACUUUUAUUUUAUUGAAGCAAAUAUCCAUGAAACAUGUGAGUAAGACGAUUGUCUUGAAUUUCACCAAAAAUAAAAAAAAAGGUUCAUCAACAUACGAAGGAUGUCACACAGGCGAGUUGUGGUAUGAAGAUCUGAUCUUGGAUUCCAAUAAAGACACAUACCUAGCCAGCAUUGAAACCGCAGCUUCAAACUCCGUCACCUGUUUGUCUAUCAACUCGAUCUGCUGGACGUGGGCCUCGAAGCUGAUGUUCUUCCUGUUAAGUUGCUCGACGAACAAUCUUAAUCCGGCGGCAAUGUCGCCAAAACCCUGGUACUCCUCAGCCACUCUGAGGUUCAUCUUCUCCAGAAGCUCCAGUGAGUUGCUCAUACCCUAAUCAGAAGAUCAUGGCAAUCAAAGUGAAAGAAAAAGAGAGAUUCUGUCAAAAGUCUGUCCUGAUACCAAGAUUGGCGACUGAGACUGAUAGGAAGAAGAAAAUAUUGAGAAUUCUGAUGUGGGUUUUGUGCCAAAUGUAGAAAAAGAUAUUUAUCAUCCAUAGCCUAAGCUGACCCGUGUUCUUAGGAUAUGACAUAGUUAUGCUCGUGGCGACGAUGCAAAAUAAGACAAAGAGUUAUUCCCAAAUUAUUUGAUUACCAGACGGUAAUUAAACCUUCUACUCAUUAGGAUGCAUAUGGCCAGGGAGAAUAAUGUUAGGAUCAAAUGAGAAAAAUGAUGGAAAUUUUUAGGUUGCCUUUGUAUAUUAAAAAACCGCCGCAUUUGAAAAUAACAUUGCUAUUGAUCAUGGUUAGCCUCUAAGUCGUAAUUUGACGUUAAUUUGAGGUCAACUUAGCCUCUAAGUCGUAAUUUGAGGUUAAUAGAAAUGUAAUCGUUUGAAAUCACAAAGAAGAAAUAAAAAGAGUUGUAUGAGGAACUUGUCAGUCGGAUUAGCAUCCGUUGAUUGACCUCAACAAGUAACCCACAAACAAAGGCUAUCAAGGAUGCUCGACAGGACAACGGCUGACCCCUAAGCCCUGCCAAUCAAAAGCUCGGGCAGGCCCCAAAUGGCCAAAGCAACAGAGCCAAAAACUAACUGGAGGGCUCUGAGUUUCAGCUUGAUGUUACCAUAUUGUGAAGAUGAUUACUUUUCUUCUUCUUCUUCAACAGAAAAGCUGUGAUGACUGCCUUUUCUGAGGCCUAAUGUUCUGUGAUUGAGAGAACUACGAUAUUGCAUGUGAUGCGAAACUACAGCCUGCCGCGUAUCUACUAAACUAGUAUGGUUGCCUGAGCUCGAGAAACAAUAGAUAAAAGGGUCGAACAAGCUGCAAGAAAGGUAUCUAAGAUCUCAUUUUCACCUGAAUAAGCGGCAUGAAAGAGUUGAAUGAAGAUGUGCUAUGCCACCAGGUAAGGAUGAUACGACCCAGGGAGUCACCUCUUCUAGAGAGCGUUCUGUGUAAUUGGGGAGGAGGGGCGAGGUUGUAUUCUGAGCCACUUAUGUCAAGAAUUAGGGCUCAGGCCGCGGGGGAAGGGGGACACUUCUGAGCAGAAUCGAAGGAUAGUCACUUGAAGAGCCUCUGGUUAUCUCCUUUCUUGUUUGUUUUCUCUAACUCUCAAUCUAGAUCUUCUCUAGCCUCGUGCGUCUGUUCUGUGUGGGUCGUAUCAGAGGAUGACGAGUUUCAGUAAGAGCAGUAUGCGAGCAAAUUCCCAAUCCAACGCGAGAAACAACCGAUCUACCAGGAACUAAGCAAGGAGACGAAUAAAACGCACAAUAUUGAUAAUGUGACGAAGUUUUACACAGUGUGAAAAAAUACGAACUCUACCUCUCGAUUGUCUUGAAUGAACUCCAGACGGAUGAGGAUCGUGAACCGGAGAACUCGAUUAAGCCCCAUCCCCGAUCAACAAAACAAGACGAGCGGCAUGCCGGAUGAAAGCUAGAUCUGAGGAAUGACACGGCGACUGAGAAUCCACACGCGAGCGGCUUCAAAGAGGGCUCGAGGGAAUCCUUAGGUCGUCAUACUGGCGCUAAAUCGUAGGGUAACAGAGAGGAGGCAGCAAGAGACUUCGGAGAGCUCAGGAGGGGGGAGAGUGACCUGGAGGUCGCCAUGCACCAUGGCGGAGACGUUGUUGAACAGAUCGGCCAGCGCUUCCGCGAGCUGGUCCUGGUCCCGCACCUCUCUCCUCUUCCCAUCUUCGGCCAUGGCGGUAGGGACCGGCCGACUCGGAAGCUUGCCUUGCCAAACCGCCCGAGUUUGUUGGAUCGGGUCCCCUGCUCUGUUAGUGGACUGGGCCAGCCAAGUGGUCUUAAGGAAGCGGUCGCCCAUAAAAAAUAAUAAAUUUGGAGAAUUAAUGAUUUUUAUGUAAAUUGAAAUCUGGGUAAAGGUCUUGUUGGGCUUGGUCAGCCCAUGCAUGAAAACUACACUUGGAACAAGUUAUGAUGAGAUUUAUAUAUUUAAAAAUAAAUAAAUAAAACGAUUGUCUAACUCAACAAAAAAUGGGAAGCAUAUAUUUCACAUAAAUCGUUGAAUAAAAAAAUACUUAUUUCUUAAUAAAUUAAGCAACCAGUUAAAAAUACAUAUAUGUACACACCUAGCGUAAAUGUAUUGUAAUUUCAUUUGAGCUAGCUAAAAAUUAAUAUUCAACGUAAUAAAUUUAGUCAUGUUUAUGCAAAAAAAUUGAGUAUGACUUCAAUUAUUAGAAAUCAUCAAUGAUCUCAUUCAAGAUAUGAAGAAUCAAUAUUGUCAACUUAAAGAUUUUAGAAAUCAUUGAUGAUUUCUAAUAGUAUGUUCUUCAUUAGGUUCUUGUUAUUAUUCUAUUUACAUUUUCCUCAAUCUUAAUACAUUAUUUUGAGUCCUAUCAAGUGGUAUUGAAGCACAUGAUGUCAAGAAACAAGAUGAAAUAUGAGAAUUUAUAGAAUGACAUUGAAGUUCCUAUGGAGAUGAUGCGCAUGAACUCAUUGUGGUUAGCCUCAUUAGAAAAUAAAAGACAACAAGAUUUUCCACCCUCAAUGGCUCAAAUUCUACAACACAUGCAACAAAGAGUCACCAACAAGGCAAAAAGAAGACAAUAUGAUAGUAGGAGGAGCCACUAGAGAGACAAUGAGGGAAGGAGUUGAUACAGUGGGCAAUUUGGCAACAUUGAUAAGAAUGCACAUGACUUCAAGAACCUAGGGGUAGACCUCUUUUUGACAAAUUAAUUGAGAGUAGGGAUCAUUGGUCAUAGUCAUGGUUGCAGACCGAAUAUAGGGUGUGACCUAAAAUCUGGUCAUAGUCACAAUCACAAUCUAGUUAGGGUCUUUGGCCUUGACUUGACCUAUGACCUAUAAAUUAUUACAUUAUUUUUAAUUAAAUUAAUGUAUAUAUUAUUUUUAAUAUAUAUAUAUAUUUAAUGAAGGAAGAUGAAAUCAAGUGAAAAAAAGAUGUGAGUCAUACAUCUAAUGAAAGAAGUUACAGUAAACUAAAAUAUUUAAUUACAUCCAUAUAAUUGUGUUACAUUUGAAACAUAAAUAAUUUAAACCAUCUAAAAUAAGAAAAAAGUUUAAUAUUUAAAUGAGCAGAAGAGAGGGAGAGGAGAGGAGGGAGAGGUUGAGGAGAGGGAGAGGGAGAACGAGGGAGGGAGGGAGGGAGGGAGGGAGCCCUAACCUGGACAAGUGCAAAACAAAGAACCAGAGCCAACAAUAGAGGAGGGGGAAAUGAGCAAGAGAGAGGGAGAGGAGAGCUGGUGAUGGGUUGCGCCUCCCAAUAAAGACUCAACUCGAGCCUCCAAAUAAAGGUCUCACUCAAACCAAAGGUCUGGUCACUAGUAUGAAGACCAUGACUGACCAAAGGUCUGGUCAAAAAUUUUUCGUGACUAGUAGUCAUGGCCUAGUCUCGUCCAAUCUAGUCUAGUCAACCGAUCACUAGUCAUGAUUGUCGAUCCUUAAUUGAGAGUAGUUGGGGUGGAUGUUGACGAAAUAUUUCACUUUUUAGAGAGAGAAAAUACCAAUUGUUAAAAGAUAUUUCAAAGUAUAAGAAAUUAGUGAUAGCGAUAAGGUGAAGAUUGCAACAGAUUAUUCAAAUGAAGAACCCUUAAUGUGAUAUAAGUGGGUUGAUGCAAGGGAUUCUUUUAAGAACCUGCGGUAUGUAAGGCAAUGACUAUGCAAAAGAAUUGGAUCUCAACUAGUAGAGACAUUAUGAUAGUAACUACUAGAUAUUGAGCAAUGUGACACAAUAGUUGAAUAUAGAAAGGAGUUUUAAACUAUUAUCAAGUUCAAUAUACAAAAUCUUAGAAAAGACAUUAUUAAGUUAAAAGUGUUAGAGCCAUGAAUGCUUUAUAUUUCAAUGAUGAAAAAAUCACUUAAGGUUAAUUUAGAGUAAUCACAAUCAAUGAAUUAUGCUUCAAUAAUAUUUUUAUGUCAUUGAAUGUUAAAUGCAUCAUAAAGAAAUAUAUAAUAUGAACUAUAAUGUAAUAUGUAUAUCUUACAUAUGAAGCAUGAAUGUCAUGCUACUAAGUAUGUAAUUGAUAAGCUAAGUAAUGAGUGAACAUUUCAUGAUAUGAAUCUAAGUGUAUAAAUUAUAAAAUUAUGAGAAAUAUAUAAUAUUACAUGUUGCUAUGCGAAAAUAUUAUUAUUUUACAUAAAUCAUGACAAUAAAGGGAGUAAUGAUUUCAUCAAGCAAAUCAAUGAGUUUUGAUAAAGUAAAAUAUGAAUAUGAAAGCUAAAUCAGGUAUCUAUAGACCAUGAUUUUACUUUAUAAAUUUAUGAUGAUUUAAAUAUCAAUUUAGUUGAAUUAUCAAUUGAGUGUCGAAUUCAUAAAAAAUAAUGAAUAUUAUAUCAAACGUAUGUUGAAAAUUGUACAUGUCAAUCUCUACAUAUAAGUUAUUUGAAAUAUUGAGAACAAAGUUCAUGAUGCAUAAUUGCAUCUUAUAUCUUGUUUGACUAAAUUUAGAUUUUUUUAGUAUAAGAAAUCAUUACUUCUAUAAGAUACGUCAUAUUAGGUUCACAAUAGAGUUAUCAAAUUUUUAUCGGGUCUAUGUGAACUUACUAUUAUCAGAUAUGAACGUUAAGUCCUAAAUGAUUCAUGUGUUGGUUUUCUUAGAUGAUAUUAAAAAUACCUAAAGGACAUAUCAUAUUAUAUUCAUGCAAGUUUUGAAUUUAAUGAUAUUUAAUGUGAAUCUAGUCAUUGGAGAUCAUAAGAAAUCUAUGAAUAGUUUUCACCUGAUUUAUCUAUAAAUAUCGUUAAUUUCUAAUAAGAAAAAUUAAUUCUUAAUGACUAUAUUUAUUCUUCUAUAUAUUAUUUUUCUAUUAUGGUGAUUUGUGUGUAGUUAUUUCAAGAGGAGGAGAGAGAGAGGAUUUAUUAGCUGACUAUGUAUUGAUUGAAGAAGUAGUAUUUUUGAGAGGAGUAUUUAAGAUAUUUUUCUAUCCUUUAACUACACUUAAAGAUAAACCUUCAAAUGUGUGUACCAGCUGACAACAAUAGUAAAAAGAUAAAAAAAUAUACUUGGAAAAUAUUCAUCUUCCACUAUUGUAAUAGUCCAAAGCAUUCAAAAAUUAUCUAUUAGGAAUACCCAUGAUAGUCAAGUAUUAUAUUUGUGAGUUAUUGUUAGUGAUUAUUUUUGUAAUUACUUUGGGAAAUUGUCUCAUGAAAACAAUGAUGUAGGCCUCAUAGAGCCAUGAAUUUAGAAGAAAAUUUUAAGGAAAAAUCAUAGGGGAGCUGAUUUGGUGAAAUCAAUGGUUAUGAUUUAAGUGAUUUGAUAGUGAAACCCAAAGACAAAAAAUUCCCUUUGAGAGUGGAUAUAGGUUGAUGUCGAACCACUAUAAAUUAUAUUUUUUAUGAUCACAACCCAAUAAGGAUCAUCCCAAUAAAAAAAGAGGAUGACAACCGUCGGAAAUGACUUGACAAUCCAUUCCAUCGAUUUUUGGGCUUCGAAAGAAGUUCUAGAGAUCACCUACAUCGUCUUUGUCCAAGGAAAGCCUUCAAGGCCGUGGACAUUACACGAUUUCUUUUCUAAACACAUAGAAUUUCGACGAUCGCCGCCGCGAAGUCGGAACUUUGUUUUUCCUAUUUAAAACUUUUAUUUUCAUUUAAAUUAGUAAUAUUUGGCACGAUUUCAACAUCCAAUAUAUUUCGUACUUGAGUUAUGAUUCUUCAGACUUUUACAGAACUAAAUUUGAUCUAUUAAUUUGACAGUAAUCGCUUACGAAAGAAUUGUAGGUCAGAACUCUGUUUCCACUUGAUUCGUGUUCUUCAAGCAUUGACGUCACCUGAUGUCAUUGCCUUAUUUCCUUUUUGCAUUUAUUAAAUAGAUUAUAUUUAUCAUUCAGUUAAAAAAUCAUAAAAAAAUUGUAUUCCUUCAAGAAAAUUCUAAAAUAUUACCCAAUAUUAUAUUACAUCCAUGUGAUUGACUUGAAAAUUUCCCGCUAUUUUUGGAAUUUUUUAUCGAUUUAUAAUUGAUUUAUUCACUCUGAUAAAUAUUUAAAAUUCUAAGAAUUAGUCUUUUCUAGUUUUAUAAAUUUUAAAUUUGCGUGAUUUAUUAUACAAUGAUUAAUUCACAUCAAAUUUUGGCACCGUUGUCGAGGAUGUAUUAUAUAAUAUUUGAUAAUUUUUUAUUUUUUAGAAUAUAAAAAAAUAUAACUCUUGUUUUUAUAUUUUGUCUUAUAGAAAAAAAAAAAGAGAGAGUAGCAUGAAGAGCAAUAGAGCAAGGAUAGGAGCAAACUAAAGGAGGGUAAUAAUUAUUAAACUUUUUGCCUCGAAUUUAUUUAUUUUUUUGUAUGAUAGAAGAUCUUUACAUCCAAGACUAGAGAAUCCUCUCAUUAUCUUGCCUAAAAUUAAAAAUUUUAAAGAAAAAUUAAUUUCGAUGGAUCUUAAAGAUAGCACAAGUCAAACUGAGAACAAUCAUAUGGUCAUGAAAAAUCAUUAUAUCCCUGAUUCAUUUCAAAGAGCAUCUAAUAUUAGAGGUCCAUUAGCACCCACUAUUAAAUUCAAAAUAAAUUUAGGAAUUUUCUAAAUGCUUCAUAAUUUUCAUGGAUUAUCUUUAGAGGAGCCUCAUCAGCAUUUAGAAAAAUUUCAUAUGGUAUGUGAUUUAGUUAAUCUUCCUCAAGUUACACCAAAAAUUAUUAAGAUGAAAUUAUUUCCUCAUACACUUAAGGACAAGACUAGUUAUUGACUAUCUACUUUAGAUAGAGAAUUAAUUAGUUAGAAAGAUAUAAAAUAGGCUUUUCUUCGAAAAUUUUACCCUUUAAGAAAAACUCAAAACAUGAGAAAAUAUAUAUAGAGUUUUGCUCAAAGGCCAAGAGAAACUUUGCAUGAAACAUGAGAAAAAUACAAAGAUUUACUUAGAAAAUGUCAUCAUCAUACUAUACCUAAGUGGCAGCUCAAUAUAAUUUUUUAUGAUGGAUUAUUAGAAUAACAUAGGGAUAUGGUUGAUUUUAUAUAUGGAGGAGCAUUUAUGCAAAAGACCCCUGAUGAGAUUUAUAGCCUUUAUGAAAAUUUAAGUGAAAAUUUGAGAGAUCAAGCCUCUUUUAAGUUAUAUGAUAGGGAUAAGAGGAGAUGAAUGUAUGAAUUCCAUCAUUAAGAUGACUCUAAUCUAAGAAAUGAGGUUAAUCAGAUUAAUAAAAAAAUUAGAUAAGCUUGAUGUAUUUAUUGAGAAUUUUCAGAAGCUUCCUAAUCUUCCAUUUAGUUCAAAUAAUUCAUAUCCUAUGCAUAGUGAAAAUGAGCANNNNNNNNNNNNNNNNNNNNGAGAGAUCAAGCCUCUUUAAGUUAUAUGAUAGGGAUAAGAGGAGAUGAAUGUAUGAAUUCCAUCAUUAAGAUGACUCUAAUCUAAGAAAUGAGGUUAAUCAGAUUAAUAAAAAAAUUAGAUAAGCUUGAUGUAUUUAUUGAGAAUUUUCAGAAGCUUCCUAAUCUUCCAUUUAGUUCAAAUAAUUCAUAUCCUAUGCAUAGUGAAAAUGAGCAUUUCAAAUGUCAAUGUUAUAAUUUAGAUUUAUCAUUUCAGCUUAUACAAGAAUAAGUACAAGUAACCCACGGUUUUAAUAGAAAUAGGGAGACUUUCUUAAUUCUUAUAAUCAUAAUAUGAGGAAUAACUUUUUAUGGAGAGACCCAAAUAAUAUUCAAAAUCUAAAAGCACUUAGAUCCAAUUUAAAUUUUGAAUUUCGUCCAAAACAAAAAAACAUAUUUCAAAAAAUUCAGCCCUCUCAUACUCAACUUAAUGCUAUGUAAAUGAUGUAGCAAAUGAGUCAAAUGAUGCAACAAACUAUGAAUCAAAUGAUGUUGCAACAAAAAUAAAUUAUAGAGGCUCUUGGGAAUAAGAGAGAAGAGGGACAACUACAUAGUCAACCCAUAGAAAAUCUAGGAAAAUGCCUAACUAUUGGAUUUCAGUAAAGAGAGUCUAGUGACAUGAACAUAGAAAAAAACUCACGAAAUGAUAAUGUCAGGACAAUAAAUGCAUUAAGGAGUGAAAAAAUUUUACCUAAUCCUUAUCCUCAAAUAAUAGAAGAAGAAGAAAAUGUGGACAAUUCAAAACAAAAUCAAGAAAAAGAAAAUGAAAAACUUUUAGAUUCUACCAAUGAAAAUCUGAAAGAAAGAACGAAAAUUCCAUUUCUUAAAGCUCUAGAACCUAGACAAAGAAAGAAAAAGGAACAUAAUGAAGAAAUAAAGAAAAUUUUACAAGAUAUGUAAAUUAGUCUUCCUUUACUUACUGCAAUUGAACAUAUUCUUGAAUAUACUAGAGUUUUAAAAGAAAUGUGUACACCAAAAAAAGUACUUAGAGUAGAAAAAUUAUCUAUGCAUGCUAGUGUUUUAUUAUUAAAUCAAGUUCCAUAUAAAUCAAAAGAUAUUGAUGCUCCUUUAAUUUCAUGUGAUAUUGGUGGAUUUAUUUUUCAGAAUAUAUUGUUUGAUAUCGGUGCUAGUAUUAAUUUAUUGCAUGCAAGUAUUUAUGAUAAAUUUUAUAUUUCUAAUCUUAAACCAUCUACUAUCAUAUUACAAUUUACUAAUAGAUCAAUUAAAAAUCCUAAAGGUAUUUUAGAAAAUGUGAUAGUAACAGUGAAAGGAUGUAAAUUUCCAAUUGAUUUUGUAGUGCUGGAAAUGGAUUUUAAUGGACAAUUUUAUGACACCCUAAUCAUCUUAGGGAGACCAUUCUUGCAUACAGCAAAGAUGAAUAUUGAUUUCCCCACAAGUAUUACAAAAAUUUCAUGUGGAGAUCAAUCAGUAUAAAUUAAAAUCUUUGAGGUAUCAAAUGAUCUUAAGAAAUCUCAAGUGUAUGAUUGUCAUACUAUAGAAUUUUUAGAUAAUUUUGAUGGUCUAGAUAUUAUUGAUGAUUGUGUGACAGAAGAAUUAAAGGAAAUCGAAAACAUAAAUAUAGGGGAGAAGAAGGAAGAAGAUCACACGAAUUUAGAGCUAAAACUUCUUCCCUCUAAUUUAAAAUAUGUAUUUUUAGAGGAAAAUAACUCAUUCCCUGUCAUUAUUACAACUGAUUUGAAUAAUGAGCAAGAGGAAGAAUUAAUAGAAGUAAUUCGAAAAAAUAAGAAAGCUAUUGGCUAGAAAAUGGAUGAUCUUAGAGGCAUUGAUAUGAAUGUGUGUAUGUAUAAUAUAUAUUUAGAAGAAGGAGUUAGACCAAGUAGAGAACCACAAAAAAGAUUAAAUCCUAACAUGAUGGAAGUGGUAAAAAGGAAAAUUUUAAACUGGUUGGCUGCUGAUAUUAUUUAUCCUAUUUCAGAUAGUAAAUGGAUUAAUCCUACACAAGUAGUACCAAAGAAAUCAAAAAUCACGGUUAUAAAAAAUAAAAAUAGGGAAGAUAUACAAACAAGAUUAACCACUAGUUGGAGGGUUUGUAUUGAUUACAAAAAAUUAAAUUCAGUAACUAGAAAAUAUCAUUUUUCUCUACCAUUUACUAGUCAAAUUUUUGAAAAACUAGUUGGAAAAAGAUUCUUUUAUUUUCUAGAUGAUAUUCUGACUAUAAUAAAAUUUAUAUAAAUCUUUUAGAUCAAGAAAAAAUGACUUUUACUUGUCUAUUUGGUACUUUUGCUUUUAAACGCAUGCCCUUUAGAUUAUGUAAUGCUCUAGCUACAUUUCAAAGAUAUAUGAUGUCUAUUUUUUCUGAUAUGACUAGAAAAUGCCUUGAAAUUUUUAUGGAUGAUUUUUCUAUUUUUGGUGAAUCAUUUCAUGAAUGCCUAAAUCAUUUAUAACAUGUGUUGAAGAAAUGUAUAGAGAAAAAGUUAAUUUUGAGUUGGGAGAAAUCCCAUUUUAUAGUUAGAGAAGGAAUUAUGUUAGGAAAUAUUGUGAGUGAAAGAGGUUUGGAGGUAGAUAAAGCUAAAAUUGAUAUUAUAUCUAAAAUGUAACCCCCAAAUUCAGUAAAAUAGAUUAGAUCUUUCUUGGGACAUGUACGUUAUUAUAGAAAAUUUAUUCAAAAUUUUUCAAAAAAUUUUAAACCUUUCACCAUGUUAUUAUCUAAAGAUGUGCCUUUUAAUUUUGAUGAGAAAUGUUUUGAAUUUUUUUCUGAAAUAAAAAGAUUACUUACUGAGGCACCUAUUUUACAAGCUCUUGAUUCGUCUCUUCCAUUUGAAAUAAUGUGUGAUGCAUCAAAUUAUGUAGUAUGAGCUAUUUUAGGACAAAGAAAAGAGUCAAAACCCAUAGUAAUUUCAUAUGCUAGCAAAACUAUUUCUGAUGCUCAAUUAAAUUAUACUAUAACUGAAAAAGAGUUGUUAGCUAUAGUAUUUUCAUUAGAAAGAUUUAGAUCAUAUAUUUUAGGAGCUAAAAUCAUCAUUUAUACUGAUCAUGUAGUAUUAAAAUAUUUGCUUAAUAAGAAAGAUGCAAAGCCACGUUUAUUAAAAUGAAUAUUCUUGUUGUAGGAAUUUGAUUUGGAAAUAAAAGAUAAAAAAGGUUUCUAAAAUAUUGUUACUAACCAUUUUUCUAGAUUAAGUGAUAUAGGAACAAAUGCAACACCUUUACAAGAUGCAUUUCUAGAUAAGUAAUUGAUGGGAGCUCAACAUCAACCAUCACCAUAGUAUGCACAUAUUGUUAAUUUUCAGUUUCUGGAAAAAUUCCAAAACAGUGGGAUAAGAAUAGAAAAAAUCAUUUCUUUGCUAAGAUUAAAAAUUAUUUUUGACAUGAUCUUAAUUUAUAUUACUUGGGUAGUGAUCAAAUUCUUAGGAGAUGUGUUCUUGAAGAAGAAUAUCAUAGCAUUCUUAAAAUAUGUCAUUCAUCUAACUGUGGAGGACAUUUUUCUAGUAGAAAAAUAACUGCAAAAAUUUUUCAAUGUGAUUUUUAUUGGCCUACAAUAGUUAGAGAUGCUAUAGAAUUCAAUAAAACAUGCAUAUCAUGCCAAUCUAUAGGUAACUUAAGUAAAAAAAAUAAAAUGCCUAUGAGUAAUAUAUUAGUAGUUGAAAUUUUUGACGUAUGGGGUAUAGAUUUUAUGGGUCCAUUCCCAUCAACUGAAAAAUAUGAAUAUAUCUUGUUUGCUAUUGAUUAUGUGUCUAAAUAGGUGGAAGUUAUUCCUACUAGAACUAAUGAUUAUAAAAUCGUGAUGAAAUUUGUCUAGGAAAAUAUUUUUUCAAGAUUUGGAUGUCCUAAAGUGAUUACUAGUGAUGGAGGAACACAUUUUACAAAUAGACAUUUUAGGGAACUAUUAAAAAAAAAUGGAAUACACUAUAGAGUAGUCACUUUAUAUCAUCCUCAAACAAAUGGGCAAGUUGAAGUAGCAAAGAGAGAAAUUCAGAGAAUUUUGAGAAAAAUAAUUAGACUAGAUAUGAAGGAUUGGCCCACGAAAUUACAAGAUGCAUUAUGGGCAUAUAGAACAGCUUAUAAAAAUCCCAUAGGUAUGUCUCCAUUUUGUCUCAUUUUUGGGAAACCAUGUCAUCUUCUUAUGAAAAUAGAACAUAAAGCAUUAUGGGCUAUAAAAAAUUUAUAUAUGGAUGAAAAAUCAGCUGGUGAGCAUAGAAUUUUUCAGCUACAUGAAUUAAAAGAGCUAAGAAAUGAAGCUUACGAAAAUCAUAAAAAUUAUAAAUAAAAAAUUAAAAUCUUUCAUAAUAGGUAUAUCAGCAAAAAAAAUUUUAAAGUUGGACAAAAAGUAUAGUUAUAUGGUUCUAGAUUGAAACUAUUUUCAGGAAAAUUGAAAUCAAAAUAGACAGGACUUUAUGUGAUAGAAGAAAUAUAUGAUCAUGGAGCUGUAAUGAUUAGAGACAUUAAAAAUGAUCAUAGUUUUAAGGUAAAUGGACAGAGGUUUAAACCUUACAUAGAACAUGAAUGCCCUAUAGAAAAAGAGAUUUUAUUAUUAAAAGAAAUUCGAGAAUGAGAUUAAUGUGUUCAGCUUGAGAUAUUAAACUCAGCGCUGCAUGGGAGGCAACCCAUGGUUUUAUUUAAAUUAGUGUUUUACUUUUGUUGAAUUUCGCAACAUCUAUUUUUCUGUAUUAUUUUCUUCUUUUAAAAAAAAAAGAAUAAAAGUACAGGAAGAGUGUAAGACGAAGUGGGAAAUUGAAAGCGAGCCUAAGGUUAUAUGUUCUUGAACUUGAUUCUUUAUUACGGUAUUUUUCGUGCUUAAUUUUGCUUAUAUGCAUACUUGACUGAAAAUUAUAUUUUCUGUAAUUUGUGUCAUUAAGGACAAUAUCAAAUUUAAGUUGGGGGGUAAGGCGAUGAAGAUAUUAAGUCUAAAUGUUGUAGACUGAACAUGAACAUGUGUUGGUAAUUUUUCAUUAUCUAUAAGAGUAAUUUUUCGAAAAAAAUAUAGUGCUGAUUUCCUAGUUCUAUCAGAAAUAAUAGAAAACAAUGUAGAGUGUAGACUGUCAAAAACCAACAGAAAAAAAAAAAUAGUCAAAAAUUUGAAAUUUUAGAUACCGUUUUCUCACAUUUCAAACCCCUAGGCAUAUAUUGUUAAAAUUCGGAAUUACUAUUAUGAAAAUGAUAGUUUUGAUUUAUUAUUUUUACAAAUGGAUUGUUGCUGAAAAUAGAACUGACAGAACUGAAACAGAGGCAUAAUUGUCAGAACUAUUUAAUUUUUUACAUCAUAUUAUGUGCACAGAAAAAUUAAAUCAAUUAGAUUGAUUGAUAUCAAAGGAUAUUAGGAUGAUUAUUAUUGAGUUAAGAGAAUGAUUGAAUAGCCUGAAAUGUUGGAAUACUCCUUGGAUACAUUAUAUAUAAUAUGGAUUUGAUUUUACAGAUUUUUCACUUCAUGAUCUUGAUGGAUAGAAUUUACUUGAUGAGAAAAUUUGAUUGAUCAUUUGAGUUUAAUGGAGAUUUUUACACCUUGAUCUAUAGGACUUGUGAGGAGAAAUCACUUGUUUUGAAAAAUAAAAAAAAUGAGUAGUGUAAAAAAAAUUUGAAAAUGAGAAACACUUGUUGCAAAAUAAGUGGAUAAUGUGAAAGCCCUGGAAAUGAAGAGUACACAUGGAGGGUGUGAGACAUCAUUCUCAUUAUUGAAAUUUGUUUACAGGAAAAGCUACUUAUUCACCACAAAAAAAAAGAAGAAAUAUAGUGCAAACUUCAAAAAUCAAGCCAUAGGGAAGGGAAAGGUAGGAUCAAUAUUAUGCUUGGAUGAUUUUUGAUAAUUGGACCAUCUUAUGAAUUAUACUCAUAAGUAAAGAAGUGAUAAAGAUGUAGAUUGAAGAAGUGAACUUUAUAUUGUUAUUCUAAGGAGUGUUUAGACAUUUAAGUGUUUGAUAUCUUUCUUCAAUAUUUGAUAAAAUAGUUCAAAAUAUCUAGAGGUUCAUCAUUUCUAAUUGUAUUUUGUGCAUUGAAAUAUGAUGUCUGAAAUUUUUGAAUGAUAAUUAUAUUUUUAAUUCUAUUGCUAAGGGACUAACAAUGACUUAAGUUGGAGGGUAUGAUAAGUCUUCAUUAUCAUGAGUUAAUAAUUUAGUAAGAUGAUGUUUUUAGUCUUAACUCAGGAUAAAUAGACUUAUUUUUAUGUUAAAUCGUGAAAAGUAGUUUCUAGUUGAUUAAUAUGAAUUUUGCUUAAUUACAUGAUUUUAUAAUUUUAUUUUUUUGAGAGAAAUGAAAAAAAAUAUUUAAGGAAAAAGCAAAAAAUUCGCCGGCCAACCAAGCCCGCUAGCAAGUCAGAGGCCCAGUCGGGCGGAGCUACCGAGUGGCUAAGGACUAAGAGCUCAAGGCUCGAGCGGCUAAGGACCAAACCGUGAGCUCGAGGCUCAAGCGGCUGGCGACGCAGACUGUGAGCUAGGUGCUCAAGCGGCUGGCGACGUAGACCGCAAGCUAGGCGCUCAAGCAACUGACGUGUGCAUCACUCUCCUUCCACAUCACUGGUGGCCAGUGGGGCGUGGGGCAAGGAGUGUUCGUACACAUGCGUGUGAUUUGUACCUAUUGAUGGUUAAAGAAGCACCCAUAUUAUAUGCGCGUGAAACUUGCCCAGAAAACCGAUGUGAGACUAAACCCCGCACCUUACUUUUUCUCACAUAUUUUCUAAGUACUAACAAUGCCCCUAACUGACCGUUAUAAAAUUAUCCUUAUGACGUCAUACAUUGAGGACAUUAUAAUACUUAAUUCAUCUUUUUCCCCUUUCUCUCUCUCACAAGCGAACAAUUGGUGAAGAAAUCACGAUUUCCAAAGAACGAUUAAGCUGCAAAAAUCACCAAAAAUUCAGCAAAAACUUAGUCAACGCGAUUCGUAGAGUAUCGUGGCCAAAAUUGGUGUAGGAUUCUAGACAAAACAUCGCGAACUCAACAAAGAAAUUAUCUCUGCUUGAUCAACAAACAAGCUGUCACCGGGAAGAGGACGAUCUACCGGGAGACAAGUUGUCAUCUCCUGAGAGCGUACCAAAUGCGAUAAAAGGCCUCAUCUCGCUGCACUAACUUGAGGACGAAGCCCUUGAGAUGUACCCCACCUUCCUCCAACACACCAUCGAGUGACAGUCGUCGGAGGGUUGCAAGUCGCCAUAUUUCUAUUCCGCCGGAUGACAGCGUCGGAAACGAUUUGACGAUCCAUUCCACCAAUUUUUGGGCUUCGAAAGAAGUUCUAGAGAUCACCCACAUCGUCUUUAUUCAAGGAAAGCCUUCGAGGCCGUAGACAUUGCACGAUUUCUUUUCUGAACAGCAGAAUUCCGGUAAUCACCACUAUGAAGUCGGAACUCUAUUUUUCCUAUUUUAAACUUUAUUUUCAUUUAAAUUAGUAAUCUUUGGCAUGAUUUCAACAUCCAAUAUAUUUCGUACUUGAGUUACGAUUCUUCAGGCUUUUACAAAACUAAAUUUGAUCUAUUAAUUUGAUAGUAAUCGCUUAUGAAAGAAUCUUAGGUCGGAACUUUGUUUCCACCCGAUUCGUAUUCUUCAGGCGCUGACGUCACCUGACGUCAUUGCCUUAUUUCCUUUUCGCAUUUAUUAAAUAGAUUAUAUUUAUCAUUCAAUUAAAAAUCAUAAAAAAAUCGUAUUCCUUCAAGAAAAUUCUAAAAUAUUAUCUAAUAUUAUAUUACAUCCAUGUGAUUGACUUGGAAAUUUCCCACUAUUGAUUUAUUCACUUUGAUAAAUAUUUAAAAUUCCAAGAAUUGGUCUUUUCUAAUUUUAUAAAUUUUAAAUUUGUGUGAUUUAUUAUACAACGAUUAAUUCACAUCAAUGAGAGAGAGAGAGAGAGAGAGUCCUCAUGGACUUCACAACAAAGCCAAGAUCAUUACUUGCAAGUAAAUGUUUACAAUCUAAUAUAGCUUAGAUAGUACUAUUAAUAGACACAAAACACAUCUAGUGGCUCAUGACUUCUCUCAAGCAUAUAGAGUUGACUACAAAGAGACAUUGUCUCUGGUUUGUUCACCUCAAUUUCAUUUGUAUAUUGCUCUCUCACUAUCAAUCAAGGAUGGACAUACACUAAGCUUGACAUCUCUAAUAUCUUUCUCUAUGGGGACCUAAUCAAACACAUCUUUAUGGAGCAACAUUUAGAGUAUGUAUUCAUGAUUUUUUAAAAAUCCAUAUAAAGCUUAAAUUUUAAUAUUUUGUGUCUAUGUAGGGUGCUUAUUUCUCGCAAAAUCUAGAUGUCAAUUGAGUACCUAUACAUUGUUUUUUGUAAUGAAAAUAUUGUUCCAAGAAGGUUAAUCACAUUUAACACAAUUAAGGUGAUAUCUAUAUCAUUUACUAAGGCAAACUAAAACAAAGUCAAUCAUACAUUUUUAAUAAAAAUUAUCAAUUUCAUGAUAUUGGGUUUAUAAUGAUUUUACCUAAAUUUCUUUGUAGAUCAUUAUCAAAUAUUAUGUUUUUUAUGCUUCUUUCUAUUUUUGCCCUUUGUGGCUCUUGUAUAAAUGCUAAGGGCUUCUCGAUCCUAUAAGAAGAUACUCUCAUUUUCUCUUAUCUCUUUUCCUUCCCUUUCAUGGUGUCCCCUGGUGUAUGUCUUCAACUAUGAUUCCACACUUUUAUAGCCAAGUUAAUCCAUUCUAUCUAUGUUACUAUUGAUGUUUGAUGAAGUUGAUUUAUGGGUAAAAUUAUUAUCAUGUGUAUAAUCAAGUUCACACAAAUAAUAUUUAUUAGAACUUCACUCUUUUAGUUUAUGAUGAGAAAGGGUAGAUCCUCAAGGUAUCAUUGUAUUAAGAUAUUAUAAUUUAUUCUUAUAAUGAUGGCAAGAAUUUAAUGGAAGGAGCUUUUGAUUAGAGAUGGUUCAAUAAAAUAGAUAGAUGGAGAAUACAACUAACUAUAAUGAAAGAUUUAAAGUGGAUGAUCUAAGAGAAUGAUUGUACUGAGAUUAAGAUAAUUUUAGAUAGAAGAAUAAUAAAAGUUUCCUAAUUUAAACUACAGAGAUAAGAACAAUGAAUAACAAGGGAUGGAUUGACACAAACCUCAUUUUAUAUGUUUUUCCUAAGCCGAGUAAUACACAAUUCCUUAAUCUCUUGAACUACCUUCAAUGAUCUCUCCUUCAAUACACUCUUAAAUAAGAAUAGACCUUCAAACUCACAUUUUCAUUCAAACAACCUCUAUUGUGGCAAGAAGAAAAGUUAUCAUUUACAUCAAAAUAGGAUGUUUAUAUAGUUUUAGAUAAUAACUUCAAUUUUCCUCUAUUAAAUAUACAUCAUGGUUGUCCUCAUCGUGGAAGGUAAUUGACUCUAUGAUUCAAGGCUUGUUAAAAAUGAGGAAGGUGGGUCCUUCCAUUAGAUCCAUGUCUUGGCUGCUCCCAAACAUGGAAGGUAGCUGCCUCCAUGAUUUAAGACUUACUAGAAUUGUGGGAGGUGGUCAUCACAAUGAAUGGAGGAUGAUUACUUAGCUUGCUAGACCUUGGGCACCCUCCAAUUACAUUAAUUGGGCCUAGCUAGCUCAAUCAUGGCUUGGACUCAUUUCUCUCUUCUUAGAAGUUUUCUUAAAUUUUCUUAUGCUUUUGCACUUAGUAAAGGCUCAAGAAGACAUGAGAAAUUCACCACUUGACUAUUCCAAGUCAAGUGGGUAAGCUCAUUAAAUAUUACCUAAAAUUCGUGCAAAGUCAAGGCAGAGUAAAGAAAUUAUCAUUCUACAUGAUCUAAGAGUAAUUUAUAAAGAAUUUAUACAUAUUCAUCAUGAUUUUAUGCUCAAAUAUAUAAAUUGAUUUAAUAAUUAUAUGCACUUAUUUAUGAUUAUCAAUGCUUCCACUAUCAUUGAUGCUCUUGCCAUGUGCCCAUCAAUGCCACUAUUUGAAUUUGUAUAUGCGCACCUGCUACCCACUUGUUGCACCACUUGCGCUGCCUAUCUGCGGUCUCCUUGGCUUAUGCACCUACCACGUGCAUGCUCAUGAAUUUUUGUCUAUCUCCCCUCUAGCUUCAUUUAAUGUUGUGGCUAUCUCUUUGAGUGAUCGGUGAUAUUAUCAUCUGCCUCAAAUUCUCUCAUAAUAUUAAUUCAAUGUUAGAAAUUUGCUCGAGUAGUAGAAAUAACUCCAAAUUACACUCAAAGGGAAGCCUAUGAAGCACCUAUAAAAAAAUGGUCUCACUAAGUACGACUAAUGGCUGGAGUAGGAGGGCAUCAUUCAUUAUUGGAUCCUCGAUAAUAUAUAUGCCGAUGCUAGUGAUGAGUUUUUACUUCCCUACUAUGCAUGUGAAAUUUGGGGGAUGAUUGUCAAAAGUCACUCAAAAAAGAAUGGUGCUAGUCUUAUCUAUGUCUUAGUCACCAAGUCAUUUACUCAAUCAACACGACCACUCCAUGUUAGAUUAUGGCAAUAAAUUACACAACAUCAAGUGGGAGAUCAACCACUAUAUGCUACCAGACCCAAAUUAUGUGUAUCAAAGGUAUGUUUUGCAUUUACAUGUCUUCAAAUUUCUCAUGAGCCUUAAUCCUUAGUAUGAAUCCUUUCAAAGUCAACUCCUACAUCGGGAGAAAGCCCUCACCAUCAUUGAGGCCUUUACCAUUGUUCAUUCAAAGGAAAACUCCUAAAGCUAGUGGUAAACGAUAGUGAUAGUGCCCACCUGCAAAGCACAAAGGUGGCCAUCCCCCACCUCAAUCUACAAGCACCAUCAAGUUUGACACCAUGGCUCCUCAUGGAUCCCACCCGUCGCAUAAGGGUUCACACAACGAUCAAGUUUUUCAAUACUAUAAGAAGCUUAGUGUCUAAUUAUUUUUGUCAUUACUGAAAAAAAUUAACAAAUUUAAAGUUUCUAAAUUCUUGAAAAUAAGGCAAUUUAAGAAAGAAACAUUUUAUAGAGAAUUUUCUAAAUACAUCAUAGUGAAGAUGAAAUGUUAUUAAUUAUUUAUAAAUUUUAGUUGAUAGAUUAAAUUUUAGAAUUAUUUUUUGGAAAGUUUUAAAUAAUAUAAGCUAAAAAAUAAGUUUGGGAAUUGUUGACAUUAGCCCAUGAACAAUAACCCCAAAUUUAGAGUCAACAGAAAUACAUCCACUCAUAAAUAGAUUAAAUUGAAUCUAUAAUCAUUGAAAUAAAGAGAAAAUAGCAAAUGACCUUUGUUCAUAACAUGAUAGAGGAUUGAAUGAGGCUUUAUUGGAAUCUAAAAAUCAUUAAAAUAAACAAACAAACAUUAAAGUUUACAAAAGAACUAGGUGGCAUAGUCAUCGAUCAAAUUUCUACCCAAAAGAUGAUUGAUUUGUAUAGAUGUAAUGCACCAAUUGGUUUCCUACACCUUCUCCAAUUGAUAAUUGACAAUCCCAGCAAUGGUCACUUGUUGAAAUUGAGCAGCAAAGGUGAUUUGACUCUGAAUGUGCCACGACAUUUGGAGAAAGAUCCUCAGAAGAAAUUAUUCACCAUUUUUUUGGGAUGAAAAAUAAGGAAGAUUUGAGGAAGAAAUUCAGCCUCUAUAAUUGCUGAAUGAUAGAUAAAUUUGGAUGAAAUCUAUUGUUUAUAUUUGACGGAUAGAUUGGGUGAUUCCAACAUCUAUAGUUGCUGGAGGAAAUGGGCUUUAAUAUGAGAGGGGCAUAAGAUGAUCGAGGAUGCAUUCUUCUUCUCUUGAAACAAAUUUGUAAUCUUCCCAUGCAUUCAUUUCAUUGAUUUAUUUUAAUUAUAUGUUAUAUUUCUUGUCACAAUUAGUGUGUUCGUCGUUAGAACAAAAACCCUGAAAAUAUUGAUUUUUUGUUAAUUUUAAUCAAUUAUAAGGUAUAAAAAUGAAAUUCAUUGAAUUACAACAUAAUUUUGAAUCAAUAUUUUUCAAUUUACUUGGGUAAUUUCUACUAGAGAAUCAAUCGAUCAUUUAGGGUGAUUUUUUGUGUUUUUUAAAGAUUUUCAAUGAUUUUCUAAAUCUAAUGAUUUUUCUUAAAUUUUCUAUGUAUUUAUAUAAAAUUAAAAUAAAUGUAAAAUAUUAUCAAAAAUAUUAUAAAAAAUAAAAAAUGUGAGAAAAUAUUUCAUCAUAUUACAUGAUUGAUUUUAUAAUGUAAUUCUUAGAAAAUAAUCUCAAAAUCAUAUAAAUCAUUUUAAAUCAAAAAUUUUAUAAUUUAAAGUAUAUUUUAAAAUUAUUUAAAUUAAAAUUAAAGCAUAAAGCAUAGAAAUAUUAAGGAUAUUAUCAUGUAAAUAUUGAGAGUUAUCACCUAGCUAUAUGAAGGAUACUUGCCCGAAGAUCUUAAAUUGUGGGGCUCAACACGGCAAUCAUGUGACUACAAGCUUAGCUAGUGAUUAUGUCCUUCUCACUUCCCUAACUUCAAUUCUUGUGAUGGAUGUCUUGGCACCACUACUUUCCACACCAACUCCAUCUCAUGUUCUUGAAGUAUGACAACUUUAGGAGGAAAUUGACCAUCUAAAGUGGCUCAUUCACUCUUUCCAACAUAUGGGAUAUGCUCCCUUCGCCCAGACAUUUAUGACAUUUUUUCCUAUGAGUGCUUCAUAUGUUUCAUCUACAUCUCCAUGACUUAUCGAUUCAGGUGCAUGUUAAUCUAAUUUAAAGCUCUUCACCUUGUUCAUUUUUCUGUACAGUAAUACCUGAUUUUUUAGGGACAACAUGAAUAGGACUCACCAAAGCUAUCAUAUAUUGCAUAAAUAAAACCAGCUUAAAAAAAAAACCACUUCAAACAUGUGAGGAUUCAGGUGCCUUUGAGAUUCUCUAGAUGCCUUGACAUUUUCAUCAAUAAAAAUUCUAUUUUCACAUAUUUCCUUACUAAUGUCAUGAAUAUCAUCAAUUGACCAAACAAUAAUAGAUUUAUGCAUUUUAAGAAUCUCCAACAAUGAUAAUUCUUGAUCACUAGAUAAAUGAGAUGAGAUAAUAGCUAGAUAAGUUCUAUGAGGCCCAAGAAUAUUUAAGUGAGCUAGGCAACAACUUUAAUUAUAACUCAGAUGUACGUAAAUCAAGUGGAAUAUUUACAAUUUCAUCCUCAACUUCAAGUUCAUCAUCAUAAGGAACUUCUAAACAUAAAAGAGAAGAAGGUUGUUCAAGAAUUACAUCCUAAAUUACAUCACAAACACACAAAUUGUUUGUUAAAUUUUUUAAAAAUUUAAGGAGUGCAGAUACCUAAACUUCCACCUAUUCCUUUCCUACUUUAAUUUCAACAAUUACUUUUUCAAAAUCUACAGUAACUUGAGCUGUAGCUAAGAAAGGUCUACCUAAAAUUAUGGUGCAUGGCUCAAAUUCUCAGUACCCUUUAUAUCAUCUAGAAUAAAUUCAACAAGACAAUGGUAAUUUUCCACUCUCACAAUCACAUCCUUUAGCUUCCCAAUUGAUUGUCUAAUUGAUUCCUUUGUUAGUUGUAAAUCAAUAUAGAUGGGCUCUAAUUCACCAAAUUUAAAUUUAUCAAAAAUGGCUUUGGAAUAAUAUUCACACUUGCCCAUGUAUCCAAAAGUGUUAUACUAAAAAUCAUUCCCCCAAUUUCACAUUUAACAAGUGGAGCUCCUAGAUCCUUCUCUUCCUAGGAAUCUAAUUCAAUAAAAUGGAACUAAUACUUUUAGAUAAUUGUAUCAUCUUCUACUUUCUAGGUUGAGUACAAAGAUUUUUAAUAAACUUAGAAUAAUAAGGGAUAUUUUGAAUAGUAUCUACCAAAGGAAUAGUGAUAGUUGUUUUAUUAAAAAUCUUCAGCAAAUGACUAUCUCUAGGAGGGACUUUAGAAGGCUUUAAAGGUUAGGGAAAAGGAAUAAGAGGCACAUAAUCUUUUGGAUCAAGUUCAUAUACGGAUGGUUUUUUUUAUUUUCAUUAGGAAUUUUCAUUAUAACAUUAUCAACUUCAUCAUUUUUCUCAUCAUUAAGAUCUUCAAAAGAUCUAGGUUCAUAUGGAUUAGGUAAUUCCUUCCCAUUCCUCAAUCUAGAAAUUCCACUCACAAAUUCAUGCUCAUUAUGUUCUUCUUCACAAAAAAUAUUUUCAUUUAAUUCAAUAUGAUAUGAAUCAUCAUUCGCAUGAUCAAUACAAGAAAUAUUUUUAGGAUUAACACAAGGUUGGGUUGAGAGUCGACCUGAAUUUUAGGCAUUGUAACCCAUAUCAUCCAUUUUAUCUUUGUUUUUUUCACCUUUGAAGUUCCCUUGAAAACUACGCCCUCGUUGCCCAUGGUUUUGUCUCUCUAGUUGCUCAAUUCUAGUCUGCAUCAUCUUGUUCUUCUCUAGCACUUCAUCAUGUUUCAUCAUUACCUAUUUCAAAAGGUCUAUCACAGAGUUAGAACAUGCAUCUUGAGAACUAAAAGCAAAAUUUGGGCAAGGGUUAGGAGCAAAUUCUAAUUAUUUUGAUAAUUUUUUUGAUGAUAUGGAUGUAGUUGGUAGUGGUUGUUUCCCUCUUUAUUCCAUCCUUGAUUGUCAUAAAUUCUUCUUUGAUACCAAGCCCCUUGCAUUUGAGUGUUUCUCUCAAAUAUAUUAACUUGUUCAAAAGUAAUGAAAAUGUCAUUAGUAUUAUCAUAACUCUCACAAAUGGAAUAAAGAAAAGAAGCCUGAGAAACAAGAGAGGAUAAGGUAAAGUUAGAAGAAGGAUUCAUCAUAUUCUUCAUCUGCUUGGUAAGCUCCUCUACAACUUGGCUCACCUUGCCAAUGUCCCUCUCUACUUUAUCUCUCCAUAUACUUAGUUCUAUAACACUAACUUCAAUGAGACCUCCAUGUUUUGGUGUUGAAAUUCUUCCAUUCUAACUCAAUCCCUAAUAAUAAGCAUAGUUGCCUACCAAUGUCUCAAUAAUGUUAGUGGCUUCAUCAAUAUUUUUGUCAAUAAAAGUCCCACCACUAAUACUAUCUACUAAGCCUAUCUCAUGAUCAUCUAAGCCAUCAUAAAAAAUCUGAAUUAUUUUCCACUCAAGUAAACCAUGAUGUGGGCACUUUCUAAUUAGAUCUUUCAUUUUAUCUCAUGCAUCACUAAAAGAAUCAACUCCUUGUGUAAAAUCCCUAAUGGCUUUUCAAUAAGCAUUAGUUCUUCUAAAUGAAUAAAACUUUUGAAAAUAACAUUUUUCCAUUUCAUUCUAAUUUUGAAAUUUUUUACCCACCAUUCCGAACCAAUCUUUUGCUUUACCCUUCAAUGUAUAAGGAAACAUUCUCCAUUUUCAGCACAUCUAAAUCAACUCUGAAAAUAUUAUACGAAUCACAUUUUUUCACAAAAUCAUAUAAAUAAGCAUAGGUAUCUUUAUUCAAUUUCUCAUAAAAAGAAGGCAACAUAUUAUAAAGAUUAAAAUCAAUUUUGAAAUUUACAUUUGCCUCAAUGUUCCCAUAAAUUUGAGACUGAAUUUUAGUCUCAGCUGGUUCAUAAGGUUUCCUAAGCAUCAUUACUCUAUUUCCUUGAUUAUUAGCCAUCUUUUCAAAUUUAUCAUCAAAAUCAACAAAAAUAUCCUCAAAAUUCUGAUAUUUUUCCAUAGAUUCAAGGGUCACUAAAUGCGGUUUCUAAGAUCUCCUACCCUACAUGCAACUCAAAAGAUAAUUUUUUUGCAAAAAUAAAAUUCAAAGAGUGAAGUUUAGAAGUCAUCUAGUGACACCUUCUCCUUCUUCUCUCAAGAAAAUUUUCUACUGUUAUUAGCUCAAAAUAAUAAAAUAGAAUGGGAAAUGUUUUCUAAACAAAGAAUUAAAAUAAAAAUAAAAUUUUCCUAGCCUCCCUAGCAAUGGCACCAGUUGAUAAGUCCAAAUUUAAGGGUUUUGUGUUAUCAUUUUAAUUUAGAAUUAACCAAAAAUAGUUAAGAAAAUUUUCCACUUAGUUACUCAAUAUCAAACAUAGGGCAAGUAAGGGGUCAAUCCACAUGGAGACAAAAAUUCAAUUUCAGAAUUAUUUGAGGCCUAGAAAUGGUAGAAAUAGGUUAGGAAGUUAAAAUUUCAUUCUUAGGAAGUCUUUUUAUGAUUUCUAUAGAGCUUAAUAGAAUUUUCUGAAAUUCACUUGUACAGAAAACGACUAAUAACUAAUUAGAAUGUUUUAGUAUUUAUUUAUAAUUUAAAUUGAUUUUUUAAAUGCAAAAUAAUAACAAUAAAUAAUAACAAUGACUUACCUUGGUGGUUGACGGUCAUGUAAGGGGGAGCUGCAUGGGUCACAAAUCUCCCAUAACCUUUUUCAAACUUAACUAAAAUUUAGGACUUUCGGUUAUGUCUAGAAGAGGAGAGAGAGAGAGGGCGGCGGGCCUGGAGUAACCGGCAGCAAGCACACAACGAUUGACGAUAGGCAGCAAUGGUGAUUGGUGGAUGCACUGCUGCUAACAAUAGGCGGAAGCUGUGGUUGGAAGAUGAGAGAGAUGAGGAGCAGCAGGGGAGAGGUGAAGUGACAGAUCACAAUGGCGAUGGAAGAGGAAAUGGAUUUUUUUUUGUGACUUUUUAGAGUGACAAACUAGAGAGAAAUAAUGGCCUAGAAAGAGACAAACAUGAAUCCUAGAGAGACAAAGUGACCGAAAUGGUGGGGUAGAGGGAGAAAAUGAACGAAAAUGAAGGGAAAAUGGUGAGAAGUGAUGAAGAUUAAGUGAAAUAAGGAAUUGAUGCAUACCUAAGUUCCUAAAAUCUCUAGUGCUCGUUUCUUGAGCCCUCAACAUGUUCUCUCAAGUUCGGAUCCUUAUAUUCCACCAAGAUUUGAAGUUUUCCAAAUCAAAUAAGAGAGAAGAUUGAAUGAUUACUUUAAGAAACUUACACCAAGCAAGGAGAAACCUUGGACCUUGGAGAGCCUUGGCCUACUAGCUAGCCACUUGCUAGAGCACAUCUAGAAUGAGGAGAGAGAGAGAGAGAGAGAGAGAGAGAGAGAGGAGAGGAGNNNNNNNNNNNNNNNNNNNNGAGAGAGAGAGAGGAGAGGAGAGUUAUUAUAUAUGGGCACGCAUAACUAAAAUGCCCCUUCAUAAUUCCCUAAUCUCUCUCCAUAAAUUUCAAAAUCUCUUCCUCUAUAAUGGAUUUAGGAAGGUCUAAAUGGGCCUAGACAUGGCCCAAAACCUCCUCUAAUUUCUCCUUUAAACUCCAAAACCGAAAUUCCUCCAAAGUACUCAUAGUCCAUUAAGCGAAAUUUGAUCUUCUAAAGUGCUCCUAAUUUAUUGUUAAUUUCUGUUAAAUUCUGCACACAUGAAAACUUUAAAAUAUUUAUUAUUAAUAAAACCACUUUGACUUCAUAGAAGUCAAGUGGCUUAGUCAAAAUCAUGCAAAAUUCAUGCAUAAUGUGCAAAUAGUGAAAUCAAUUUAAAUAUAGGAAUAUUUAAAUAAUUAUGUUAAUAAAAUGAUAUUUCUAGGAUUUAAAUGAACAAAAUCACAUGAAAAGUAAGGAAUAAUCAACACAUAUAUCAUGUUAUUAGUGCCACAUCUCAUAGGACUCAUAACCCACAUUUUUUCACCUCCAGUGAGCAUCAUCACAGUACCCAUAAAGUCAUUACCACUUUUGGUCUCUUUUUAUGGUCAUCAUCAUUGGUAGUGUCAAAUUACCAUCCCUACCUCCUUACCAACACCCUCCAUGUUCCUAGCCUUUUGUUAAGCUCAUUUCUCUCCAUCAACUCAUUAAGGACUUGGAUCAUGUUAUCAUAUUUUUUAGACUUCUUAUUUUUAUUGUCACAAGGUCUUGGGCCAACUUGCUACAUUCACUAAGGUAGGUAGAGAACUGUACUUGGCUCUCACCUCCCAUUGUGCCCAUGUUGUGGAUGUCUCACCACUAUCCUCUUCAGUUCCCUCUUCCACAACUCCAAGACUUUGGCUUCAUCAUCAUUGCCUCAACCAUCUUUUCUUCUUUACUUUGAAUACUAUAUUUCCCUAGAUGUUAUGUGCAGUUGAUUUACAAACCUUUGUUGGUUGCUCAUGUCAUUUAGCUACACAUCAUAAGAGUUCUUAUUCUUCUUCUUUUGACUCCACUUAUUUGACUCUUUUUACACAGGUUCACAAUGAUAUCUAAGGUCCCACCCCCAUUUUUAGUACUUCCAGUGCUCGAUGGCUACUACAUUUGUCGAUGAGGCCACCUGCUACACAUAAAAUUUUCAACUUAUGCAUAAGUCAGAUAUCACUAAGCUUAUAGUGGACUUUUAUAACUUCAUUCAUACCCAUUUUCUAUGGGCAUAAAAUGAUUUUGAUCGAAUAAUGUAUGUGAUUAUGUGAACACAUCUACCUCUCAAUUUUUCCAAUGCCACAACAUCCUCCAUGAAAACCUUAUUUUUCCAAUGCCCUUAUACACUCCCCAACAUAAUUAUGUUGUUGAGUGUAAAUUUCAUCAUAUCCAUAGACUACUAAUAGCCUUAUAUUCUAGACAAAUGUGCCCAAAUAUUUUUAGAGUGAGGCCGCUUUAAUCUUUGCCCACUUGAUUAAUUAUCUUUCAUCUCCCUCUUUGACUCACAUUUCACCUCUUAACUGGUUGUCUCACCUUUUUCCUUUUGUACCAUUAUGUAUCCAACUACUAUCCCAUAUCUUCAAGUGCAUUUGUUAUGUCUUUGGUCACUCUAGGACUCACAAUAAACUUGAUCUCAAAGGACUCUGAUAUAUGUAUGUUGGUUACUCAUCUAUUCAAAAGGGUUACAAAUGUUAUCACCCCUCCCCCACUCUUAAAUUUUUUUUCAUUCGAGACAUCUCCUUUGAUGAAAGAUAUCCAUACUAUUCCCCAUCCUCUGACUCCCUGAUGCCCUCAGAUUAUGUCUCUUUUGACAUCCCCAAGUUUUCACUUCAUGUUACUAUUAUUUCUCUUCCCAACCCAUCACCAUCCUCUCAUAUUGAUCCUAUCUUAACUUUCUUCUAACCCCUCUGAGUCUCCUAUGGACACCAAUCUACCUUUUGACCCCCUUGUUCCCCUCUAGCCUUUUACCAUUUUGGUCAUCAAGUAUAUGUCUAGCAUGCAUCACUUCGGCUUCCCCCUUUGACUCUUUUGUCAAGCCCCUUGACCCAACUAUGUCUUUAACCUCUACCUCCCCUCCUAUCUCUAUACCUUCCUCUCUCCCUUAUCAACCUCUCUACCUCUUGGUCCACUAUAUCCUCGAGUAUUUCACAGCAAAAUGCCUUUCCUUCGAUGGCCAAUAUCUUAUUGGUCAUUUUGGGCCUCCCAAAGAAAAAGGAAUGGGCACGUCACAUUUUAAAUGGGGGGAGUCCUCGACUUGACUUUGGUUCAUUAGGAAACUAAGGAAAAGUCAACAGAAAUGUGCACACUAAAAGACACGGCAAUGUGAGUCUCAACGUGUCUGCCCGUAUUUCUACGUGGCUUAGCGAUUAAAAAAAACAAAUAUCUUAAAGAUCUGUCAUGAAGAGGAAGAGAGAGAGAGAGAGAGAGAGUUACACACAUGAAGGGGUGAACCAAAUGGGCGGACUCAAAAAUCUCGGGUGGAAGAAAGAUAUGAUACGAGGCAAAAACAUCCUAAAGUAUUUCACCCAAUCUCUCAAGAGAAAGAUCAAAGAUUAAAAAUUUCCUUCAGUUCUUAAGCAGUCAAAGAAAGUUUCCUUAUUAAAUCAAAAAGAAAUAUUACUGUCGCUUAUGGAAGAAUUGAACUUGUUCCUUCCCGUAAUAAUUUUCUCCGACAUUAAAUAUCAAUUUGAAUAAAAUCUCUGAUAUCUUUCGAGGAAUCUUCCUCGCCGGAUUGGAAAUCCAAAACAAGCAGCUGUUGAUCAUGGAAGGAAGCCAAGUCAACGGUAGUCGACGGGCGAAGCUUCUUCUCCUUUGGUGCUUUCGUUCCCGACUUCGUCCUCUCUCUCCACCCAUCCCAUUCCCCUCUUCCACCCCUGACGUCUUCAACCCCUCUCCCUCCUCCUCCUCCUCCUCCUCCUCCUCCAUCUACCCUGAAUAGAAUACAGAAAGCCAUGGGGUGGAGUACACGCAAAGCCUGACAGCCUCUGCCGAUUGCCGAUUGAUGGCCGAACGGGGGACAGAGCCCAUCAGCAAUCGGAGAAAUACCGGCGAAACGAAGUUCGUCAUCGCUUCUCAUAUCUACGCCGCUGGAACUCUCGUUCAUCGUAUUUCUUGUGGUUUUGGCGGCGAUUCCCGCGACUGUGACCGUUUCUGACGCCGGAAGGGUUCGAUUUGGAAUUCCGCUGCAUACGAUUAUUGCCGGCGUCUCGUCCUCUCCUGCUACCCGAGCCUUCCAUUUGCCCUACAACCUAGCUCUCCGGCUGCUCGAGGAUCGCCCCUCUGGAGGCUUCUACCCGUUCUCUGCUUGCUGGUGAUCGACGCCUGUCUUGUUCGUGCCCUCUGCAGUAAUCUUAUCCAUGGUUUUGGGCAUCUUGAUGGUCAAACAUUGAGCCAUAUUUGCACAUCCAUCGGGUUGACUAAGUUCAGGCGAUUCUUCCUGACCUCCGGCUGACCACCCAGCUUUCCUGACCAUGCUCGAUGCCCAUUCAUUUUCUUGUUGAGAUUGAACAAAAACUACAAAAAUAAUUAAAUGAAUGUGUCACUUGAAUCAAUAUGUGAUGGCUUUUCGCGGGCAUCUGUGCUCAAAAGAAGAAAAAGCAUCCAUAGAUUUCCUCCGCAGAUGGCUUCUGCAUUUACCUCAUCGGGCAUAGAUUCAUCCAAACGUCUGCAUGCAAGUGUAGAUAGAUAGAGAAGCACCCCUCGGGCUUGACCUUGAACCGUCUCUGGCCAACAACCGUCCAGUUCUAGAACUCUGCAAGUAGCUAGUUUCAUAUGUCGGCUGCUUCACCAUUCAACAUCGAAUUCUUUUCUGGGGAAGCUAAAAAAACUAUUUUUUCAUGAUGGGUCUUCACCCUUCAAGCAUCCUGCACUACUUUUUUUCACUAAGGAAGGUUCUAAUGCGGCUGUUAAUGUCUUUAUGACAGCAGGCUCGCGCUCUGUCUGUAGUUCCCAAACCAUGAAAUCAGGCGGCAAUGGUGAAUCGUACUAAUUCGGUUGUCAUCGGCGUCUCCGUCGGUUUGGCGGCCGGAAUUUUGCUAUCUCUCUGCAUUUUGAUCACCGUAAGAUGCUACCUCAGGCGCUCGCUCAAGAAGAAGAACAGCGAAGAGCGAAGCGCAUCGACCCUCCCGAUACGAAUCAACGACAUACUUGCAAGCAUGGACUCGAGCGUGUCGAUGGCCUCAGUCUCCGAGCCCUCCCAUGCCAUGCCGCCGUCUGCCAAAAGAGGCAUUCCCCGGCCUAAGAAGGUGGCUCACAGCGACAUAUUCGCCUCUGCUUCAGGCAUCCCGAGAUACUCGUACAAGUACGUGUUCGUAGGUGUUCUUCCCUCUGUGUUAGGCUCUGUAUCAGAAUUUGAGGAUAAUCUGGCGUUAUGAUCUUGAUGAAUGCCUUCCUAUGCCUCCUACUGAACUACACUGAACACAUGCGGUUGGUAUACUUUUCUGGAGAUGCGCGCCUGAGAAAGCUUUCAUUGGGUAUGUGUGGUAAGGAGGCUUCCCUGCAGAGAAGAAGAAAUCCAUCUAGGAAAGAUAUGUUCUUGUGCUGUUUCUUUUUUUAGCAUUAUUUUGGUAAAUAAUUGAAUCCCACCCACCCACACAAUUUACUUAAAAACAAUUUCAUGGUACAUUCAUUCCAUCAAUAAACUUCACUGGUCUCAACCAUGCAUGGAUAGGUGAAUCAUGCUGCAAAGCUCUAAGCAUCCUGCUAUGUUCUUGAACUUUUUUUCCAUACGGAAGCUAAAAAACUAUUUUUUCAUGAUGGGUCUUCACUCUUCAAACAUACAAAAUCUAUCAUGAGAAUAACUUUUUUAUUUGUGUUAGACGCUGUGUGGGUGAGCAUCAUCGUUUUAAAUGCCACACAUUUGAUACCUGUGUCAGAUUCACUUGCACCGAACCCGAUGUGGCUUAUCCGUGGUGUAUAUUUUCCAGAGACAUCGAGAAGGCAACACGCAAUUUCACUACUAUUUUAGGGCAGGGAUCUUUUGGACCAGUCUAUAAAGCCCAGAUGCCCAGUGGAGCGGUGGUUGCUGUGAAGGUACUGGCCUCUAAUUCCAGGCAAGGGGAGAAGGAGUUCCACACAGAGGUAGUUGUUCUUCAUUUGCAAAUCCCCAUGACGCUACACAGAUGCCUCGUCUUCUGCAGGAUGAUGGGAUUUAGUCCUCUUGGGUUUAUUCUGGCCAUGAAGAAUCUUGAUUCAUAUCGCUGUUUUUGGCAUCUUGAUGCUGUGCUAAGAUCUUCCCCAUUAAAUCUAAAAGCAAAACCUUGGACCCUUCACAAAACAUCCUGUAGCGCGUGCCAGUAGGGGAGCUGCUGCUAGGAUAAAGCAUCUAAUGCGUUGACUGAUGAUAUGGGGAUUGGGAUAUUCAUAAGCUCCGAUAUAAACGAAAACAGUAAAGAUUUGAAAGUUUGAUCCCUCUCAUCGCCGAGGUUUCAGAUUCAUAACUUUCGGAGAUUCAUACACGAAUUUAUCAUGUACGCUGUCAGGAACAGAAUCUGAGAUAACUGACGAUGGUGGGAAUGGAGAGUUGACUUUCUUCAUUAUUCUGACCACCAAAUCCAGAAGAACUAUAUGGUCGUCUAUGUUUCCAAUAAUGGUUCCAUUUUCCGACGGCCAUCUUGCUUGCUAUAUCUUCCAGUGAUUUAAUCAUUUCCCGCAUAGGCAGAAAAGUAGUUCGCCGACUGUCGUUCUUCUGAUGAACAAAACUUUGGCCUUCUUCCCUGUAUCGUUUUGUUCUUGUUCAUCCCAUACUGACUGUGGAUUCUACAGAAAUUCUCAACUUCUGGAUGAAUUUUUUCCCUAAGAAUUUUCUCAUGAUUUGCGCAGGUACUCCUGCUCAGCAGACUUCAUCACCGGAAUCUUGUGAAUCUGGUUGGAUACUGUGUGGAGAAAGGCCAGUACAUGCUCGUCUAUGAAUUCAUGAGCAAUGGAAGUUUGGCAAACCAUCUGUAUGGUAAUUUUUUGUACCACUCAAAGUUUCUAUAAUUAUCCAUCGCCCAUGAGUAUGGAAUUUUGGGAUGCCUAUCUUGGAAUGAUCAGCUGGAACCAUCUCUACUUGUUGUAAUUACGCAUGAUAUUUGAUUUACCAUCAAAGAUUCAAAAUAAAAAUCUUCUUGUAGUACAAUCUUUAAAAUCAUCAUAUUUUAAUGAGUUAUAUAAGAGACUAAGCUCGGACCAUUCGGCACAUCAACAGACUUGAAAGUACUUCUUUUGGGUUUCAGUUCAUAUCCAUUCAUUCCAUUCAUCUCCCUGCGCAUCCGUCGGCCUUGUACCUUUAAUCUAUCCUUCAUUGGAAAUUUUCUUCAGUAUCUUGAGCAUCUGCUUCUUUGUGCCAUCAGUGGAAGGUGUGCGCAGUUUGAGCUGGGAGGAGCGGCUCAACAUCGCACUUGAUAUUUCUCAGGGCAUCGAAUAUCUUCACGAAGGGGUAAAUCUUAGUGAACGGACUCUGUUCUUUGUUCCUCUUCGUCUACGGUGUUGCUAACUCUCACUCACUCUUGAACAGGCGGUCCCACCUAUAAUACACCGAGAUCUCAAGUCUGCCAAUAUACUCCUUGACGGCUCUCUGUCUGCAAAGGUGGGAAUCCAAGCCAUGGAAGCUGUAAAAAAAAUUAAUAAAAAUAUGGCGUAAAGAGAAGUAGAUGCCGAUUAUAGUGAUCUUAUAUGUCGACUAAAACCAUCCACACAAUCACAAGAUUUUAUUUUCUUUUUUCCGGGUGUGGUUAUAUAUCAUUAUACAUCUCCUCGCAUCCAAGCCAACUUCUAAACUGUGUGCAGAGAACUGGGAUGAGCGCCACUCAGAAGUCAACCAUUGGCUCUAAGACCUUGUUAAAGUGUUGGGUUUGGAUCAUCUAGCUGAGAACCCAUUGGCAAUGAGCAAAGUCAACCCAUGUAUAUAAUCUACAGAUAAUAUAUAUCAUUAUUUAUUGCGAUCCAGGACUGUUCUAGCAAUCGGUGACUGAGAGUCAUUUUGGAUAAUUCCGGUUAAUUCAUGAUGUCGCUUCCCUGAACAGGUUGCAGAUUUUGGGCUGUCCAAGGAAGAAAUGGCCCUCGACAGGAGGGGCUCGGGCCUGAAGGGCACAUACGGCUACAUGGACCCAGACUAUGUGUCGACCAACAUGAUCACCACGAAGGGCGACAUCUACAGUUUCGGCAUCAUAAUGUUUGAGCUCAUAACGGCCAUCAACCCCCAGCAAGGUCUCAUGGAGUACAUCAACCUGGUGAGUCCGUGGAUCCAAGCAUGAUAUAUCUACAGAAAUGGCAUCGUUUUCAUCUGGGUGUGCCCCCCAUUUUAUUUCUUUCCACCCCACCACCCCCACUUAGUUGAUGAGUUAUGUUUAAUGUCCAUUUAAUUUGUUUAUUUUUAUUUAUUUUUACUGGUCCCAAGCAUGCGUGCACCAUUUUAAUUCAUUUUUGAGAUGGGUUUUCGUUCAGCUGCCCCUGCUGAUGAGAUCAGCUUGAUUGUGCAUUUGACAUUUUUAUUAAUCUUUUUUUUCAUUUAAUAUAUGCAGGCGGUCACCGGCGGAGAUGGAAAAGCCGACUGGGAUGAGAUACUGGACAAGCGGCUUGUGGGGGAGUGCGAUCUGGAAGAGGUCCAACUCCUCGCCGACAUCGCUUACAAGUGCCUGCAGACGAUGCCGAGGCGACGGCCGUCAAUUUCAGAGAUCACCGAGGCCAUCUUGAGGAUCAAGGCGCGGCGGCGCCGCCUUCCCAAUGGCCAGAACAGCACUUCUUCUUCUUCUCCGGCGGACGACGGGCCUGCCAUUCUGGAGAGAAUACAGGCCCAGCAGAUUGAGCUGAGCAGGAUGACCAGCGGAAGGGGUCGCCCUCGCCCUGCCAUCUGACCGCCGGCAGAGAUGGCGGCGUGUACAUAAUACGAUGCAUUGCAAAUGGGGGAUGAAGUCCACCGCGCCGUUGACAUUUCUAUUUACGAACAGAGCGAGGACCAAAGUCCCCACUUUUCCGGCUUCGGAGGGGCUUGCCAUCACUUAUUAAAGGGGGUAUUUGCCCAAAACUGGACUGCCCACCUGCGUUGAAGAGGCGAUUGAGAGCUCCGAAUUCAAAGAUUUCUUUGACCAGCUGCCAUUUUUCGUUGGGCUUGAUGGUGCCGAUGAUCUCAGAUGGGUUCGGAUGAAUUCGCCCAUGAUAAAAACGGGGCAAAAACGGAAGAACACUCCAGAAUUAGUAUCAUGAGCUCGUGGGUGGAUGGCAUGAGGAGCAAGAGAAGCAGCAGUAGCAUCUUAUACAGUACUAAGCUCCACUGGUUACAACAGCUAGAGAGAGGCACCUUUGAGCGCCGAAGAAGGCUCUGAGAGCACUCUAGCAGCUUUCUUCCACAGCAAUAUACACGGCCUUCUUCCUUUCCCAUAACUUUAUUUAGACAUGGCCCAACAAGGCACACAGGGGAUAGGNNNNNNNNNNNNNNNNNNNNAGAGAGAGGAGCACACCCACGUCCUCCAAAGGCUUCUAAGAUUUUAAUCUGGGCCUAGGAAAAUAUUUACAGAAGCACGUACCUCAUCUCCCUGCGCUAAUCUCCUCCUGAAACGAGCUCAAACUCACGGAAAAAAAAGAGGACACUCCGCCUCCCACCACCGUGGCUUUAUUCUCCUUCUCUCGUCUUCUUCUUCUUCUUCCUCUUCGCCAGCCGAGGAGAGAACGGGGGAACAUGCCGGCAUGCUGCAGAAGGGCCAAAAGAAGAGCUCCAACAUCCGCAUCCGCCUCCCCUCCCU
RNAcentral lists this long non-coding RNA (98809 nucleotides) under Spirodela polyrhiza (greater duckweed). RNAcentral's name for it is "long non-coding RNA (SPOL_LNC001641)". The stretch from base 88136 to 88241 matches the Rfam family "Plant small nucleolar RNA R71". Lineage: Eukaryota; Viridiplantae; Streptophyta; Magnoliopsida; Alismatales; Araceae. The record is from RNAcentral.